This 163182-nucleotide long non-coding RNA is filed under the name Setaria italica (foxtail millet). RNAcentral describes it as "long non-coding RNA (SITA_LNC005782)". The record is from RNAcentral. Lineage: Eukaryota; Viridiplantae; Streptophyta; Magnoliopsida; Poales; Poaceae.
UUGCAGAAGGCUUUGUUCUGAGCAAAGAAAAAAAUACACCAGAGGAGGUGGCUGAGGGAAAUCUCAUGGAACUAAUUCACCGCAAUAUGCUUGAAGUUGUGGACUAUGAUGAGCUCGGAAGGGUUAGCACUUGCAAGAUGCAUGAUAUUAUGCGGGAUCUGGCACUCUCCGUUGCCAAAGAAGAAAAGUUUGGUUCUGCAAAUGAUUAUGAAGCAAUAAUACAGGUGGACCCACAUGUUCGCCGAUUGUCAUUAUGUAGGUGGAAAGUUAAUACUUCACUUAAGGUUAAAUUUCCACGUCUUAGAAGCCUUGUGGCUCAUGGAAUGAUUUCGUCCACCCCUGAUUUGUUAUCCUCAAUUUUGUCUGAAUCAAAGCACUUGACUGCUCUAGAGCUGCAAGAUUCUAAUAUCACCGAGGUGCCCACAUUUAUAGGGAAUCUCUUUAAUCUGCGGUACAUUGGGUUAAGGCGCACCAAUGUCAAGUCACUACCAGAGUCCAUUGAGAAGCUCUUCAAUCUCCACACUCUGGACAUCAAGCAAACCCAAAUAGAGAAGCUACCACGAGGUAUUGUUAAGGUUAAGAAGUUGAGGCACCUUUUGGCUGACAGGUUCGCUGACGAAAAGCAGUCAGAUUUCAGAUAUUUUAUCGGAGUCGAAUCACCUAAAGGGCUGUCAAACCUGGAAGAACUGCAGACUCUAGAGACAGUGCAAGUGAGCAAAGACUUGGCUGAGCAGCUGAAGAAACUGAUGCAGCUCAGAAGCAUAUGGAUAGACAAUGUAAGUGCUUCUGAUUGUGAAAACCUUUUUGCGACCCUAUCGACGAUGCCACUUCUUUCCAGCCUGCUUAUCUCUGCAAGAGAUGUGAAUGAGACACUUUGCCUCCAAGCCCUUGAUCCGAUUUCCACAAAGCUCCACAGGUUAAUUGUAAGGGGCCAGUGGGCUUCUGGGACACUGAAGUAUCCGAUAUUUCGCAAUCAUGGGGAACAUCUCAAAUAUUUAGCGUUAAGCUGGUGUCAGCUUGGAGAAGAUCCACUGGGUGUGCUCGCUCCACACGUGCCAAAUCUCACCUAUUUAAGUCUUAACAGGGUGAAUAGUGCAAGCACUUUGGUUCUUUCUGCUGGGUGCUUUCCUCACCUGAAGACGCUCGUCUUGAAGCGAAUGCCGGAUGUCAAGCAGAUGGAAAUCGGAGAUGGUGCUCUUCCACGUAUUGAAGGUCUUUACAUUGUGUCCCUAACACAGCUGGAUAAGGUUCCUCAAGGCAUCGAGUUGCUUCUUUCUCUGAAGAGGCUUUGGCUGCUGUACCUGCACGAUGAGUUUAAAACUCUGUGGCAAACGAGUGGGAUGCACCAGAAGAUGCAGCACGUUCCAGAGAUUCGUAUCUAGGACAACUAGAUGGUAAAUCUCCAUUGGUAUGCUUGUAUGAUGUGUCUGCUCAGAACUGUGUUUGUUGGGCACUUUAUCUCUUUUUAUUCCAAUAAGCCAUGAAUUCUUCCUUUUGAUUUUUUUUAUUGUACAUUGAAACACCCAUGUAUGUGCUGUGUGUUGGUUCAGUUGCUUUAGGAAUACUACUUUUGUUCAAGAACACUUCCCUUCUGUAUUUAACUUUUGUAAAUGAUGUUAUGGUCAACAGAUUUUGUGCAUGUGAGGUGCAUAAUAUGUGAACUUACGAACCAGCAGAAUAUUCAUAAUUUCAGGGCGUUUACUUUAUUUAUAUGCUACUAAAUUGAACAGUGCUCUUCACUUUGCCACUAACUUUUUGCUUUUCAUUUUUUAUGCUGUUAUUCCACGAUGGUGCUUCUAGAAAGUUCAAUUUCUCGUAAUUCUCAGCCAAUUUUCCAUUAGCACCCAAAAAUACUGAAAAAAAUAUUUUCUAAAACAAUAUGUGCAGGGACAACUAUCCUAAAAUUUACUUUUGUUGAAAUGUGUACGUUUCGAUCUAUAUCAGCUCUUAUGGUACAUCCUUUUUAAAGGAUUUCUACUAUAUUGUUUUUCUUCAAAGAUGAUAUAAAAAAAUUUGUUUAAAUGGUCCUGGGUUUUUUCAUGCUCUUUUUUAUAUUUCCUAUAAUAUUUCCUGCGCUUUCUGUGAUCUUUAGCACAUUCUUUUACGUAUUUUUAGAGACCAUGUAGAUGAGCUUUCGCAAUAGAAUCAAAGUUGUGAUAGCAUGUUUAUUACUUGCAUUCUAAGGAAAUAGUGCCAUGAAUAAAUGAGAUGUGCUAAUUUCAAAUGGCCAAGUUAAGAGCAUUGUUUGAGUUAAUGUUAUAAAGUAAAUGAUCUCGUAGAAAAAUAAAACAUUUGGGCCCUAAUACACAUACUUGAUAAAAAACUAGCAAAAUACCCAUGCGUUGCUACGGUAAAAGAUCAAUUGUGUUUUUUAAACUUAUGACAUUUUUUAUUUCCAUCACUAAAUUUUUAUUGCACUUAUUGGAUGUUUGCACGUUUAAUAGAAAACCAAAAGAAUUUUAAAUUAAUUAUUUCUUUCAACUCAAAUACUCAUUAAAUUAAAACUUUUUUAUUCAAGCAAGAGAGUUGCUAUAGAAAAAUAUGUAAUGAUGUUGUACCAUACAAAGCAACCAUAUUUCAUAUAUAUUCUGGCUUAGUAAACCCCGGCUUAGUAAACCCCGUUGUUGUCCGAACAUAGAGUAUAUGUGUUGGUAGAUGCGGAUCCAUUUCUAAGUGCAAGUAGCAUAGCAUACAACCAGCCUGCACCGACACGGCUCAAUAUGCGAUAAUUUUUAUUUUCAUGUAUUUUUUGUACUCUAGUAUAUAUUGGACUCCUAAUAAAUAUCAUGUUUUUUCAAGCGACAAACAGUUCUUAAAGUUUGGAAACUAAAUAGAUAGCUUGAAAUAUUUUAAAAAAAAAUAUUUACAUGUAUGUUCCUUGCAAACUAAGAAUAUUUUUUUACCGCGAUACCAAAAGGAAAGUAUGGCUACGACCAUUACCAUACGUCGCAGGGGAUGGUGGUUGCCCUAUAGAAUUUCCUUAUUUUUACUCGUAUAAUCUGAAAUGGUAGGAGAGCUUCUCAGGGAGAGGUCAAAGAAUCAAAUACCUUCAUGCAUUUUCUUUGAGUUUUUACUUGCCUAUUUAAUUUCCAGCGUCGGUUUUCCUCGUGGGCAGGUGCCGGUUUUCCCUGGUUCGCUUUUCCUCUCCUCCCUCCCUCUCUCCUCCCUCUCCUUCUCCUCCGUCGGAUCCGGCCGGCCCCCACUCCCUCUCCCCCAACUCCUCCUCCCUCUUCCCCAGCCGAGGCGGCGCGGUCGGGGCCGGGCCAGACGAAAAAAAGAGGCAGAAGAAUAUUAAGUAGAGUUGGAGCCUCCGACGCCGGCGCCCAGACGUGCGAGGACCCUAGCCUCUCCCCUUCGCAUCCUUCUCGCUCUCCCUCAACAUCCAUGCACCGACCGCCCCCACACUCACCUCCAUCCCGUCCACCAUCCACCUUUUCAACCAAAUCUCCACACUCGCCGUCUGCCUCCACCCCUCCGACGCGCAGUCCCCGUCUCGCCACCCCCACCCGCCUUAACUUUGCCACCUCCUCCGUCAUCUCGCCACUGCCCGCCUCCAACCGGGCCUCUCCCGCUCCUUCCCGUCCGGCGCGCCCGUCACCGUGGGCUGCUGCCGCACGCUCGUCAUGUUCCGGGCCAACCUCAGAUUCCAUGACCACGAGCCGUUCCACGCCGCGGUCGGGGCGUCGUCCUCCCUCCUCUCUGUCUUCGUCUUCGACCCGCGGGACUUCGGCAAGUCACCCUCGGCCUCUCCCGCACCUCCUCUCCUCCCCCCUCUCUCUCUUCCCUCUCCUUCUCCGUCGGAUCCGGCCGGCCCCCACCUCCUAUCCUCCCUCUCCUUCUCCUCCGUCGGAUUCGGCCGGCCCCCACUCCCUCUUCCCAGGUCAAGGCAGCGGCGCGGCCGAGGCGGCACGGGUGCGACCGGGGCUAGGGCCGGGGUAGGGCGGCGUGGGAGCCCUCUGACAAGUGGGACCCACAGGACGGACGAAAAAAUUUGGCAGAAGCGUUACUCGCUUUAAUAUUAGGUAGACAUAAGUUUCCUUUAGGAAACUAAAGGUUAUUACAAAUGAACUUCCUUUUUGUAGAUUUAUUCAUCAAUAAAGAUAUUAUGUAAAUCACAAUCAGUUAAGAGUUUGCAAAAACGGUUGGAAGACCUUUCCGCCGCUGCUGCCCGCUGGAAUCGAUGAAACCCAUGGUUGAAGGGCGGGAAGGCGAGGUCCUACUACUCGACCGUCCGACCCCUCCCACCAUUGAACUUUGGUUUGGAUCAGAACUCAGGUGAUCGUCCGCUUCCAUCUCCCCUGUGUAUUCCUUUUGCGUUUGUUCCAAUCAAACACUAUUAUUGAACUGAAACCAUCUCCCAAACGAACUGAACAAAUCUCCUAAGAAAUCUGUUGACGUAUCAGCAAACAACGGUGCAUUUGCAUUCCAUUACCCGUCAUUCCGUUGUGUGUAUGAAGUAAUAAUCCGUAGCAGGCCUCAAGUUUCCGAAUGUCAUAUGUUCAUUGACAUCUUGGAUAGCAUAAUUAUCAAACGAACUAUGUUCACUUUAAUACAGAUUCUAAAUGGGGGAAAACAUGUAGACAUGCAGAAAGGGUGCAUGAAAGACUCCUGGUUUACAAGAAAAUGAUACAAUACUUGCAACCUAUGAGGCUAUGACUGAAUUCAAAUACGAUGGAAAAGGUAUUGUAGCUAUAACUCAAGAGUGGAGUAAUUUAGACAAUGGAAUGAUAAGAUACUUCAAUGAUCAUUAAGGAAGGAAAUUUUAUGACUUGAGAUUGACCGCCUUGAAAUAUUCUUCACAGUAGUCUGGCAAACCAAAUUAUCUAGUAACUCUACCAACUGACGAGAAUCCUCUACUGAAUGCUUCACCUUUUGCUGCAAAUAAAAAGGGCAUCAUAAACCAUGGCGACCUAUCUUUGGGUAGAGGUACGUGGAUUAAUUUUAAAUUUUUAUUUUCACUUAUCUUUAAUUUGCAGUUAUUGCCUUGUGCUAAUUCAGGUAGCUGCAAAAAUUUACUAAUUUUAGAGUUAGUGUUAGAGUUUUAUUUGUUUCUGUAAAGGUGAGGUCGAUAUCCCUAAAGGUACAAAAACUUUAUGAUAAAUGAAUUGCACGUAUCCUAUGUGAAGUUGGGCAUAGUUGGUCACAUAAUAUUGCAAGCACUAAAUGUGUGCACUUUGCAGCCCUAUGGCUGGUUGCUAUCUGCAUGUGGCAUGCUACGAAAGUACCUCUGACAUCUGAACAGAGCAAAUUCGAGCUAAGUACCGUAAAAUAGGUACGUCGAUAGAUGUAUAUGAGAGAACUGACCCGAUUAAAUUUGCAAAAGAUAGUAUAUUAGACAUUUCUGGAGGGAAAUUGGCUGCACAUGAGAAUAAAAAGAGAAGGGAAAGAAAGCUGACCAUCAUGCUCCCACAAGGAUCAGAAUCCUUGUCAUGCAUGUAUGAAAUGACGAACUACGAAGCCACUCGGCCAUUGUUAGCAAUGGAUGAACCAGUUGAAGCGGCACAAAUCACUUGCUGUCCCAUAUUAUUGAAAGCAGAAUCUGGGGGUGUUUUCUUCCCGUGUCUUAUUUUUAGCACGUGUCACAUCGAAUGUUUAGAUACUAAUUAGGAGUAGUAAACGUAGAGUAUUUACAAAACCAAUUACAUAAGUGGAAUCUAAACGGCGAGACGAAUCUAUUAAGCCUAAUUAAGCCUAAUUAUUCCAUCAUUAGCAAAUAUUUACUGUAGCAACACAUUGUCAAAUCAUGGACUAAUUAGGCUUAAUAGAUUCGUCUCGCCGUUUAGAUUCGUCUUAUGUAAUGGGUUUUGUAAAUAGUCUACGUUUAAUACUUCUAAUUAGUAUCUAAACAUUUGAUGUGACGGGUGCUAAAGUUUAGCAAGUGGAAGAAAAUAGGCCCUCUGUUUCGUCAUGUGGCAUUUGGGUGUGAGUCUCCUGUACCUGUUCCUCUGACAAAACAGAACAAUCUACAAUCUCAUUCUCAGUUUUCCCUGGUACAGUGGAAUCUCCUCCAUGAUCUACCUUAGGUGGUAUAGCCCUUUUGAGGACAACUAUUGGCCUGUUGGGAUGUUCCUUAGCUGCCCUCACCCAGUUUGCUUUAGUACCAUCAGUGACUCUACAAUCAAGCAUUACUUCGCUCAGUCGUGUGAAACCUUUGAUCUGGAUUCCACAGAGGCCAUUCAUAUCUUUACAGAGCAGCUGAAGAGAUUUAAGAAAUGGCAAAGCACCUUCUUCGACCUUUGGAAAUGUUGGACGCUGCAGCACAAAACAUAGGCCGAGCUCUAGGGAUCAAAACUACUAUACUUUUCUAAAGAUGCAGUAGUAAGGUGGAAUAGUGCAGUGUGGAAGGGGGAGGAGAGCAGGAUUUGUGGAGCUUAGUUGCAACUGUGAACUCCUAACUGCGAUUCAAUGAUUGCUUCAAAGCAUGAUGUAAAUUUCUUCAAGCCAACGUCAAAUAUUGAAGAACUGGGGUUGUAUUACAAGAUCUUUAAAUAAAAUCUAUGGUGAACUAAUCAAGUGAAAAAAAUUUCUUCAAUUUCUUUUGUGGAAAAAAAUCAGCGCAUUAUUAUUUCCUCGGAAAGAUGCAUAGCUAUAGAAAAUGACAGAGAUUUCUUGCCAAAUAAAAACUCUGAUGACCAAAUAGUAAGCUUGAAGAUCUGGAUGUAGAUGAACAGCACCGGGCACACCGCACACAGGCAUAAGACUUUAGAAGAGAGUAGUACACCUUACUACCUCAGAGCUUUUCCAGAAUUAGACUAGGAGUGUUUGAAUCCAUGGACUAAUUUUUAGUUUAGGUCACCUUGGAUGUUUGGAUACCAAUUAAAAAGACUAAAUGUGAACUUAUUAUAAAACUAAUUGCAUAAGCCGUUGGUAAUUCGCGAGAUGAAUCCAUUAAGCCUAAUUAAUCUAUGAUUAGCAUUAUAUUUACUGUAGCAUCGCAUGGUCAAAUCAUGGACUAAUUAGACUAAACAGAUUCAUCUUACAAAUUAAUCUUUAUUUAUGCAAUUGGUUUUGUAAAAAACCUAUAUUUAAUACUUCUAAUUAGUAUCUACGUAUUCGAUAUGUAUUCGAUGUGAUUGUUCGAUGUGACACAGGGACUAAACAGUUUGUGCGGCCGGCUGCUGCUCGAGCUCGCUGGUGGGGAAAGACUUUGACCCGGACUUGGGAGAGAUGCACUAUUUGUUUUCUUUUCUUAAUUUUUCAACGAAAGACAACAAGACCCCUGUCUUCUUUCUCUUUCCUAUUUGUAGUCUGAACACAAGAAAACAAAUUAAAGCGCAGUGUUUGGCAUAAAUUUUGUACGCGCAUCAGACUUCAGCAAUACCUGUCAAAGCUCGCUGGCACCAACCGCCUCCCUCGCCUCUGUCGUCACAAUUUUUUGUCAAAGCUUGCUGGCACCAACGAGCCCCGGACCAGCACUGGUGUCUGAUUGCCUCCAGGCAGUUAAAUACAUUCAGAGUCCAUUCCUGGAGGCUCCAUGGAAGCUUCGUCCUUGGAUUUCUCAAUGCCAGCAACACGGUCUUGAUGUGGAUUUGCAGGUUACAAAAAUUUCGAGGGUUCAAAACCAGGCAGCCCAUCUUCUUGCUGUCAAAUAGCUAGGACUUCAUCUUCUUAUACACAGCUCAAUCCUGUUUGUACAAAACCAAGACAUGAUCCUGCUUGUGCUGUUCUCUCAGCACUUCUUUCUGUACAAUUGGGUCACCUAACCCUCACCCAUGUACACUGCUUUUAGCUCUUGAAUGAAGUUCUUUUUCAAAAAAAAAAAAAACGAGCCCUCUUUACCAGCCACAACUCCUCUACGGGCUCCACUAGCUCCUCGGCCACCACCAGAUCCAUCAACAGCAUCUGACGGCCAUAGUGGCUCGAAUUUAUCAUGCCAAGCAUAACUCGCCCAAUUCAUGCCAAAGAGGCUGGCUCACCAAGUGGAAACCUCAUUACUGGAAAAAAUAAAAGAAAUUGAGGUGCGACCGUGGGAGGGGUUUUCUGUCUUUUAGCAAGCUACCAUUUUCAUUAUCUCUUCUCACUACGGGAAACACUUAAUUUGCCAAGUGCCACAGGCACUCGGCGAAGACCCAAAAAUACUCGGUAAAGGCUUUGCCGAGUGUUACACUCGGCAUAUAGCACACGACAAAUAUUGCGUCGGCAAACACGACUUUGCCGAGUGUCAAAACUCGCGCACUCGGCAAACACUUUGCCGAAGGCCAAAAAAACACUCGGCGAAAAGACACACUCGGCGAAAUUGGCUUUGACGACGUCAGGCUAACGACAGCUUUGCCAAAUGCCAUACGGCAGGCACUCGGCAAACAAGCCCUAUUUGUCGAGUGCCAACACAUGGCAAACAAGCCCUGUUUGUUGAGUGCCAACACACGGGAAAGACGGGAUGUUUGCCGAGUGCCAACACACGGCAAACAGGGCUUGUUUGCCGAGUGCCGGGGCCCUGACACUCGGCAAAGAACGGAAAAAAGGGGGGUNNNNNNNNNNNNNNNNNNNNNNNNNNNNNNNNNNNNNNNNNNNNNNNNNNNNNNNNNNNNNNNNNNNNNNNNNNNNNNNNNNNNNNNNNNNNNNNNNNNNCAAGGUUCCCAUUGUUGUUUUCAUCCUUAUUAGUUAGGAUUUGUUAGUGAGUGAUGGUGCGCAACGCAAGACGUAAAUCUUGGACCCUUAUCCCUCUGAACAUGUAACAGAGUCCGCCGACUGGGGACCUCUAUAGUUUAUUUUUUAUUCAUCUAUGCGGCAGAGACUAUGUCUUCUUACUCAUCUAAAUCUAAGUCCAUCGUAGAGCGGACGUGAGUGAUUUCGUAGUCUUCACAGUGAUAUUUCAAAACACCCGGUGUACAUAUGGCCAGUAUAAUCUGGAUCGCGACGAUCUACGAGCUGGUGUCCCUUGUCCCUGACCCCAGACAGUGAGUGAUAGCCUUCUCUCGGAAACGUUCAUAACCAGGAAUCAGUAGUUUGUAGUAAUGCUGCCCCUUGGCCUUAGGCAGAGGCCCAUCUUUUGCAAAAGGCGCCUGUUUGCCGAGUGUAACACUCGGCAAAGUGGUCUGUAUCCCCCUUUUUUCCCGUUUUGUCACGUAUAACGGACCCCUCUCAAUUCACAAUACACAUCAUCACAAGUAUUUGUAAUGAACAAUCACAUGCAUAAUUCACAACCACCAUUAGAAACAUUAUUCAUAAACAUCACAGGCAUAAUCCAACAUAAGCACGAAACAAUCCGUAAAUCCAAGUUUAAGUCACAAUUUAGUUUCAACAAAGUUCACAACCAAGUAUAGUUCCGUGGAGGUCAAGGAGACCACUGCGACAAAUCUUGAUCUUCAUUAUUCGAAGCCGCCGAUUGAUUCUGCACAUAGGAUAGGACAUUCUGAGCUAACAUCUAAAGUUGUCAAAAUUAAAGUAUUGAAUCUUAAGCACAAUGUGUCAAGUGACUCACAGGAGUAGUUGUGGGUGGCUGAGGCGGAGGGAACAGCAUCGGCGGUGGCGGAGGCAAAGACUGAUCCAUGCUCGAAGCAAAAUUCUGCAUGUACGGGAACAUCUGGUCCAUCCUCAUCCGAUUUUCUUCCUCUAUCCUCCACCGCAUGUCCUCCAUCUGCGCCGCCAUCUCCUCUUGUUUCUUCCUUGCUUCUUCCACCUGGGCCUACAAUAUUUCAUUGCAAUGUUAUAAUGCAAAGCUAAAGUAUAACAACAAACGAACGAUGAAUGGAAGAGAAAGAACCUGGAGAGCCUCCAUCUGGAACUGUGCAGUGGUGGGUCGUGGCCGUAUCGCCGAGCUCGAGUCCGUGCUCCUAGCUCGGAUCUGGGAGAGAGUGGGAGUAGAGGCCGUGUCGAUUACGCCGUCGCCAAUCCAAUAUCGGCCAUGCUUCUUGCCUCCUCCCACCCUCAUCACAAUUUCUCCAUCAAUGUCCUCGGAGCUCGGAUCGAAGUCUGGCCCGUGAACCUCCCUAGCCAUCGCUGUAUACUCGGUGACACGACUGUGUAUGCUAGGAUGGCUGUACGCCUCGGAUGGGUUGUCUGGGUUGAAAUCGAUAUCGGCCGUCGCCUUGCCCUUUUUGGAGAGGACCCAUGCCUUGAGCUGGGAGCAAGGUCGGCCAUCAUGUGAUGCCGAUCGCGGAAAAAAAAUACAAUAUGAUUAGGAAUUUAUAGAAUUGAACGUUACAAUAAAGAAUUGAAGUUGCGUACCCAUUUUUCUCUAUAUUCAUCAAGGCUUAGGCUGCCUUAAUGGUGUGGUGCAGUCGGCAUCUGCAAACGCCGCUGUCGGCAAGCAAGGUGGUUCUCCAACCACCCGGGCUCCAACCACACGUCGACCAUCUUCUCCCAGCGCUGGAUAUGCGCACGACACCACCACGGAGGCACCUACAUCAUCAAACGUGUGACAUAUGAAAAAAGAAAUUGAGCCUAAUUAAUCUUAAAUAGUAAGUAUCAACGUUCUUUACUUACCCUCAUGAAUUGGUCCUUGGUUAGGUUCAUUGUCCUUGCCUCCUCUUUUCUAACCUUCAUCCGUCUGCAUUAAGCCGGGGGCUGGCCGGGGGCCGACCGGGGGCGGCCGGAGGCCGGCCGGUCGGGGGUCGGGGCCGGCUAGGGGCGGCGCGGGGCAGCCGGGGGCGGCGCGUCGGGCGGCCGGGGGGCCAGCGCGGGGGGCGGCGGGCUUGCGGCGGGUGGCACGGGGCGGGCGGCACGGGUCUGGCGAGCGGCACGGGGCGGGCGGCGCGUGCGGUGCGUGUGCGUGGGCCUGUGCAUGUGCGGGUGUGUGCGCGUGCGUGACUUAGGGCUGGCUUAAUGUCCAGUCUUUGUCUAGUGCCCCUGAUCUAGCACUCGGCAAAGGCAUUUUUUAAUAUUUUCGAAGUUUUCAGCCUUUGCCGAGUGCUAGAUCAGGGGCACUCGGCAAAGGAUUUUUUUCCCUGAAUUUUGGACUAACACUGACAUGUGGACCCGCGGCGAGCUUUGACGAGUGUCCGAGGGAUGACACUAGGCAAACAUAUUCUUUGCCGAGUGCCUUAUUGCGACCCUCGGCAAAUCAAUACUUAUAUUGCAUGUGCAAAGUAGUUUUAGUAAUUAAAAGUAUGUAAACUUUGCAAAAACCUAGUCAAAUUCACUAAACAUUGCGUAUUUUAUUUUUUUAAGUAAUAUUAUUCCAUGAUUUCAUGGAUUUAUAGCUCAUAUUGAAUUUAUAUCUAUUAAAUUCAUAUACUUGCAAUUAAUAAAUAAAAAUUAUCAAACAGAUCUGAAAAAUUCCUAAAAUUUGACAUGAACCAAUCUAUGUUCUCUAUGGCUUAUAAAAAUAAAUUUGAACUCAAUGAAAAAUUCAAGUAUCGAUUCGACUCAAAAUCUUACCAGAUCCUUCCAACUUCUACGAAUCCUCUCCGAAGAUGCUUCGAAUUCUAAGCAUCAUAUGUCAAAAAUUUUACGAAACCUUCUCAAUUUUUUACCACAGCCUCUGCAUAUGAAAUCAUAGCAUAUUGGAAAAUCUUGUGAUUUUCAAACUUCGUUUGUAUUUUUGAGAAUUAAAAAAUCAUUCGGCCACACGUUCGUAGUCGUGUUUCCUUAACAAAAUGUUCGAAAUUUCUUUUCAUUUUCCGGAUGAGACCUCAAUUUGGACUCACUAACAUGAAUACGAUUUUUCCACUCAUAUUAUUCCAUUAUUCCAAUCACCUGCAGUUCAAAUUUGACUUAAAUUAAUAAAUUUUAAAUAAAAUUAAUUCAUUAAAUAUAGCAAACAGGUCAAUAAAUAGUCCACCUUCUACCAUGCAGUGCCAAAUAUCAUACAUGGAGAGUAUAAAAAGUUUGGAGGGUGGAGGAGGGAAAAAAUGUUUUAGUUUUGCCGAGUGUGUCAAAAAACACUCGGCAAACCUUCAUGUUUGCCGAGUGUCCCAUCAAAACACUCAGCAAACAUGAAGGUUUGCCGAGUGUCGCACCUAACACUCGGCAAACCCUGAGCUUUGCCGAGUGUCCCCCGUCGACACUCGGCAAACAGCUAACGCCCGUCACACCCCCUACUGAACGCCGCACGUGCUGGUCACGUGCUUAAGGGUUUGCCGAGUGUAUUUUAUUUGCCGAGUGUCCCCCGUGAGUUUGCCAAGUAUUUUUUUUGGCAAUCGACAAAUCAUAUUUUCGCCGAGUGUAAUAUGUUUGCCGAGUGUUGUCAGGGAUACACUCGGCAAACGCGACCUUCGCUGAGUGCCCGCAAUAAUGCACUCGACGAACAAAUUACACUCGACAACUUUAGUGUUUCCCGUAGUGUCUACAUUUAUUUUAAUUGGGCAACGUAAAACAAUGCCUCACGUCGGUAGGGAAUGGCCAAGGUUUGGUUUCUUUCUUCUGUGGGUCUACCAGUCUAGUCUUGCUUGUCUUUUUGUUACGUACAUAAUUAUAAUAUUUUAUUUGGUAGCCAUUAUUGGAGUUUGGCCUAGUCACGAGAUGGCAUAGUCCAAAUAAUCAGACAGAACUUUGUCGACCGCAGAACUCUGUAAGCAGAGCCACUUUAGUUUCUAAUUCCCUAGUUUUCCUUUCCUCUCAGAGAUAUUUUUCAACGAGUCCUCCCUCAGAUUUGCAUCUGUGGUGUCAAUCCAAGGCUACAUAUAUAAUAAGGAACGAAGAAUAGAUUAAAGGGGUGUUUGGGAACACCGUGCUAAACUUUAGCACCCGUCACAUCGGAUGUUUGGAUACUAAUUAGGAGUAUUAAACAUAGUUUAAUUACAAAACUAAUUGCACAGAUGCAGUCUAAUUCGCGAGACGAAUCUAUUAAGUCUAAUUAGUCCAUGAUUUGACAAUGUGGUGCUACAGUAACCAUUUGCUAAUGAUGGAUUAAUUAGCCUUAAUAGAUUUGUCUCGCGAAUUAGACUCCAUCUGUGCAAUUAGUUUUGUAAUUAGCUCAUGUUUAGUCUUUCUAAUUAGCAUCCGAAUAUCUGAUAUGACCCUACUAAAGUUUAGCACCUCAUAUCCAAACACCCCCUUAAUAAUAAAAAAAGGAAUGGAAUAAAGUGGCAAGGAGCAUUAAGGAACGGCUGGUUCACUGCAUUAUUGAGUUGCAUCUCACUGCAGCCCUCCUCACACUGGUACGGUGAGCUCCGGCUGCAGCUGCAAGACGACUAGCAGGUGCGUACUUGCUUCUCUGAAUUCCCGCUUUGAAAGACAAGGCUCAACUCUGAAUUCCUUUCUCUGGGUAUAUAUAUGAUCCUCCACAACUGCUUCAGUUUAUUUCUUUUUUGUGAACGUCCUGUAAGGCUGUGAGAUCUAUCAAAUCGGUUUGGCAACUUUCAUCGCAGAGAGAUCUGCUUCUACUGCCAUGGCAUCCCCAACAUCCAGUAUGGUUUCAUCACAAAACUCUACUACUUUUGCAUCUAUUGGUAACUGGUUUCGUGUUUCUUUCUAAUUUCGUUCUUUUUGUUUUCAAAAGAUUGAUUUGAUAGGAUGUGGUAGGAAACGAAGAGAAGGUUUUCUUGGUAGUACCUGUACAAGGCUGCUAGUCUUGAUGUAGAAGAAUAACGCCAUGAAGAGUUGGACAGAUGACCAUCCAAGGAAGCUACAAUACUCAUUAGUUAAAGAGAUUACAAAUAAUUUUACAGAUGAACUUGGACGCGGUGCAUUUGGACGUGUGUUUAAGGUACCCCUAUUAAAUUAAAAAUCUCCUUUGUAAUGUUUGUUGUAAAACAUAUGAUGUUUUGUAAAUUUAUUUACAUUCAUAAUCUGUGACCUCCUUCUAUCUCUUACAGUGAUUGUGGGUAAACCUUUACACUAAAUAUCUUUUCUUGCCAACCUAACGUUUGAACCAGGGUCAUGGGAUAAUUAUGUUAAAAGUGUAGUUUAUAAUCCAAAGCUCUAUUUGUUGCAUAGGUGUCCUUUGAGCCAUGGGAUUUAAUUUGAAAGAAUGUCUCCAGAAAAACAUAUGUGGAAAAUAUAUCAAAGAUGUUUUCUGUUUCUAGACCUUAUCAUUAGCAGUUUUAAAUAAAAGAACAAUUUGCGUUGAGCUCAUAUCACAGAAAGUAUUACAAAAUAUAUCGCAAAUGGUUUUAUGUCUAAACCUUGCCACAGAUACUAGUUUUGAAAGCAAAACAGUCAUUGGUGGCCUUGAGACUAUCUGUAGUAGUGAAUGUUGGAUGAUAUUGUUGUUUAUUGUCUUAACAUCGGUUAUAUGAGGAUGUGUACAAAAGGAACAGAGCUAAUCAUAUUCAUUUUCAUUUUUAAUUCUCUGUUACUAUAUAUCAGCAUAGAAAAAACAAAAUUAUUACGUGUAAUUAAAGAAGGUGUUUAAUAGGGGCUGCUUGAUGAUGGAGAAGAGGUUGCUGUGAAGGUGCUUCGUUAUUUCACGCCUGAGAUCAGUGACCAGCAGUUCCAAAAUGAAUUUGGAAACCUUAAGAAGCUCAAGCAUCCUAAUAUUGUACGAUUGUUGGGGUUCUGCGAUGAAACUGAGGAAGAAAUUAUUGAGCACAAAGGAAAAUUAGUAGUUUGUUAUAGGAUACACAGGGCACUGUGUCUUGAGUAUGUGCCCAAUGGAAACCUUCGCAAGUUUCUUUCAGGUAAGGUGCUCAUGUGUUAUUGGGUAAUAUUAUUUCGGACAUGUGAAUAAAAAUAUUCUUUGCAUUAUGUAUAUUGAGAAUAUUAUGUUUGUUCUUGUAGGUGGAUGUCUUAGCAAGAAUUGGCCCAUACGCUACAAAAUAAUUAAGGGAAUCUGCGAGGGUCUACAGUACCUUCACAAGAUUCCCAUUUUCCAUUUUGACUUAAAACCUGAUAAUAUACUGCUAGAUGAGAAGAUGUUGCCAAAAAUCACCGAUUUUGGUUUAUCUAGGCUCAUUGGUGAAGGGAACACCAAAAAGACAAUGACGCCUCUAGGGACAGUGUAAGAUUAUUGUCUCAUGUGAACUUUUGGUCUGCUAAAUUGUAGUUAUUCCUUAGUCUCACUUUGCUAUGUCAUUUAUGUUCUGCUGCAGUGGAUACUUGCCUCCAGAGUUCAUUGACAAUCAAAUAAUCUCCAGGGAAUAUGACAUAUAUAGUUUAGGUGUUAUAAUUAUGCAGAUAAUCACUGGUGUUACAAGCUUCUCUGAUUUUGCUGACAUGGAGCCCCAAGAAUUUAUUGAACAUGUAAGAAUAAUUUAAUUAAUCUUAAUUUAUAAGCCUCUUAGAUACUAGCUAGAACAUGUAAGAAUAAUUUAAAUAAUCUUGAGCGGGUUACGUAUAAUGGAUCGAUUGAUUGUUAUUGCAUUGAGCCUCUUGGCUGGUACAUAUUAAGUACAAGAUUUGGAGGGCAAGACUCCUCUGGAUACAUGUGGCAGUCUACGACACGUAUAUCUACAACUACCAAAUAUACUCGUUUUGGAGAUUCUUAUUGUAUAUAAAGUUGGCAGCACGCCAUGUUGAUAGUCCUGUUGGAACAAUAUCCAUGAAUUUAUCACCAUUUAAUAGCAGAUGCAUGCAAGUAGAGUGUCACUCCAUCAGCUUUCAACCACUUUAGAUUCAAGGGAGAUCUUUCUGUAAAUCACACUGUGGACUCUACAUGUUGUGGUUAUUAUUUCACUCAUCACAUUUGGUCAGAACUCUAAAGUUCAUUAUAGUGCAACGAGCCUAAACGUGACAGUUCAUAUCGAUUUACUGUUACAAUCAAUUCCGAUAUUCAAAACAAAACAACAUGUAUUUGCAAUAGGGCGGAGUACUAAAUUCCAUAAUAUUAACCGCCCUUGUACUUGUUUUACUCCGUGUUUUAACUUCAAAGGUACAUGACAACUGGAAAAGAAGUCUAGAAGAGAUCCCAGAGUAUGCGUCACUUGAAGCGGAUUGCAAACAAGUGAAAAGAUGUAUGGAAAUUGCAAUAAACUGCAGGAAGAAGAAGCGUCAUGAAAGGCCUACAAUAGAGGAUAUUGUCAGCAAAUUAGAUGAGAUGGAAAGCAAAUUAGAUGAGAUGGAAACUGUUAAAAUUGACACGCAGUUGUCAAUUAAAAAGGUACAACCUAUCAUUCAUCUUAUGUAUGUAAAAAAUAUAGAACCCAUAGUUUAUUUGUCCCUAAAUAUUACCAGUGGUCGAAAAUACUUGGCUCUUUAUACGUCCACGUGGCAACUUUCACUAUGUUUGUUUUUAAAUAUUUAAGUUGGAAACAGGGAAAAUAAAUUGCUUGAUUUGUGUCGGAAAGAUGCAUAUAUCGGAUAUAAAAGUGAGCAAAAUACUCAUAUGACUCUCAGUAUAUUAAUGUCUCUCUUUCUUGCCACUGUUAAUUUUAUGUAUGCUGUAAUUCUAACUAGAGGUGUGCGCGCGCGUUAGGACUGCAGUUUAAUUUCCCAACCAAACAGCACCUUAGUUCUCUGAUAUAAAAUAAGUCUACAACAGAUCCCAGAGUAUGCCAUCAUGUGAAUUCAUACCGACACAAGUCGAUGAGAUAAACGAGAGGCCGACGUCUCUCGAAUUAGCCACCGUCUCCUAGGAGAAGGAAUGAACCAUGACGAAACAUGAUUAGUCUGUGCAAAAUCACUAACAAUGUGCCAAAACUAAAUUAAUUAGCUUUAGGAUCCGUGCUAUUUUUUCAAAGGAGCACCGGAGCAAAAUCCACAAUGUAAUUUUUACUUCAUUUCGUAGGAUGAGCAAACACCAUUUUCCUAAGAUUUCCCAUUUGUUUUUAUUGACAGGGUUACUUUGAAGAAUCUAGUGGCAUCCUGGGCAGGCCAUGUCAAUGUUAGUAAUGUUACAUUUAAAAUAGAUCCCUUCAUUUACUAAAUAUUUUAUUUAUUUUUAUUGAAGUUUGAUAUUGAUAUAAUGUAGCAUGCUGUGUGUUGGUGUAAUUGUGUUGUUCAGUACAAUCGGCUGGAGCGGUACUCCUUGCUGUCACGAAGAUUGGUUCCAUUUUAGGAGAUGAAACCUCCAAGGCUGUUAUAUAUAAGCUGUCUGGAAAAGUUCAUUCUCUGAAGGAGCUGCCAUGGAAAGUCGAUCAAAUAAGGAAGAAACUGACAUUCAUGAGCCAAAUUAUACAGCAGAUUGGAACAGUUUACCUCACAGAUGAGCUUGUCAAUAAUUGGAUCGGGGAGGUCCGGAAGGUGGCUUACCGUGUUGAAGAUGUAGUAGACAAAUACUCAUACCAUGUUUUUCAACUGAUGCAAGAAGGGUUCCUGAAGAAGUUCUUCAUCAAGGGAACCCAUUAUUCCAUUGUUUUCAGCGCAAUUACAGAUGAGAUAGCUGAUAUAGAAGAGGAGAUUAACCAAGUUAUUCAUAUGAAGGAUAAUUGGUUACACGAAACACAGCUUGUCUCUAACCAACAACAACUUGCUGAGAUUGAAAGACAUCGCUCGGAAGAACAAAUGGCAAAAGCUGUACUCCUUGUUGUUAUUCACGAUGAUCUUGUGGGAAUUGAAGAAAACAGGAGACUGCUGACUGGAUGGUUGAACUCAGACGAGCAAAUUACCAGAUUAAUAACAGUAUCUGGUAUGGGUGGAUUGGGGAAAACCACCCUUGUCACAAAUGUGUACGAGCGGGAGAAGAACAAUUUCACCACUCAUGCUUGGAUCGUUGUAUCUCAGAAUUAUGAUGUGGUUAAAUUGCUGAGGAAACUGCUGAGGAAGAUUGGGGAGCCAGAACAGUCACAGCUAGUGGAUUUGGAUGCCCGUGACUUGAAAGCAAAAGUAAAGGAAAGACUAGCUGGUAGGAAGUGCUUGAUUGUACUGGAUGAUGUAUGGAAUCAAGAAGCAUACACUCAGAUAAGGGAUGCAUUCCAGAACCUCCAAGCAAGUUGUGUUAUCAUCACGACGCGACAGGAACAGGUCGCAGUCCUUGCUCACCCCACUCGUCAACUCAAACUCAAGCCAUUGGAUCACGGUGAUGCACACGUGCUGUUUUGCAGAAAGGCUUUCUAUAACACCAUAAAUUGCAGCUGCCCCGAUGAACUUGAGAAGCUGGCCAACAAUAUAGUGGAUAGGUGUCAAGGACUUCCACUUGCAAUCGUAACCAUGGGUGGCCUGCUGUCUGCACUGCCACCAAUUAAACAAGUUUGGAACGAAACAUACAAGCAAUUUCAGGAUGAGCUGACGAACAAUGAUCAUGUUCGUGCAAUUCUAAAUCUGAGCUACCACGACUUACCUGGAAAUCUUAGAAACUGCUUCCUUUAUUGUAGCUUGUACCCUGAGGAUCACCUAAUGUCACGAGAGAGCCUUGUUUGGCUAUGGGUUGCAGAAGGUUUUGCGCUUCAAAAUGAACAAAGCACACCAGAGGAGGUGGCCGACAGAUACCUACGGGAACUGAUCCAAAGGAAUAUGCUGGAAGCUGUUGAGAACGAUGAGCUAGGAAGGGUCCGCACCUGUAAGAUGCAUGACCUUGUACGUGACCUGGCACUUUCUGUUGCUAAAGAGGAGAAGUUUGGUUUUGCGUAUGAUUUUGGCACAUUGGUGAAGAUGGACAAGGGUGUUCGUCGCCUGUCUUCCUGUGGAUGGCAGGACAAAACUUCACUGAAAGUUAAAAUUCAACUGCCACGCCUUCGAACCGCAGUUGCACUCGGAAUAAUUGGAUCCUCCCCUCAGUUGUUAUCUUCAGUUCUUUCUGAAUCCACGUACCUGACAGUUCUCGAGUUGCAAGAUUCUGAAAUAAGUGAAGUGCCAGCAUCCAUAGGAAAUAUGUUUAAUCUACGCUACAUUGGUCUGCGUCGCACAAGAGUUAAAUCACUCCCAGAAUCGAUUGGAAAGCUCUCCAACCUCCAAACACUGGACAUAAAGGCAACAAAAAUAGAGAAGCUACCAAGAGGUGUUGUUAAAAUCAAGAAGUUACGGCACCUUCUGGCAGACAGAUUUGCAGAUGAGAAGCAGUCAGAGUUCCGAUACUUCAUUGGAGUGCAAGCACCAAAAGAGCUAUCCAACUUGGAAGAACUUCAGACUCUAGAAACUUUGGAAGCCAACAAGGACCUGGCUGAGCAGCUGAUAAAACUUACGAAACUAAGGAGUGUGUGGAUUGACAACAUAAGUGCAGCGGAUUGCGCAAACCUUUUCUCUAUACUGUCAAAGAUGCCUCUUCUUUCCAGCUUGCUUCUCUCUACAAGUGAUGAGAACGAGACACUUCAUUUGGAAAAUCUGAAGCCAGCAUCUGAAAACUUCCACAGAUUGAUAAUCAGAGGGUGCUGGGCAGAUAAGACACUUGAGUGCCCUGUAUUCCGUGACAGUGGCAGAAAUCUCAAAUAUCUAGCUAUUAGCUGGUGCCACCUUCAGGAAGAUCCACUGCAGCUGCUUGCACCUUACGUGCCGAAUCUCACCUAUCUUAGUCUUAACAGGGUGAGUACUGCAGACACCUUAGUUCUUUCUAAAGGGUGCUUCCCACAGCUGAAGACGCUUGUCUUGAAGCGCAUGCCCAAUGUUGACAAGGUGGAGAUCAGAGUCGGUGCCCUUCAACAGAUCGAGGGUUUAUAUGUUUUGUCACUUCUAAAGCUCGACAAGGUCCCCCAAGGUAUUGAAUCCCUUCGUUCUCUUAAGAAACUGUGGCUGCUGAGUUUGCACAAGGACUUCAGAGGUCAUUGGGAUAGCAAAAAGAUGCAGCAGAAGAUGCAGUAUGUUCAAGAGCUCCGCAUCUGAAGUGGCACACGUGUACCACAGGAGUAGAAAUGCACUUCACAUCUGCUCGCAGCAACGUCAGGCGUUUAAUCCUUUCCAAAUAACUAAAUAAGUCAUCAGAUCUUUGACAUUGUUGAUGCAACUACAAUUGCAGUUAUGCCAUGCUUUAGCAUUUUCCUUUUUAAUGGACCCUGACUUUAUCUGCGAUCAGGGCGUGCCCAGCCUCAUCGCAGCUGUGGUAUAUUUUUCCCCAUUGAUUCAGAUUUUGAUUCCCAUCCGAGGACUUGGACCUUCGACCCUCGACUUCUCGAGAGGCCUCGCUGUGGCAGCUGCCGCCGGCACCGCGCCGAAGAAGCAGGAAGCCAUUCCGCCACGAACUACGAGAAAGGGAGAAGGCCUGCCUGCAGACGGCGCUAGUCUUGGAGGCCCAGUUCAGCUGGGCAAAGGCCACGGAUUGCCCACCCCAUGCAUCCUUUCAGAAAACGCGGACCCGGUCUGCGCCACUGAAUUGUUAGCCCGUUGGGCUGGCAGCUUGGGAUCAAAGCAGCCAGUGAGUGAGCGCGGAAUUCCUAUCCACAGACUAAGAUUUGUUUAAGAUUUGUUCGGAGUACAAUCAACUAAUGAGAUUAAGGGGUUGUUUGGAUACCCCGUGUUAAGUUUAGCACAUGUCACAUCGGAUGUUUGGAUAUUAAUUAGAAGUAUUAAAUAUAGACUAAUUAUAAAACUAAUUGCACAGAUGGAGUCUAAUUCGCGAGACAAAUCUGUUAAGCCUAAUUAGUCCAUGAUUUGAUAAUGUGGUGCUACAGUAACUAUUUGCUAAUGAUGGAUUAAUUAGGCUUAAUAGAUUUGUCUCACGAAUUAGCAUAGGGUUCUGCAAUUAGUUUUAUAAUUAGCUCAUGUUUAGUCCUAAUUAGCAUCCGAACAUCCGAUGUGACACUGCUAAAGUUUAGCACCUUGUAUCUGUCGGUGUUUUAGACUGGCAACCCACCUAGGGGGUACCCUAGGUGGUCUUUUGUGCGGUAAGGGUCGUCGAGAAUCAAGGAAUUAAUGGUGACACAAGGAACACGAUUUAGACAGGUUCGGGCCGCUAGAUCGCGUAAUACCCUACGUCCUGUGUGUUGGUUUGUAUUGAUGAACUGGAGUUGUUGUUGAGGGGAGUCCCUGCCCACCCUUAUAUACACGGGAGGGCAGGGUUACAAGUCUGAGUCCUAGUUGAGUACUAUUACAGAGUUUUACUCGGUAAGGCCCGUGUAGUUUUCCAUAUACAUACUUGACUAGUUUGAAUGGGAUACGCCUAUCCCUUGUCCUGAUCAUGUCCGAGUACGCCCCUGAGUGGGCCGUCCAAGGUCUACUCGUGGGCCUGGGGUGCAUGCCCGACAAGCCCCCUAGUACUUUGUAGUCGUGCGCCACAGUCUUAGGCACUGCGGGCACUAUCCGAGUAGCUGGUCGUAGAGGUUGCAGACUGAAGUACUCGAGUACUGUCGCGUGGCUGGAAUGUACUCUUUUUGUUCUUUCAAGUUGUCUCUGUUCCGAGAAAUUUUAUAUGGUAGUGCGAUGUCAAUCCCACUUCAUAUGGAGUAGCCCCCGAGCCUUAGGUUGAGUCGAAGAGUCAGGCUUAGGGUCAAACCAGCUUUUUUGUCUGUUUUACCCUUGGAAGUCUUUGAAAAAUAGAAAACUGACCAACGGGUACGGUACCCGCAGCCCCCGAGCACUUAGGCGAUCUCUGUCGUUGAAGUGGUCAGCAGUCCGUUGAAAAGAGUAGCCGUUGAGUGUUUAAGGUGAUUAAUCUGCCAUUAAUCUGUUAGAAUCCGUCCGUUGCGUAACCGACGCGUGGAAACCGGAGCUGACGGAGAUAAAACUGGAAAGCCCCCUUUCGGUUGGUUUUACGCCGCACGGCAAUCUUCUUUGGAAGUUUAACUCGAUACACUAUGGGUCCACAAACUUCUACAAUCUCAUAGGGACCAAUAUAGCGCGGAGCCAACUUUCCUUUUACUCCAAAAUGUUGUACGCCUUUGGUCGGUGAAACCCGCAGGUAUACAAAAUCCCCAACCUCAAAUUGGAUAGGUCUUCUUCUUUGAUCGGAAUAGCUCUUUUGUCGAGAUUGGGCGGCCUUGAGAUUUUCGCGGAUAACUCUCACUUUUUCUUCGGCCUCCAUGACCAGGUCAGGUCCAUACACUGUUCGCUCUCCAGGUUGCGACCAGCUUAGCGGGGUUUGACAUCUACGUCCAUACAAAGCUUCAAAAGGCGCCAUUUUCAGGCUAGCUUGGUAACUAUUGUUGUAUGAGAAUUCCGCUAAUGGCAAACACUUAUCCCAGUUCUUGUCAUAAUGAAUGGUACAGGCACGUAGCAUAUCUUCCAAAAUCUGGUUAACCCUUUCAGUUUGUCCAUCAGUUUUGAGGAUGAUAUGUGGAACUACGAAUCAAUUUAGUGCCAAGUGAAAACUGCAACUGCUCCAAAAAGCGUGGUACAAACUAACUACCUCGAUCAAAGAUGAUCGUUUUAGGUACACCAUGCAAGGAAAUAAUCCGGUCAAGGUACAGUUCUGCAUAUUUCUGUAUGGCGUGGGUGGUGUGUACUGGAAGGAAAUGCGCUGUUUUGGUUAGUCGGUCUACUAUAACCCAUAUGGAAUCAUGCUUGCGGGAGGUAUUAGGUAGUCUAACUAUAAAGUCUAUGCUUAUGUCCUCCCACUUCCACGAGGGAAUAGGCAGCGGCUGCAAGGGGCCAGCUACCCUCAAGUGGAUUGCUUUGACUCGCUGACAGGUAUCACACUCUAAAACAUAUCGUGCAAUGUCGGGUUUCAUCCCACUCCACCAGAAAUUUUGUCGGAGGUCGUGGUAAAUCUUGGUACUACUAGGGUGGAUCGAGAACUUGGAAAGGUGUGCUUCGUCCAGAAUUUUUUUGUUAAGAUCGGGAUCAUUUGGAACUACAAGUCGAGCUUCAUAAUGUACCACUCCUUUCCAAUCCUGUCGGAAAUGCUUAUAUCCCUCAUCCUCCUGUGCGAGUUUCUCUUUGAUAAGGUUUAUCUCUUCAUCCUCUAGUUGUGCUAGAAUUAUUUGGUCAAGCAGGGUAGGCUCCAGAGAAAUAUGACUUAAGGUACCGUGGGGAACAAUUUCCAAGUUGAGUUUAGCCAUUUCAUGACAUAGGGUCUCGGCAUAAUUAAUCGCCGAUAAGCAGUUACAAUGGACCUUGCGGCUGAGAGCAUCUGCAACUACGUUGGCCUUGCCUGGGUGAUAAUGCACUUCUAGGUCAUAAUCUUUGAUUAAUUCUAACCAUCUUCUCUGAUGCAUGUUGAGGUCUGCUUGAGUGAAGAUAUACUUAAGGCUCUUGUGAUCUGUAUAGAUGUUGCAUCGAGUUCCCAUAAGAUAAUGCCUCCAGAUUUUCAGAGCAUGAACAACUGCUGCUAACUCGAGAUCAUGGGUAGGGUAAUUCAACUCAUGUGGCCGUAGCGCUCGCGAGGCAUAGGCAAUGACUCGGCUAUCUUGCAUAAGAACACAACCAAGUCCAGUGCCAGAGGCAUCGCAAUAUACGCCAAAUGGUCUAGUGGUGUUGGGCUGAGCUAAAACCGGCGCAGAGGCUAGCAAUUGUCUCAGGGUGUGGAAGGCUUCUUCACAUUUGUCGCUCCACACAAACUUAAUUCCCUUCUUCAGCAGUUCCGUCAUUGACUUAGCUAUUUUUGAGAAGUCAGGAAUGAAGAGACGGUAGUAACCUGCUAAACCGAGAAAACUUUGAAUCUGAUGAACUGAAGUGGGCGGCUUCCAGUCCAUUACUUCUUCCACUUUGCUUGGGUCUACUGCUAUACCGUCUCUAGAUAUGGUGUGCCCCAAGAAUUUAACACUGUCUAGCUAGAAGUCACACUUAGAGAAUUUGGCAUAGAUUUGGUGAUCUCUUAAGCAUUGGAGUACAGUAUGAAGGUGCUCUGCAUGCUCUUCCUCAUUCUUCGAGUACACCAAGAUAUCGUCAAUGAAUACCAUGACGAAUUUGUCGAGUUCGGGCAUAAACACCGAAUUCAUGAGGUACAUGAAAUAAGUCGGUGCAUUAGUAAGCCCAAAUGACAUGACUAAGUACUCAUAGAGUCCAUACCGUGUAGAGAAGGUAGUCUUUGGAAUGUCGCAAGGGCGGAUCUUGAUUUGAUGGUAGCCAGAACGGAGGUCAAUUUUGGAAAACACUCUAGCUCCAGCUAACUGAUCGAACAGAACAUCAAUGCGGGGUAGUGGGUACUUGUUCUUUAUCGUCACCGCAUUGAGAGGUCAGUAGUCCACACACAUACGCAGACUAUCGUCCUUCUUUUUCACAAACAAGCCGGGACAACCCCAAGGUGAUGUACUUGGACGAAUAAAACCCUUUUCCAACAAAUCAUGCAACUGAGUUUUCAUUUCUGCCAGCUCGGCUGGUGGCAUCCGGUACGGUCUCUUUGAAAUUGGGGCAGUACCUGGUUUCAAUUCAAUAGCAAACUCGAUAUCUCUAUCAGGCGGCAUACCCGGCAAAUCAUCUGGAAACACAUCGGGAUACUCGCACACCACUGGGAUGUCUUCCAAACGGGCUUCAGUCAUGGGAUAGGCACAAGAAGUUUGGCACUCUCGGUGGGGUAAGUGUAUAAUUGAGCUACCAUAAAUGGGUGAAUUUAUAUGGACGGCUCUGGCAGGGAUAUCUAGUGCCACUCGAUGCUGAGUCAUCCAAUCCAUACCCAAGAUAAUAUCUAUUCCUUCUAUCCCAAGGAUAAGGAGGUUUUCCUUAAAAAGGGUUCUCCCCAACUGGAUGGGCACCUUGCGGCUCACUUGGUGUGAAGUUACUUUCCCACCCGGGGUAGAGAUGAUAUAAGCACCUUUUGUGUGACAAAAAUCUAACCCACACUUAGCACUGGUUCUAGUCCCAAUGAAACUAUGAGAUGCUCCCGAAUCAAACAGAAUAAGGACGGGUUGGUUAUAGAUAGAAAAGGUACCCGUCAUCACUGGUGCGCCCUCUGGAAGUUCAGCAAGGGUGGUGAAGUUUAGCCGGCCUUGUCGAACCUGAACCCUCGGCUUCUUCCCCUUGUUGCCCAGUGCAUUGCUCUGAUCAGGUUGUUGAUUCUUGUUGCGGGGGCAGUCCUUGGCAAAGUGUCCUGGGUUCCCACAGGUGAAACAGCGGUUUCCAGUGACUGGGUACGACGGCAUAGGGAGAGCAGGUCGGGGCCCUUGCGGCUAGAAUCCAGGGAAACAAGGUGCUGCCUGCGGUGGAGGUCGAGCAACCCAUCUCCCAGGCUGUGCGGGCCUGCGAGACGCCUGUGGGGGAACCAUUCUGUAUUUCUGGGCAGGUGGGCUGGGUGCCGGCAUCGGAGCCUUCCGCUUCAGGUCGGCCUUGAGAGCCCUCAUGCAAUCUUCUCGGAAAUUGCCAGGUUCACCAGUUCAUUGUAGGAAUCCACCUUGAUGGGAUUCAGCCUUUCCUUGAGCUCCAAACUCAAGCCUCUGCGGAAGCGGUCCCUCUUCUUCUCAUCGGAGUCCGCAUGGUAGCCUGCAUAGCGACACAGGUCAUUGAAAGCCUGCGCAUAGUGCAGGACAUCGUGGCCUCCCUGGGUGAGAGCCAGGAACUCAUUGAGCUUGCGCUCCAGAAGACCCUCAGGGAUGUGAUGGCCCCUGAACGCCGUCUUGAAUUCCUCCCAGCUGACGACGUGGUCGGCCGGCUGCAUGGCGUGGUAGUGAGCAGAACCACGCAACUGCUGUGCGGCGAACUGAACCUUGUUCUCCUCCGGGCAAUGGGUGGUGAGGAGGGAGAACUUGGACUCGAUAGCACGAAUCCAGGUAUCGGCGUCAAGCGGGUCCUCCGUCUUGUGGAACAGAGGAGGCUGGGUCCCUAGAAAUUCUUCGUAACGAGCAACAUGAGGUUGCUGAUGGGCUCUUUCUCCCUGGGGCUGCUGCUGCUGCCCCUGAGCGAUGUGCCUCAGCAGCUCGGUUUGAGCCGCCAAGAUCACCUCGAGGGUGGUUGGAGGUGGAGGUGGGGGAGGCACCUCGCUGCCACUGGGAACAGAGCCAGAGCGUGUGCGAUGCGCCAUUUGCAAGAUUCACCUUUCCAUUAGUCACAUAACCCCAAAAACUUGUUUAACCAUAAGGAAACAUUAUGUGCGGAAAUGAUAUAAGCUAGUCUUGAGGAUGGUGCAAAAGCAACAAUCAAAACUUUUAUUGAGUAGGUGCAUAUCGCUUCUUCGAAGUGCACAAGGUUCUCUUCCUUAUGCGAGGGUUAGAAUAUGUCAUACACAACCACUUUGAUGUUACGCUUGUUGACCGAAAAGGAAGGGAAAGGGGUCGUUUAGACGUUCUAGCAAGUUGCUGUCCGGCUGAAUUUUCAGCAAGCUGAGCAGUGGGGUUUUGGCUCUAGCAGGCGUUUGACAGAUCCGAAGGAGCUGAAAAUUUACGAGUAGUUAGAACAGAAGUUUUUGCACAACUUUGGUAUUCAAACUUUGGCUCAAAAACGAGUGGAGACAGGGGUAAAACUGAGGAGAAACAGUCACUGCAGUUCUGCCAUAAAUUUCAGACAUUACACUAAAGAUAGCAACGGCAACCCUACAUAGAAUCAGUUUUUCAACACCCAAAUACUCAACUCAAGCUAACCUAUUAUAUCACUGGCCAAAAUAUAGGUCGCCGAGGAGCAAAAACAAAAGAGAACCGCUCAACAAUAAGUCAACACAACUAGAAAUCGUCGAGGUUGCCCACGGAGACAAAGCUGAGGAUAGGAGAGUGAGCAUCGCUAACUGGAGGCUGCGGAGAGGCCUCCUCAUAGUCCAUGCUCGAAAAGCCCUCGAUCUCCUCGGGCUCCUCCUCCUGGGCCAACGGCUCAUCCUGCUGCAUCUCUAAAGCGUGAAUGGCAUUAAGCUCAUUGCGAUGCUCCUGCAGGUGCUCAUUGGCGUUCGCCAGCUCCAUGUUCACAUCAUAGAACUGGUCAACCAAGAUCUCCAUAUCGUGCUCCAUAUCCACGAUCUCCUCCUCCAAACGAGUGAUCUUAUCCUACAUCUCAGAAAUCUGGACAUCCUUCUGUACUAGCUCAAGCGACUGGUCCACCAUGCCACUCUGCACGGCAGAUAAAGCGACCUGGUUGGCCACUGCCAUCCCGAUCACCGUAGCCAUCGCUCGGCUCUGCAUCUCGACCAUCCUGUAGAACACGUUCAGGUAACAAGCUGAAACAAAAAUCGUGCACUGUGGAUCCAUAACCCCGAGCAAGUCCAUAUGCUCCAUACGAUCCAACCUCGUAUCCCGGGCAGGGAACAACCCAAUCGGGUCCAGCACAAUCUCAAGAGGGUGUGCCCGACAGAACUGUGUCAGGAUCUGCAAGGCUGCGAACUCCCAGGUGUCCUGUAGCGUGUGUCCCUUGGCCACCACCUCCAAAAGCGGCCACUGUGGCUGAUCCGGAGGCGGGGGCACCCGCAUGUGCACGCGACUCCACGGAAUCCCGUGAUCCUGGUACGCACGUCCCGCGUAAACCGGCGGUGACGGGUACCCAAAAGAGCGCAGGGUGUCCCACAGUACGGAUGGGAAACCCUCGUAGUGAAGGCACCGUGAGUAGGUGGUGCCAUCCGUACCGACUGCAACGUGCACGGGCUGAGCCAUCUGUAACCAAAGGACAAGUGAGAAAUGGAGUUAACACUCGAAAAUCAAAACAGAUUUCUAGCAGUUAGAGAAAAGCUCAUAACUCAACAAGUAUUCAUCCAAAAUUUCUCAAAUUUUACCAGCACAUUCUUUAGAUUGUGUGUAACAGUUUUGGUAUUCAAAGCUAGGGCUAGAACUGGACCUAACAAGGUGAUAAUCUCAGAUUUCCAUUAAGUGUUCAUGCUGGAAUUUUGCAGACCUGAGCCAAAGUAAACUGAACAUAAAUUCAAUUACAGAGACCUAAUGAAUCUGAAAUUUUACCAGUAAGUCCUUUAAUAAUUUUUGAGAAACUUUGCUUAAGGGACUCCUAGCAGAAAAAGUCAUUAAGGUGGUCGAAACAGUAGAAUUUCAACUGGUGUGCACUCAGGGCUAACAGCCAACAGGGGGUCACAAAACUGAUCACAACUCUCAACCCAAGUGGUAGUACUUUGUGAAAAUUUUUCAGCAGUUUACUUGGGAGUUUUAACACAAAUUUCUUAUAUAAAGUUUCUGGAGUUAUCAUAUGGAACAACCCGAAAGAUUUAUUAAACGUGCGUGGUGGAAAAAGACAGCUAGACAAUCCUUAUCGCGGUGCAUCUCUUUUUUUUUUCUUUACGGCGCACUCAAGCUUGGUUUUAUUUCCUUAGGUUGCGAUUUUUAUUUCUUAAUGCAUGCACGUCCUAGUCGUCCUUUCAACCAAAAAUAAUCGCCAAAAAUCUUUGGACUUACGUGGUUAGUGCCGGUGGCAAGGCAACAAUACGACUCUCACUAUAAUAACUAGUCGAUUUACUAGGCAUCGUUUCGUACGCAACGUUGUUAGUGUACCUGCAGAAAAAUACAUCACAGCUUGAACCUUCCGUGCCAGCACUCACGAAAGCGUCCACAAUCAUUACCGUUCACUAUAGAAAUGGCACCCAUGCGUUUAACGCUGCAUGGACAGCGCAACAACCGUGGAAAUAUGUUCCUUUGAAUAGAACCAUAUAACCCUUCGCAUUCUCGUGAUGUGGAAUCAUGCACACGUAUAAUAAACGUGGGCGAACAACUGUGAUGGUAGGCUCAUUGGAAUCGAACCAUACCAUCCUUCGCAUGCAUUAGCAUACGGAACCUGCACACGUAUAAUAGACGUGGGCGAAACAACCGUGAUGAUAGGCUCGUUGGAAUCAAAUUCCUAUCACCCUUUGCAUGCAUUAGCAUAUAGAACUUGCGCACGUAUAAUAGACGUGGGCGAAACAAUCGUGAUGAUAGGCUCGUUGGAAUCGAAUUCCUAUCACUCUUCGCAUACUCGCGAUGGGGAUCUCGGCACACGUAUGAUAGACGUGGCAACAAGUGCUGGAAGUCAGAAGAUAACCAAUAAUUAUUAGCCACCUUAAAAGACCCAAAAUUCCCCUAGGGCUCCUCGUACUAAACUCAUCCUUAAUGAACUUACGAAUUUCUCGACUCAUUUCUUGCAAAUUUUAGUUAGAAGAAGUGUUUUAAGGUUUGUUGUUCUCCGUACCGUGCUUCGAGCUCUGAUGCCAGCUGUGGCGGAACCGCCCAAAUUAACCUGACUAAAAUGCAUUGAAGUCGCCUGACACGCGAUUAUGCACUUUAAGCAAGUCAACCUGGUCGACCGUCAGAUUUCAUCCGAUUAACCACAUAAACAGGAUCGAGAAGCAUCGCUCACACGAAGGUGAGUAGCACAGAGAUUACAACAUUCCAUCACAUUAACUUAGUCUCACAAUUUAUUACAUAAGGGUUUCUGAAAAUUUGAACAAGUUGCAAGGUUCGAAGAGUCGGAUAAAACAAGCAGAAGCUAAAUGUUGAUACAUGACAUCACGACGGAGCCGAUCAUGACAUCAAAAAUCCCUUCCCUCGCCGUCCGAGGAGGGAUCCCACUCGACUGUCCUACCCGGAGGGAACUGGGUAGGCCAAGUGGUGCCAGCAACCAAACUAUUGACAUCACCUGAAAAGACUAAGCCACAACAAGGCUGAGCAACUAAUACUCAGCAAGGCUGACCCGUCGAGUGAAAAGCUUUACCAAGAGCUUGACAUGCAAGGCUUUCUGGCUCUGGGAUUUCUUUGCCAAAAGCAUCUAAAGUCGGUCCUUACUUUCAAUAUUUUAGCUCAAGUUCUACAUUCUUUAUCCAGUCUAGAUUAGCAACUUAUACUAAACAAGUAUAAUUUCCCAGCAGUUAAAUAACAAGCAUCAAUUUAAUCUCGUAAUCAUAUUUCAUCGUUACUCAGUGCAGAAUAGCGAUCAAGUAGUCCCAACUUGUGAGAGGUAGACGAAUCGAUUCGAAUUUAUUAACUAUGCAUGGCGAACCUAAUCUCACGACAUCCGCGCACCACGAAGGGUCGCUUCAUUUGUUAGCCGUCCCCAUCGAUCCCUUAGGCACGUGUCAGGGCCAACUGCCUUUGGCAUGCAAUGCUCCAUAAUCCCAGCCUCUGCCGUACUAUGACCACACUUGCACCCACAUGAUGCACCAUGGGAACGACGUUCCAAGGACAGCCGGGGGAGUAUGCCACGCCCCAGUUCAAUCAGGUACUAGGCUUCCCCAUCAUAUACUAGGUAUGAGAUUAGUACUUUCAAGCACUUGAUCACGAACGCCGACACGUUUCGACCUUAGAUCAAUUUCAUUUAAACAGAUGGGGAAAACCACCAAGUAUCGAACAUCAGCCCGACCCCAUCCGUCGUCCUUAUAGUUGCAACAUAAAUAAAACAUUCAACUCCUAUAACUCGCGAGUGACAGGAAAUCACUCGACUUUUACCAAAGCCUAUUAAGCAUUGCAACUACUCGACUUUAGCAACUAGUAUUCAAACAAGACACUAAGUUCAUGCAUUUAAGGUUUCAUUACAACUCCUAGAAACGUAAAUGCGCAAUCAAAGUAUUCAAUAGUAUUGCAAGUAUUCAAGAUAGGAAUUUAUGCUCCGGGGCUUGCCUUCAGGAAAAGUUAGCGGGUCCUCGGGGUCUUGCUCUGGUUCGGGCUCGCCUUCCAAGGAAUGAAGCUCCGCAGCGGGGUCUUCGUUUGGUGCCGGGUGUAGCUCGUAGGUUCCGUCGGCGAGAUUUGCUUCUAUACGACAUGCACAUGCAAAAGUUUAGUUGGACUCGCGCGUUCAUUCAACGACACAAGGCAUGGCUUAAGACAAAGAGUUGCAACAGCCACAAACACUUUGACGAGGUUAAACUUUCAUGCAAUUUCAACGAAUGAGGUCGGUUUAAACUUGAGUUCGAGUUGGAUGGCGAUUGUGUACAUAUAUAGUUUUCUUGCACUUAGAGUUGCAUAAAGAGAGUGAAAGGUCAUGUUUGGGUGGUUUGGGUGCAUUAGAAUAGUGACUUACUUCUGAAUGUUUUUAUGUACCUCUUUCAAUUUCCACUUAUUUAUCGUAUUAGAAUUUGUGCUUUCCUUUUAUUCCUUUAGGUUGAUUAAUUAACCAAAAUGACUUCAUAUCCAAACAGUGGCUAAAGGCACCGAUAAAAUUACAACACCUUAUUAAGGCCAUCACUAGGUUACUGUAAAAGUUUGGGGGCCAAAGGAUGGCUUAAAAAGGAGUUACAUGCAUUUUAUUAUUAAAGGUAAAAUUAACUUAACUUUUUCUAUCUUCAAAGUUACUGUGCAACAGAGGGUGAAACUUAACCAGUGUGUUAAGGGUAUGUUACAGGAGCUUUGGUGAAUUUUUCACAAUUUUUGGAGAAGAUUAACUAUUUACUCUAUUUCCUUUUUAAAUUAAACAUGCUUAACAAGGAAGGUGUUUUUCUUUCUAAUUUGCACAACAAUUUAUAUUUUUUCUGCAAACUUCACAACAAAACAAAAUUAACCCAACUAGUUUCACAUUUUUCUGAGCUCUGAAACAAAACUUAUGCAAAAAGGAAGAUUUAUGUAUAGAUUAUCAAUUUUAAGUCAAAACAGUGACUUAAAGUGUUAGACCAGAGCCCUACCAUUUUUCUGAGCUUCUAUAUAUAGAAAUAAGCAUCACAGAGUUGGUCUCACAUUUUCCCCACUUUUCUUCUAUUUAUUAGGAUUUAAAAGGCCUAAAACAAGAUUAAAAGUGUAGCAUAUUAUUUACAACAGUAACAUGAGCAAACUUAUUUUUCUUAGGAACUAGACAGAGCAAGGAUUCCAACAAAAGUAGUUUGGCAUUUUUAUGCUUUUUCUACGAUUUACUGGGCAUUUCCAAAGUUCAACCAUUUUUCUGCCUAUUAUUAAAAGAAAAGCCGUGGCAAACUUGCAAGCUAGCCCCUGGGUUUAAGGUUUAACUACGCAGAGGUCCCUGAGUUUUGCGCGCAGGCCCCUGGAAAGAAUGGGGACGAUGCAAUGUAGUCCCCGGGAGGCGCGCGGCGGCGGCGGAGAAAUUCCCGGCGGUUCGCCGGCGAGGAUCGGGCAACAAGUGGCCGGAGGGGUGCGGGGGCUCACCUAAGCUCGGUUUGGCGGGGUUGGGGCGAUGGAGAUGGCCGGCGGGGAUCAAAACGUGGCGGCGGCGGCAGAGCUUGGCUGGCGGCGGUACAGGCGGCGUUCUGGCGCACCGGCGGCGUCGGGGAGGCCACGGGCUGCUUGGAGACGUGCGUGGAGGGGUGGCAAAGCGGGCGGCGAAGUCGCCGGAGUGUGGAGUGGCAUGGAGGGGUGAGCUCCACAGAAGCUUAGCGGUGGCACAGAGGAGGAAGCGAUGGCGCAAUUGUGGGCGGUGGCAAAAGGGUGGUGUUGCCGGCGAGGGGGACCUUUUUAUAGGGCAGCGGUGGAGCGGAGGGUCGAGGCGGGGUUUCGGUGGGGGAAGGAUAAGGUCAGGAGCGGCGAGUGCGUGGCCGAGGCAGCCAUUGGCUAGCGGUGCCAUUGGGCAGAGGAGGCGGAGCUCCGGGUGGUCUCCGGCGGUGAUUGGCCUUGGGCGGUGCGUGUCUGGGGCUUCCGGUCUGUCGGGCGGGCGAAGCGAGGGCUACCGUGGGGGUUGCGCGAGCGGGCGGAGGCGCAGGAUGUCAUCGGCAUGGUGGCUUCUCCGGCGGACGAGCGGAGCGUGGUUGGCGGAUCAGAGCCGCGGCAGGGGGAAAAGGACAAGCGCGCGGCCGGCGGUUGGCCAGCCCGGAGUUCGCCCCGUCCAAUCACAGGCGCGGGUUAGGCGCCGUGGCCCUUGCCCUGUUGCUGUCUCGCCGGGGAUAGGGCACCGACGAGCUGCCGGAGGCCGGCGGCCACGCGGUGCGCGGCGCGUGGGCGAACGUGCUCUGGCACGCGGGCGUCGAGGUCCCCUUCGGGCAGCAAGCCCGACCAGCUUUGGGAGAUCCUAUCUCAAGAUUUUGCAACACAACUUCCAAAACUCUUUUAAACAAACUUGUUCAACUCUGGACGUAUUUCAAACUUGGUAUAAGGCGCUGGUUUAUAUUGUGAAAGGAUUUGGAGAUAUCUCGUGCGAAAGUUUGCCAAAAAUCUGGAAAUCCAGACUUAGCCAAUUUUGGCCGGAGAGGUGGAAUUCAGAGGUUUAGCCAUCUUUGGCUCGAUUUUUGGAUAGCUUCUGAGUUGAAUUAGACUAAGGUGUUAUUUGAGGAGUUGCUCUCAAACCUGAGGACUUCAACUUCUAUUUAGGGUAUUUCUUGAGUUUAGUUCAAAAAUUUGGAGGAAUGCCCUCGCCAAGAGGUGCACUCUGAGCAGUUUUUCAGACUUAGCGUUGUGGGGCUCAGGGGCUGAGUUGACUGUUUUACCUUACUUUGACCAAGAAUUUGAAUAGGUUCUAGCCCGAUUUGGACCUGAGUCAUUGUAACAAAGUUGGAACACACUCGAGGGACUACAACUUUUAUUAAGAGCCUGACUUGAGUUUUAGAUAGGAAAUCGUGAGAUAAUAGCUUGCAAAGUUGGAGGAAAACUUGAAUUCCAGGACUUUGGAGGUUUAUAGGGUUCUUUAGUACUCCGCUUUUGAUUGCUGUUUUUGACUUCCUUCCAUUCCGAAUUAGUCAAAGUGCCUUUAACAAAAGUUAUUUGAAAUUAAAAGUUUUACAACUCUUAUUUGGGCAGCAUUUUAAGUUUGCAUAUAAAAUUCCAAGUUUUAUUUCAAACUCCAAAAAGAGCUUCUUAGGGUUAAAAUGGUCAUUUGACCUCUUUAAUUAGGUAUUAACCACUGGUUUUCUUUAAAAGCACUUAAUUUAGGUAGAGUUGUUACAGCCAACUACUCGACCGCCUGUUGUCGAGAAGAAGCGUGUGCGAUUGCCACCACGCUCGACUCGGUGAGCCUGCUUAGCCGGUGUAUAUCUUUAAGUUGUCUGGAAGUCGUAUAAUGAUGUUUCUUGAUGCAGGGAUGCAGAGGAGACUAUCCCUGUGGAGAUAGGGGUAGAGUUGGAUCCCCUGAAUACAUUAUCUGCUCCUUUGGAAUAUUUAAUUGUUGAGGAGGUACCCGAAGUUGACGCCGGUCGUCUUGGAGCUACUAUGUCGAUGCUUCCAGACGUCAUCCGUUCGGUGGAAGUUCCCGCUGCUGCAUCGGGUUCAGGAAGUGCUGCCUUAUCAACAUCUACUAGCGGAUCGCUGGUCGUAGUGGGUGUUGAAAAAGCCAAAUUGGCGACUGCUCCAGGUAUGUUUCUGUAGUCUUGUUAUUGUAGUCGUAGCAAGCAGUUGACUGAUGAUAAAUGUUGUAGGUGCCAUUUUUGGUACAACUCCUCAUCUUGCAGAGAGUACUCAAAGAUCGGUGAUCAGCCUGCCAUCCGACUUGGAGUUCCAGAAGGUCAUCAAUGUUUUCCGGAGCUUCCAAGUAGAAUUCCUUUUUGAGUUGUCACAUGGACCAAGUAGUUGUGAGGAUUUUAACUCACCAUAGUACCUUGCAUACUUGGACCUUUUCAGGAAUGAAGUCAUCAACUAGAGCAGGAGUGCGCCCGUCUGACAGAAACUCUGAGGGUUCACGAGGUUGGAGCGAAGUCUUUUGCUGUGGAGCGUACGGAUCACGCGGUCCUGCAGCAAAAACUGGAGAGCCGCUACAAGUCGCUGAACAAAAAGUAUCAAGGUAAGUACUUUGCAUACUCCGAGUAUGUCCGAUUGUAGUCAGCUAUGGUUGAAUACUUGCCCGGUGCUUGAGGUGAUUGUCUUGCGAAGAGUAAUUUUAUUCCGUGUUGGUUGACCCGAAGUCCCAGGGUCAGCUGAGCCCGACCCUUUGGGGAAAACUCCGCUUCACCCGACCCCUUGGAGGGGGCCAGCUACGCCUCGCCCAACCCCAAGUCCUGGGGUCGGCUAAGCCCGACCCUUUGGGGGAGAAGCUCCGCCUUGCCCGAACCUGAGUCCUGGGGUCAGGUGCGCCCGACCCCUAAGCAGAAGGUCGGAGUAGUCCAAACCCUCGAGAUAAUGGUGUGAGCGUAGGCCGCACUUGGCUUGUAGUAGUUCCGAGUGUCGAGUAGUCGCAAUGCUGUCGAGUACUCUUCUUUUGAGGGACACGGGUGUACUGUACUCCUUUGUCCUUUUGUGGAUGCACGGGUGUACUAUACUCUUUUGUCCUGUGUAUCAUAAGUGCCAUCACGUGGGCAGAGUCAGCAGUCAUCAGACUCAUUGAUCACGGGCGCAUAGUAACUCUUGGGCAGGUGGUAGUUGCAUCUUUCGGCUAUAAAUAGAGCCAUCUGGAGAGCGAACCAAACCAAGUUUCUGAGUAGCAAUGGAUUUCUUUCAGUUGCUUCUUUUUGAGUGUAGAGAGCCAUCAGAGAGUGCACCGGUGCUAGAAGAUUCCUCGUAGAUUGAGGCCGCCUUCCCUCCACAGACUCCUGCGCUCGUAGGGAUAGCCGCGAUGCUAGAAGAAUCCUCGUAGGAGGUUUCUUCGCACGCCUCAUCUUGCAGCUCAUGAUCCAGUGGGGUACGCGCUGGAACUCAUGGGUGAUGGGUGAUGAGUGCCGUGGUCUUUAUCCCGCUCUCUUAGAGGUGGAGAUGUGGCCAUAGAGUGGAUUGGCUCCGCAAGGCUAGCAAAAGAGCAGCCUUGGUUCCCUCUAGGCGCGUCACGCCGGAUUCAUCGUUGCCGCUGUCAAGGCAGUGGCGAUGCAGGAGUUCCUGGCAUUGCCUUGGGUAGAGUACCUGGAUAUGGCUGCAUUUUGCGCAGCUUCCUUGCGUGUGGGCCCUUCCCAUUGUAGUCGGCAGACCUGAGUGGCCUUGUGAUAUAGUAAAAGCCUGAGGCUUAAAUGCAGCCCGCCAGUAGGCAGGUGCUUGUAGUCUUCGUGUAUUCCGAGUGUUUGUACUCGUAUGUAUGUUUGAAGAUGUAUCUUCGGUUCUCAGUAAAGAAAUACUGAAUGGAAAUUUUGUACCAGGGCAAUGAUCCUUGUUGAGUUGAUAACUCUUGUCAAAGCUGAGGUAUCUUGAAGUCGGUAGUCGGGUGGUUAGCCCGAGUAGUCAUCAUGAGUUAUUGCCUUGAAGCGAUUACUCGGAUGCUGCUAUGGGUAAUAGCGACAAAGAUGUUCUAUAUUCCAAGAGUUUGGUACUUGGAGUCUGUAAGAUCCAGGUCCCGUAACCUUUGACACGAUGUAAGGACCUUCCCAUGGUGAAUUGAGUUUAUGCAACCCUAAUGUGUCUUGGAUACGCUUAAGGACCAUAUCGCCCAAGUUGAAAGAUCUUUCCUUCACGUUGCGGUCGUGGUAACGCCUUAAACCGUCAAGAUAUCUGGCAGAUUGCACUAGUGCUGCACAUCUUGUUUCUUCUAGACUGUCUAUAUCUGUUCGCCUUGUUUCUGCUGCCAGUUCUUCGUCAUAUUGUUCAACGGAUGGUGAUUGCCACAUGAUGUCGGCGGGUAGUAUGGCUUCUGAGCCAUAGACAAGGAAAUAGGGCGAUAGCCCAGUAGUCUUGCAUGGUUGGGUACGUAGGCCCCACAGAGCAUUGGGAACUCUUUGAGCCAUUUGCCGCCUUUGGUGUUGCCAACGUCAUGUAGUCUUUUCUCCAGGGCGUCGAGUAUCAUGCCAUUAGCAUGCUCGACUUAUCCAUUGGAUCGCGGAUGAGUGACCGAGACAUAGCGGACGUCGAUGCCGCUAUUCUCGCAGUAUUCCCAAAAGUCAUGAUUGUUGAAGUUCGACCCUAGGUCUGUGAUAAUCUUGUUGGGAAAAUCGUAGCGGUGUACGAUUUCAUCUAAGAAGUCGAGGACCCGGUCUGCCUUGGGGCAAGUGACUGGUUUGACCUCGAUCCACUUGGUGAAUUUGUCGAUUGCCACGAGUACUCGGUUGAAUCCUCCUAGCGCAGUUGGUAGCGGCCCUAUCAUGUCGAGCCCCCAGCAGGCAAACGGCCAUGUUGGAGGUAUUGUGACUAGCUUGUAGGUCGGUACAUGUUACUGUUUUGUGAAGAAUUAACAACCUUUGCAUUUUUGAACUAGUUGUUUAGCGUCGGCCAGAGCCAUUGGCCAGUAGAAGCCUGCUCUGAAAGCCUUGCCAACUGGUGUCCUUGAGGAGGGUGGUUGCCACAGAUUCCUCUGUGAAUUUCCUCUAGGAUUUCUUGGCCGUCUUCUCUGGUAAUGCACUUCAUGAGUACCCCAGACGAUGCACCUUUUUUGUAGAGCUUGUCUCCGACUAGAACGUAAUUUUUUACUCGCCGGGAGAUUUGCUCAGCCUUAUUUUUGUUGGAUGGUAACUGGUAAUCUUUGAUGUAGCCGAUGAAGGGUGUCCUCCAGUCGACUUCUAUCAUCAUGAUUUCACGAGACACGUCAGCAGUCGUGACUGCUGGUGUGGUGACUUGUUCAGGUAUGGACGGCUUGCGCAGUUCGUGUAUGAAGAUUCCUGCUGGAACUUCUGCACGAGUUGAGCCCAUUUUGGAUAAGACGUCGGCAGCAACAUUGUUGCCGCAGACGAUGUGAUGAAAUUCCAAGCCUGAGAACCUGUUUUCCAGUUUAUGGACUUCUUUGCAGUAAGCAUCCAUGUUGUCCUUGUUCCGGUCCCACUCAUCAUUGACCUGGUUUAUAACGACUAGAGAGUCGCCGUACACCAGUAGUCAUUUGAUGCCGAGGGAGAUUGCAAGGCGAAGGCCGUGGAGUAGUGCUUCAUACUCGGCUUCGUUAUUAGAUGCUUCCCAGAAUAUUUGCAGCAUGUACUUGAGCUGGUCUCCCCUGGGGGAGAUGAGUAAUACGCCUGCGCUGGCUCCUUCGAGUUUGAGGGAUCCGUCAAAGUACAUUACCCAAUGUUCUGGCCGUUCCACUGGUGUUGGCACUUGAUUUUCAGUCCAUUUAGCUAUAAAGUCGACCAAAGAUUGGGAUUUGAUAGCUGUCCUUGGCUUAAAGUUCAAGGUGAGAGCUUCGAGUUCAACUGCCCAUUUGGAGAUUUUGCCCGUAGCGUCUCUGUUGUGAAGAAUUCGCCGAGCGGGAAGUCAGAGAUGAUUGUGAUGUUGUGCUCUUUGAAGUAAUGGUGCAGUUUCCGGGAGGUGAGCAAAAUUGCGUAUAAGAGUUUUGUAUCGGUGAAUACCGAGUUUUGGAGUCCGAGAGUACUUCGCUGACGAAGUAGACAGGUCGUUGGACCUUGUAAGCGUGGCCUAGUUCAGACCGUUCGACUACUAUUGCCGUGCUGACGACAUGAGUAGUAGCUGAGAUGUAUAGGAGCAAGUCUUCGUUCGAAGAAGGAGCGGUGAGUACAGGAGGCUUUGACAGAAAGUCUUUGAGUUGUGUUAGUGCCUUAUCUGCCUCUUCCGUCCAUUUGAACUUGUCUUGGCGUUUGAGAACCUUGAAGAAGGGUAGUCCCCGUUCUCCAAGUCUCGAGAUGAACCGGUUGAGAGCGGCCAUGCAGCCUGUGAGUUUCUGCACAUCCUUAAUGCUAGCUGGUGCUUGCAUGUUUGUGAUGGCAGAAAUUUUUUCCGGGUUGGCCUCAAUGCCGCGAUGGCUAAUGAUGAACCCGAGUAAUUUGCUGGAAGGUACUCCAAAGACGCACUUAGUAGGAUUGAGUUUCCAUCGGAAAGUGCGUAGACUAGAGAAAGUUUCCUCCUAGUCUGCGAUGAGUUCCUCCCAGUUUCUUGUUUUCAUGACUACGUCGUCGACAUAAGCUUCAACAUUGCGGUGAAGUUGCUUUUCGAAGCACAUUUGUAUGGCCCUUUGAUAAGUUGCCCCUGCAUUUUUUAGUCCAAAGGACAUUGUUUUGUAGCACAAAGCUCCGAAAGGCAUGAUGAACGCUGUUUUGGCUUGAUCUUCCUCUUUGAGGCUUAUCUAGUGAUAGCCGAAGUAGCAGUUGAGAAAACAUAGUAAAGCGCACCCAGCGGUGGAGUCGACCACUUGAUCGAUCCUGGGUAGCCCGAAAGGGUCUUUAGGGCAGUGUUUGUUGAGGUCGGUAUAGUCAACACACAUUCUCCACUCGUUGUUUUUCUUACGAACGAGCACGGGGUUGGCAAGCCAGUCAGGGUGAAAGACUUCUUUGAUGAAUCCUGCCACAAGUAGCAAGCUAACUCUUUUUUGAUUGCUUCUCAUCUGUCUUGAGCGAACCGGCGUAGUCGUUGCCGUUUUGGAGUAGCUUUGGGAUCGACAUUGAGAGAAUGCUCAAUCAGCUCCUUGGGCACACCUGGCAUGUCAGUCGGUUUCCAAGCGAAGAUAUCAUGGUUAGCCCGAAGGAAGCUGACGAGCGCAGAUUCCUAUUUAGGAUCUAGCCCUGUUCCGAUCAGGGCUGUCUUGGAAGGGUCGCCCGUCUAGAGGUCGACUGAUUUGAAGUCUUGCUCACUGGCGGGUUUCACCUUUGUGGACCCCGACUUGUUUUCUGGGAUCUCUAAUUCGGUUGGAUGGAGCUUCUUUGAAGCUGUGAAGACUUGUUGCAUGGGACUAGGUGCUUGAGUAGUCACAGCAAUUUUCACGCCUUCAGUGUCGCAUUCAUAGGAUCGCCGUAGAUCUCCUCGCAGCAUAAGUUCUCCCUUGGGGCUUGGCAUUUUGAGUACCAGGUAAACAUAAUGUGGUAUGCCCAUGAACUUGGGGAGUGCUGGCCUUCUGAGUAUGGCAUGGUAAGAUGUCUCGAAGUCGGCGAUUUCAAAUCUGAUGUAUUCGGUACGGUAAUGCUCCUUAGUUCCGAAGGUAACCGGAAAGAAAAACCUUGUCGUAAUGGUAUAGCCGCAUUUCCAGGCACGAUGCCUUAGAAAGGUGAAUCUGUUGGAGUAAGCAUUUCAGUAACGUCGAGGCACAUCUUCUUCAAUGUCUUGGUGAAAAUAACGUUGAGUCCACUUCCGCCGUCAAUGAGUACUUUGGUUAACUUUGAGCCUGCCACAACCGGAUCCAGUACUGGUGGGAAACGUCCUGGCUCUGAAAACUUGGUCCAUUGAUCUUUUCUGCUGAAAGAAAUGGGCACUUCUGACCAUUUUAACGGUAUUGGAUCCGUUGGUUCGAUGGCCAUGAUUUCCCUUAGUACGAGUUUGUUGGCUCGCUUGGAUGCGGUGCCUGGAAUACCGCCGAAGAUGAUGUUGACAGUUUUUGAGGUAGUCUGGAAGUCGCCUUCUUCGUCUUCGUCGUUGUGGACUUUGUUCUUGCCCUUAUCUUUUUUCUUGGUGUACUCUUCAGGAGGCGGUGGUGCGGGUAAGUCUUGCAUGACUCGGCGCAUGCUGUAGCAAUCUAUUGCUGAGUGCUUGCUAGUCGGGUGCCAUGGGCACUGCUUUUUGAGUAGUUCAGUGAAGGUUGGCCCUUCAUCGUUUUUACGGGGUCCCUUUUUCCCAAAGUUGGUCAUGGCGGCAACAGUGUUGUCGAGCUUCCUUUUGCAGUUGUGAUUACUCGAGUAGUUGUUUCGAGUGUUGUUGUUUUGACUUCUAUCUUGGUCAUUGUUGUGGUUGUUGUCGCGUCCACGGUUAUGGUGGGAGCUGAACCGUUCUCGCUCUUUGUCUUCUUCAUCUGCCCACUGCUGCACCAUGACUUUGAGGUCUUUGACAUUAGCUGGUCGUCGGCGACCGAAGUCUUGGUAUGUUCGCCGAUCGUAGAGUCCAUUCUGGAAGCACUCGAUGACGUCUGUUACUGAGAUGUCGUCUAUGGUAGCCUUCUUAUCGAAGAAGCAUCACAAAUAGUCGCGUAAGGUCUCGCCUUCUUUUUGCUUGAUUUGACCUAAGUCAAUCUUGUUGCCUGGUCUAGCCAUGGAACCGGCGAAGUUGUUGGUGAAAGUCUUUGUCAAGUCUGCCCAAGAGUCAAUGGACUUGGGUUUGAGUGACUCAAGCCAGGUCAAUGGUGCCGGUUCCAUGCAUAUGGGGAAGUGGAUAACUUUGGUGUCAUUAUUGCCCCCGACUGCUUGGACGGCUAGCGAGUAGCAUCGUAGCCAUUGUAUUGGAUCUUGUUUGCCAUCAUAUUUGGUGAUUCCAGUAGGCUUGAACUUCUCGGGUAGUUUUGUUUUCGUUACCCGAUUUGUGAAAGCAGGAAAGUGGUUGUAGUUGUCUACUUCUCGCUCGCGCUGACUGCUGAGAAUUUCUCGCAGAUCACUAAAGUUAGACACUUCAUGGUUCUUCCGAGUAGGGCGGAUGCUUUUAACCGAGUUGGUACAGCUGACCUCGCCAACAUCCUUGUGGCGAGCUGGAGCCUUGUGCUUGCUUGGACCUUGGCUGUGUUGCCUAGGUUGGUUGACAACUUCAUUGUUGUUUCUUGGGGCAUUAUUGUUGUCUGCAGCCCCCCUGCUGCCUCCUUGGUGAGCUGUGAUACGAGGAAGAGACGGAAUUGGUGAUUCUUUGUCGAGUAACUUGUAGGCUUGCUCCAUGAGUUGUGCGAUUAGUCCGUUGCCACGCUGCACGAGUUGAGUUGUGGCUUCAUUAUCCCUGUCUUGAGGCAUCAAUGUUGUUAGAAGAUUGAUUGAGGCGAUUGCCGCGAGUGGAGUAUUGUGCUCCUGAGCCUGGACUGCGUCGAAAGCCCUUUCAAGAUUUGUAAUGGGAAUAUUUGUAGCCAUCGACUGCCGUCGCUCGUCUCGAGUAGCGUUGCACAUCCUUCUUUGGUUUCUUUGCUCGGAGGUUUCAUUGUGAGGGGCGUCAGCUGUAGACUCAUCUUCGGAGAUGUUGUCGAGUUGUGGUAAUCUCCUAAGGGUUCUGUUCUGGCUAGUACUCGGGUUGUUAUUCUGAGUAAUAACAAGUAUCUCCCUGUCCGGGUAGUAGCUUUCGGAGCUUGACGUUGCAAUCUCUGUGGAGCUUUCCUCAUGAUUGGGAGUGAGCGGAACGCCCUCUUGAUAUGGGAGGUUGUCUAUAUGAGCGACAAGAUGCGAGUCGUAGUCAUGGGCAAGAAGGGAUGGUCAUAGUCCUAGCCAAUGUACGAAUCUACCUUAUGAUGUUGAUGUUAUUACCAAUCCUUGGGCUGGACCAGAUAAUGGUAUUCUAGCGGAUAAACCAAGUCGGAGUUGAGGUCUUCAUCAUGCCCAAGUUCGAGUUGGAUUCAAGUAAGAAAACCUUGGUGAACUUUAGUUGCGUUGUGGAGUCCGUGCGGGGACCGCUUCAAAGUCGAAACCGACUUGGGCACUGGUUGGGACUGACUAGUCCGAAGCGAAGUCGCAUCCGACGCGUAGUCGAACUCGAACUCGUCGACUUUUAAAUCUUGGUUUUUUUUCGAUCAGAUCUUCUGGUUUCUUCUCCUGAGCGUCGACGAUCUGGCGCCGGAACGAACCCGAGCCAUCGGCAACGCAAAGCCAGGAUCCGAAAACGAAGGUGGCGCCAGCUUCGAUGAAGAAAACGGGCCUGACGAUGACCUUUACCAUUGAGUUCGCGCUGAGAAACUCAACGAGUGCCCCUACUUGGCGCGCCAGCUGUCGGUGUUUUAGACCGGCAACUCGCCUAGGGGGUACCCUAGGUGGUCUUUUGUGUGGUAAGGGUCGUCGAGAAUCAAGGAAUCAAUGGUGACGCAAGGAACACGAUUUAGACAGGUUCGGGCCGCUAGAUCACGUAAUACCCUACGUCCUAUGUGUUGGUUUGUAUUGAUGAACUGGAGUUGUUGUUGAGGGGGGUCCCUGCCCGCCCUUAUAUACACGGGAGGGCAGGGUUACAAGUCUGAGUCCUAGUCGAGUACUAUUACAGAGUUCUACUCAGUAAGGCUCGAGUAGUUUUCCAUAUACACACUUGACUAGUCCGAAUGGGAUACGCCUAUCCCUUGUCCUGAUCGUGUCCGAGUACGCCCCUGAGUGGGCCGUCCAAGGUCUACUCGUGGGCCUGGGGUGCAUGCCCGACACCCUCUAAAGCGGGUGGGAGCACACACACAGUUUGGAUACAGCUGUGAACAGGUGUCAGCGCGUGGGUAGGUGGCUGGCUGGCUGCAUGUAGGGCAUGGGUGGUUGGUGGUGGAUGGGUGAGAUUCCUUUUACAUUCAAAAUUUUAAUCUCUUUUUUCUCUCAAACUGUAAACAUGUUUUAGAUUCUGUUUGAACCAUGAUGCUAUUUAGAAUUUAUGCAACGAAACAAGAUCCAACAUAAAUAUAUUUUGAUUUUUUUAAAAAUCAACAUUUCAAAUGCACUCUUGAACAUUUGAAAUGUUGAAUUAGUGUGUAUAUAAAUGUUAAAUCUAGUCUUCUAAAAUAUUGACUAUAUUGUAGUAAUAUCUUAAACAUACAUUGGAAGAAAAAUUGUUGAAAUAGUAUUUUUUUUUAAAAAAAAGUUGGUGUGUGUAUAAAAAAUGUUGAGCCAUAAUGUUGGCGAAUGUAAAAAAGUUGAAGAAAAAUGUUGGUGUGUGUAAAACAAAUGAUUAGCCAGAAUGUUGGUGAAUGUAAAAAGGUUGAGGAAAAAUGUUGGUGUGUGUAAAAAAAAGAGCGGGUGAAUGUAAAAAAGUUGAAUAAAAAUGUUGGUGCAUAUAAAAAUAUUAAUGAACAUCAAGAAAGGGAAAAUGUUUACGAAUAUUAAGAAAUAUUAGUUAAUGUAAAAAAAUGUUGCUACAUGUAAAAAAUAAAGAAAAAAUGUUCAAAAAGAAAAAUGUGGAUCAACAUGAACAAAAUGUUGGUGUAUUAGAAAAAUGUUCAAAAAUAAUUUCAUUCAAAAUAUUAUCAAGUGUGAUAUUAUUUUGUAGAUCUCAUCGUAAGAAAUGGUAUGGUUCAAUCGAAACUUGAUUCGGACAUUUGGUUUGGAAGCUACAGAUUUUUUUUCGAAUUUUGUUUUGCACAAAAGCUGACCUAAACCCUGUCAGACCUGCUACUUGCACUUGCACCAGCCAAUCAUGCACUGCACUGGGAAAAAUGACGUCUAGUAUCGGUUGCGCAACCAGUACUGGCCAAUCGAUACUAGAGGGGGAGCCCUUUAGUAGCGGUUCAAAUAACCGGUAGGGUACCCUUUAGUACCGGUUGCGAACAUCAACCGGUACUAAAGGGCUUCCCACACCGCGCAGGGGGUGUCCUCAUUGGUACCAACCGGUACUAAUGUGUUUUUCCAUUAUUUUCUUAUUUUAUAUUCCUUUAUUGUAUUUUCAUAUUUUGUAUUUGUUUCCUUUACGUAUACUCGUUCUAAUACGUUUACGCUAAUAUAUGUAAAGUUCUAUUUAUCUUUAAUAUAACAUUUGAGAUAAUAUUAUAUAUAUAUACAUAUUGUGCAUAUACAUAUAUGAAUAAUAUUACACAUUGCAUACUGUUGGCGCUAGAAAUUAGCCGAUUAAACUUCCAGCGUCACACACACGACCCGGGAGAAUCUGCUUAACUCCUGUUCGGGUGAUCGCCCUGGUGCGGUUCGCGCGGCGUGCUAGCCAAUCUGACCUGUUGAUUGGCAAGGAAAGAAACGUGUCAGAUCCCAGAGGUUGCGAUCGGCUAAGGUUCCGAUCUCGAGGAAGCUUAUCAGCGAGUCGGCCGAUUUGCUGUAAUAAAGAAAUCGGCUAUAAUACAGCCGAUUACCAGGCAACGUUGGUGAAGAAAGCUACUAGAGUAAACUAAACAACGCUACAGUAGCAACACUAGGAACAGAUCUAAUCGGCUAUGCAAAAAGCGGUAGAUUAAACACCAAGAUACAAGUAAGCCGAAAGCUCUAAUUCCCAGCCGGAUAACUGGUGAUAAAAACUAGAACAAUAGGUAAAACCUAGAAUUCUAGUAAAUAUCGAUAACGGAUGAAUAAAUCUAACGAAACGAUAGCGAUGCGCCCGAAGUUAGAGCUUAGAUAUUACUCGAUAAACGGAACUUACAGAAUCGGCCGGAGAUCAAGCUGAUGCAGCCCCGCCAACCCGCAUGAACUCGUGAAAGUAAGAAAAGUAUUGGCGAAGUCGCCUGCUUGAAAGUAAAGUGCGAGGAAAUAGUAGGUUGUUGUAUUGAUUUGAUGAUUGAUUACAGAUCUAUGAAGGUGGCUAUUUAUAGCAUGUUACAACCAAUCCCUUAACCGACUAGGACUCUAUCUCUAAUUUUAAACGAAAACGAAUAUUUAGAAGUAUGACUCGUGCCGGAGUUGAUUGCUGUGUUCUGUGGGCCGACCACUUUUAUCCUCAUAAUCCACUCCGAGCCCAUAUUGGCCCAACUAUUCCAGCCUCUCGAUCGGUCGAUUUCCAUCAACUCCCUUCGCUGAAACAUUGCAGCACCAAUCGGCCAAUCUCCAACCGUAGCACCAAUCGGCCGAUUCCCAAUCGUGACCUCCGUGCCUCGCCACAUCAGCUGAUUCUUUCCCUUCUUGAUGCCGAUUCCAUACGUGUCAAAAUCUGGCAUUAACACAUGCCCCCCAGUUUCAGAGUAAAACAUAAUCUUUACUUCAAAAUUCCUUUCAACUUCCCUUCCGAAACAAACGCAUUGAAAAUACCCUUCCGUUUCGCGGUCUUCUGCCUGAUGAUUGCAAUCUUUUCGAAACGGGCGCCCACGACAACCACUCCUCCCAAAAAAAUCGAACCGCCGACGCGGUAAAAAUCCUGCUUUUACCCCUUCUCAGACCACCCUUAAAUAUCAGCACAUCCCGUACUUCUUUUUCACGAGCCCACGUCUUCCUUCUUUGGCGCACUGAUCUCCUUCUUCCUCCGGCGUCUCCUUAGCCUCCAAUCUUUCCUUCCGGUGACCUUUUCCAUCUACAUUCCAUCCCAUCUCUCCGAUGGUGACACCCUCAGGCACUUCACCAACAUCCAAAGUCCCGGAGACAGCCCCACCAACGGCGGCUCCAGUGGCAAUGGUGGCGGCUCCAUCGGCAGGAGCGGGAGCUCCAUCGGCGGGAGCGGGAGCUUCGACGGAGGCCCCAACGACGGCUUCAGCACCUAUAGCUCCACCGGCGAUCCCGUCAACCACGAUGAGCUUCAUACCGGAGGUUUUUACCAAAACUUCUCUUUCUUUAAUACCAAUGCAUUUACCUUAGAUCCGUUCUUACUUCCGCCCCCUUUUUCCUUUUUUAGGUAGUUAGACACUAGAUUACCAUCCGCCUUACCGAAACCCCUUGUCUUAUCUGCCUUGCUCCCAUGGGAAACCCAGAUCCAACUGACUUGAUCAAUUUGGAAACACAUAGAAUUCCAUUCAAGUAAUCAACCAUGGACCUAGACCACUGGUCAGGCACUUUCAGAUCAUGGCCGAAUGAAACCUCCGGUUGGAGGGAAUGGUACGAACGGAUAGCCGCCUCCAAGAGAGUCCAAUGGGACGAGCACAAAAUCGGCCAGUGCAUCGAUCUGUCUUUGUCCCAAAUGGAAAGGAAUGAGCCCUUAGUAAUAGCAGCCUCCUACUCUUGGUCCAACGCUCUCAACGCGUUUCUCUUCGGACAUGGGCCUAUGACUCCCACCUUGGCCGAUGUGGUCAUGUUGACCGGCCUUGACAUUUCCUCCCCUGAUACUCCUUUCCGUUACCUGGCCAAAACAUCCCAUCGGCUGGACACGAAAGGAAUCGACGGAUGGAAAGGAUUCAUCAAGUGCAAUAGGAGAGCCGGGACAGUCGCAGAAAGGGAGCAUGCGGCCUUCCUGAUGAUGUGGCUAGAGAAACACCUCUUUUGCAGGAGGGCAGCUGGUCCAUCUAUUAACACACAGGUUCUGGCCGAGGCGCUAUCUAUAGGAGCUUCUGUUCCUUUUGGAAAGCAUUUAUUGGGAUCAGUUUAUCAUAUGUUGCACCAGAUCGGUGUAAAGCUAUCCAAAGGAGAGCCGAUUGGAAACCCAGGUGGACCCUGGUGGUUCAUCAACUUGUGGCUCAACCUGUACAUGAGCAAGAUCUUCCAGUAGUGAGUGGAGUACAUGACAUUCCCCAACAUCGAAUCGGCAGAGAACCCCACUGUACGGCACCGGUGCACUUCCUUUGGUGAAGCAGCAUCGGCCUUCUCUGGUUUCCCAUAUUUUGCUACCAAGGUGGCCGAAUAUUUUAGAUGCUUCUACAAUGGUUUCAGCGAAGAUGCAACCAGCUGGUUCCCUUAUCAAAAAGAGGAACCACUCUUCGAGCUCCCCUCUUGCUUUGACUCGGCCACCAAUAAAUUUGAUGAGGACCAAAUAGAUGAGUUGAUCAAGCCAGAGAUUCUGCCGGCGAAUUUCUUCUCGUGGAAGGACGCCCCCACUUAUGAGUUUUACAACCCUUCUGUUGCAGCACGGCAAUUUGGCUUAGGUCAACUGCCGAUUUAUGCAUACUUCGCCGAUCGAGCAAAAGUCCGAGACGAGCUCACCAAAGGUCUCAACUACAGUCGGCUGUAUGAUCGGAUCCCAGACUCCAGCACCAUAGACCUGACCAAUUGGAUAGUGGCCCCUUUCGCCGUUCAGCAGUUCAAGCUAUGGUGGGCCGAAUGGAAACAACAUCUAUUCUGCGCUUCUGCAGCGAUAUAUUGCAAUCUCCUGGAUCCCAACAACAUCAACCCGAAUGUCGAGGUAUCGCUCUCUUUUUAGCCGAUUUUCAACUCCCUCUUUUUUUAUAUACUGACCCUUAUCAUUUUUUCAGUCUGAGAGUCGUGCUCCCCCAAGACGUAGUCGGAAUGGCCGGCCGAUAGAGGACCGUUAUCCAUACACAGAAUUUCCCCUCAUCGGCUAUCAUGCCCCCUCCGUUGACGACAUAGCUGGCCGGGCGAAACAAGCGCAGAAAAAGAUCAUCAAGAAAACCAGUCGCCGGGUGCGAGCCCGCACAGAAUCGACCGAUCCAUCCGCGGUUGCAUCGGCGGAAAUUUUGGCUGCGCCGACCCUUCCGGUUGCUGAAGAAGUUGACCUCCAAGCUGCUAUAGAGGCCGGAGCGGCUGCCGCUUCAUUAUUGGUGGAGGCCGUUCAGGUAAACUCACCAUUUGAUUGUCCCCCGGUCAUCACUUCAACGCUAACUUUCCUUAUACCAGGCUGCACAAACCGCUCCGGUGGGCCCAAAGCAAUCGGCGAUGUCUCAAACUGAAGUACCAGUACUACCGCCUACUGAGGUAUAGGGCCUCCCAACUUAACUCUUUUAAUAUUUAAGCGAUAACCUUACUGAUUUUGAUGCAGGUCAUCAGCACACUAACUGUGCUCCCUGAACAGCCACCUGUCAGAGAAGCCCUUCAAGAAGCUGGCCUAAGCAAAACGUCGAUUAUCGUCGAAUCCUCCUCUUCCGAUGAGCCGAUCGUGUCAGUCCCCGAACCAAAGGUAGUGAUUCCGCAGACGCGGAUGGAAGAGAUCUGUUUCACAGAAGUAAGAAGUCUCAUAACCUGCAUUAGCCGAUUCACUAUCAUCAUCGGUUGACUUAUUUCUUCCUUUUGUCUAUUACCUUGCAGGAACAGGACACUCCCAAUAACAGCUUCUUCUUGUUUGCGGUUGCGCUCUCUGUCGAUGAAGAAGUCGCCUCUCGUCAAGUGACCUUGAGCUCAGUACCCGACGACGUCCGUGCCAAGCUCGAAAGUAUACAGACCCUCCUUUAAGAAGACAUCGGCCGAUUGGUAGAGGACGCUUUGCCGAUUCGGUAGCUCUUCGAUGACAUCAGUGGCCGAGUCCCAGAAGAGGCCGAAGAAGCCUUGGCACCCGCCGCAUAUAUCGAAUCGAUGCGGAUCCCGAUUUUUAGGGCUCUGCGUCACAUGGCCGAUCGUGCCAAGCUGGCCAAGACUCAUGAGGAGCAGGACUCAUACAAGCAUCGGGCCCAAGAGGUACACCACCGGAUUCACUUCCUCGAGAACUCCCGUCCUGGGAUUGUUGGCAUGAUAGAUCGCCUCAAACGUCGAAGGGCAGAACUCGCCAAAGAGAUGGAGCAAGUAACCAAAGAGAUAGCCGUUGAAGAGAAGAAGCUUCAGGAGCUCCCUUCCGUUAUCGCCGAUUUAAAGCAGGAGAGGCAGCAUCUGGCCCACGAGGCCCUCAGACUUCAUCGUCACAUGCCAGAAGUCCCGGGGUCGGCGGAGGAUGACCAGCGCGUCUUAGACUCGGCCGAUCAGAUCAGGCGAUGAGCGAUCGCGGCCAUUAAUGCCCUUCUGGGAUGAUCUGUAAAAGUACUGGCCGUUUUGUAAGAACAUUAAUAUCUUUUGACCGACCUUCGCGACGCCUUCUUAUUUAUUACCCCUUUUACUCUGACAGGACGCGUCUUACCAAACCUCCGCCCUUUCUCUUCUUAUAAAUACUGGCCCUGGUUUUGCUCUCGAGAAUACCUGCUCCACUUGAUUCCUCUCUCCCCGAUUACGUUUUCAUCGGGACAUUCGUAGUCAUUUCUUCUUCGCCUUCUUCUUUCUCCUUUUCUUCCGUCAAUCAGGUACGAGAUCCGUCUCCGCUUUUUUCAGUUUGAUUCCUUUAAAUUGUCCUAACUUUUAGGCGGUUAUAUGUUAACCCUUUCAGCCAAGGCGCCUUAGCCCCGAACUCGAACGGGCAAUCGAACUCAUGCACUCUGACGAGCCAUUGUCGCAAGAGGACAGGGACUUGAUCAAGGCACACCAUGAAGAACUCAGAGAUCACGUUCCUGCCGACAUCCAACGGAUCUGGGACUUCAUUGACGACAAUGGUUACAGACGACCGCAAGUUGACAGGAGCCACCCACUCCCUCGUCCGGUUGUUCUUGAAAACGCCACAGCGGGGACAUCUCGCCCGGUGUUGGAUUGGAGCCAUCCUCUUCCUCGCCAGGCUAAGGCGGAGGCCGCAAUGAAAGAUGUGGAAGAACGAAGCACCCGCCUUCUGAUAGAAUUAGGUCAGAUUGAGAGGGAACUCAAGAAGAAAUGCAGUUGAGUAUUUUUGUUCUAAGGGCGACUUGUACCGCGUCUGCCGUGUAACUCAUCGUCCGUACCAAAUGACAAAUCGGCCGAUUUGAACGAUUACUUUUCUCCUCUAGGCGAUUUCAUUUUCUGCAUCGGCUACAUGAUUAUCUAGGAAAUAACCGUUCUGUCCUGCCAUGCCUCAUAAUGAUUCUUAUGCAUCGACCCAUAUACUGGGGUAGUAUCUUUUCAAGUACCUCCUGUUCAAUGCCCUAGUAAAUUCUUCCCCUUCGAUUGUCUCCAGAAUGUACGCGUUUCCCGGAGCGCAUCGACCGAUUCUAUACGGCCCUUCCCUAGUGGGAGACCAUUUACCGAAUUUAGGAUCUUUAGAUCCAAUCAGCACCACUAACUUCCAUACCAAAUCCCCUUGGGAGAACUGCUUGACUUUGACCUUCUUGUCAUACCAUCUGGCCACUUUCGUUUUGUUUUCCUCGAUACCGAUCAAGGCUCUCAAACGCUGACCCGCCAAAUUGUCGAGUUCCCUCUUCAUUUGCGAGGAGUAAUCAUCGGCCGUCAGCUGAUCUUGAAGCGACGUACGUCUUGAUCCCGUUCUCAACUCCCAUGGCAUACGGCCUCAUGACCGUACACCAGUUGAUAAGGAGACACCUUGGUAGCCCCAUGGCAGGCCAUCCUGUAUGCUCAUAGAGCUUCGGUUAGACAUAAGUGCCAUUUUUUGGGUUGUUCCUCAAUCUUCCUCUUGAUCAACUUAAUUAUCCCCUUAUUGGAAUAUUCGGCCUGGCCGUUAGCCUGAGCAUAAUACGGGGAGGGAUUUAGCAGCUUGAUCCCCAUAUCGGCCGUGAACUCCUCGAACUCUCCUGAUGUGAACAUCGUCCCUUGAUCGGUUGUGAUAGUCUGAGGGAUGCCGACACGAUAGACAAUAUGGUCCCUUACGAAAUUGACCAUAGCAGCUGACGUUACGGCCUUUAAUGGAAUCGCCUCCACCCAUUUGGUGAAAUAAUCUGUGGCUACCAGAAUGAAUUUAUGUCCUUUACUUGACGGAGGAUAAAUUUGUCCGAUGAUGUCUAUUCCCCAACCUCUGAACGGCCAUGGCUUGAUAAUUGGAUUCAUAGCCGAUGCGGGUGCGCGUUGCACAUUCCCAUAUUUUUGACAGUCCUGGCAUCCUUUAUAAUAUUUGAAACAGUCCUCAAGGAUUGUCGGCCAAUAAUAUCCAUUAUUCCUAAUCAUCCACUUCAUCUUUUGCGCCGAUUGGUGGGCUCCACACACUCCUUCGUGGAUUUCUCAAAUCAGGGUCUUUGCCUCCUCCGUCCCUAGGCAUUUGAGCAGAACACCAUCAAUCGUUCGGUAGAACAAGUCAUUUUCCAGUAACACAUAUUUUGUGGCCUGAAAUCGUAUUCGCCGAUCCACUUUCUUAGACGGGUCUUUUAAAUAAUCGGCGAUCUCUUUUCAUCAGUCGUCGGCCGCGUGUUCUAGAAUCAUGGCGCCUUGAAUCGGCCGAAAUCCGGACGCGUGAUGGGCAAGCCUGUUGGCUUCUUCAUUAUAAUUCCUGGAGAUAUGCUCAAUAACCGCGGAUUUGAAUUCUUUUAGAAGCUGGAGGCAAUCUUCAUAAUAAAUCCUUAAUACGUCAUCCUUGCACUCGGAUCUUCCUGUCAAUUGGUCCACGAUGAGCAUGGAAUCUCCAAAAAUCUCGACGGCGUUGGCCUUAAUCUCUCUUAACAAUUGUAACCCUUUUAGGACGGCCCGGUAUUCUGCCUGGUUAUUGGUGGCGGAUGCUUCUAUCGGCAGAGAGAAAUCAUAACUUGCUCCCCGAGGCGAUAUGAGAACGAUGCCGAUUCCCGAUCCGGCCCCACAUGACGAGCCAUCAAAAUAUAAGGUCCACGGUACUGGUUCCACGACGGUGAUUUCUGGUCUGCAGUGCUAGGCGACGAAAUCGACCAUAACCUGACCUUUGAUGGCUUUUGUCAAUUCGUAUCGUAGAUCAAACUCCAAUAAAGCCAAAAUCCACUUUUCGAUCUGCCCUUUUAAAAUCGGCAAUGACAGCAUGUAUUUCACUACGUCGUCCUUGCAUACGACUACGCAUUCUGCUGAUAAUAAGUAGUGCCUGAGCUUGGUGCAUGAGAAGUAAAGACAUAAGCAUAGCCGCUCUACCGAGGGAUAUCUUGUUUCGGCAUCCAAAAGUCUUCUGCUAACAUAAUAUAUCACCCGUUCCUUUCCUUCAAACUCCUGGAUUAACGCCGACCCGAUAGCUCGCUCAUCGGCCGAUAAAUAUAGCUUGAACGGCUUACCAGUUUGUGGUGGGACCAACAUGGGAGGAGAGACCAAGUACUGCUUGAUGUCUUCUAGUGCCUUGCGUUGCUCUUCUCCCCAUAUGAAUUCUUGGUCGGGUUUUAAUUUUAAUAACGGUGUAAAAGCUUGGACACGUCCGGAUAGGUUGGAUAUGAAUCUUCUGAUGAAAUUGACUUUGCCGAUUAAUGACUGCAACUCGGUUUUAUUCUGUGGGGCUACGACUUUAUUGAUUGCCACUAUAAUCUUCCGGUUGAUCUCUAUCCCACGCUCAUGAACCAUGAAACCCAAGAAUUAUCCGGCGGAUACGCCGAAAGCACAUUUGUUCGGAUUCAUUUUUAACCCAUGCCUUCUCGUGCAUUCCAAUACUUGCCGCAAAUCGGCCAGAUGUUCCUGGUGUCCUUUUGAUUUGACCACAACGUCGUCGAUGUAAAUUUCUACCAGUAUGCCGAUAAGUUUGUGAAAUAUGUAAUUCAUGGCUCGUUGAUAUGUAGCACCGACGUUCUUCAAACCGAAAGUCAUUACCACCCAUUCGAACAAUCCGAGGUGACCUGGGCACCUGAAAGCUGUUUUCGAUAUGUCCUCUUCGGCCAUUACUUUGUGACCCGCGGCGGCGUCUAUUAAUACGUCGGCCGUCGGCAUCGGGUAUCCGUCCAUCGGCGUAGCCUGAUUAAGGUUCCUGAAGUCAAUGCACACGCGUAGUUUUUUGUUCUUCUUAUAUACGGGCAUGAUGUUCGAAAUCCACUCGGCAUAACGGCAUUGCCGAAUAAAUUUCUCUUCAAUCAACCUCGUGAUUUCGGCCUUUAUAUCAGGCAAGAUUUUAGGAUUACAUCGUCGUGCGGGCUGCUGAUAUGGCCGAUAUCCCAGCUUUAUGGGCAGUCGGUGUUCGACAAUGGACCGGUCUAAUCCGGGCAUUUCAUGGUAUUCCCAAGCAAAGUAAUCUUUAAACUCUUUCAAUAAAUUUGUCAAUUUACAUUUGUACUCUGGGUCCAAAUUAGCACUAAUGUACAUCGGCCUCAACUUGGUACCAUCGCCUAAAGCUAUCAUUUCUAGUGAAUCGGCCGACGUGAAUCCGUGCCCCAGCUUCCCGUCUUCUCGGGCGAACUGAUCCAUUUAAUCUGAAUCUUUAGAGCCGACUGCUCGGAUCGGCUGUAGACCAAAAUCGAACACCUUCAGGAAAUUGGUGUCCCACGUCCUCCCGGAUAUGCACUUGACGUGCUUGUAGCUCCAUUGUUGUGUAUCGGUCGCCGCGACACUGUAUGCGGAAUCGGUGGUGACUAUUUCGAUGUUGUCGCCGACCCAUUGUACGAAGCAUUGGUGCAUUGUAGACAGGAUGCAACAAUUUGCAUGUAUCCAAUCUAGGCCGAGUAGCAUGUUGUAGGACCCUUUGCCAUUAAUAAUAAAGAAAGUGGUGGGAAGAGUCUUACUGCCGAUGGUGAGGUCGACGCAAAGCGCGCCGCGGGCAGGAGACACAUUGCCUUCGAAGUCCUUGAGCAUCAUGUCCAUCUUGGUCAAAUCAUCGUUGCUUUUUCCCAACUUCCGAAACAUGGCGUAUGGCAUGAUGUUGACCGCAGCGCCUCCAUCGACUAGUAGCCUGGUGACAAGUCGACCGUUAACAUGUCCUUUGAGGAAUAAUGCCUUGAGGUGCUGUCAUUUUUCGUCCUCGGGUUUCUCGAAUGUGGCUGUCAUUGGCUCCAAAGCCAAUUGCGCCAUCUGUUCCUCUAUCGCCGAUAUGUUAUGUCGGUCGGCCGGAGUCAUGAAUUCCAUCGGCAGAAUGAAAACCAUGCUGACAUCGGCUGCCGAUUCUUGGUUGUCGUCGUCUUCCCUAUCGUUUCUUUUGGGGUGCCAAACUCGAGGCCUGUCGUUUUUCUUGUCCAUCACCUGUUGCUGCUCUUCUUCCUGCUGUUCCCAUUGGCGGAGAUGCUGGAUUCUUUGUUUUUGAGAUUUAGUCAAUCUGUCAGGGCACCACCUGGGGUUUACCGGUUUAUCCGAUGGUUUGGCGCGUUCCCAUUCUGGUUCCCGUCCCAAGGGGUUCUCGUCUGAUACUCGAGCAUCGGCCAUCUCCUUCAGCCGAUUGUGUGCGCUGACUCUAUCUUCUAGUCGGUUGUGUCGAUUGGUCCUGCCCCCCGGCCUGUCAUAUCGCUUGCGCCUGUCAUCCGACCGAUCAUAUUGGUCACUUCUGCCACCCAGCCGAUCACGUACUGAAAGGCACCGAUCUUCUUGCUCGUGCCAGUUUCCGCUGAUCGGCUCUAGCCUUCCAUCUCUGGAGCGAGAUCUUCUGAAUGAAUGAUUGUUGCGAUAUGGGCCGUUGCAUUCUGGGCAAUUGUUGGCCGAUGGCAACCUUAGGUUACUCUCCCAGCAGUGGAUGAACAACGGGCAUCGCCAGUGAUCUUCAUGUCGCCGCAUCAUCUCUUCCCGGAAUCUUGAACUUUCUUGUUGCCGUUGAUAAUUGUUGAGCAAAAAUUGGAAGGUGAUGGGCCUACGUGGCUCUCCCGAUCCUUCGCCUUCAUCCUCUAUCCGUCACUUCCCUUUGACAUCUUCAGACACCGCUUGAUUCCUGGGGUCUAUGGUGCCGGUCUUUUUAGCUGAUUCUGAUGUUAGCACCUUGGUCUGGAGUUAAUUCCUUCCUGUAUCAACCAUGUUGGUGGGGAAGAGAUGCUGAUCGAUUUUCAUCGGCUUUACUGGCUUUGUCGGGACCUUGAACUUGAGCCUACCUUGCUCAAUGGCUGAUUGUAUUUGCUGUCGGAAGAUUUUGCACUCGUUCGUAUCAUGGGAGGUGGCAUUAUGCCACUUGCAAUAUUUCAUCUUCUUUAGCUGUUCAGCUGACGGGAUCGUAUGGUAUGGUGAGAGAUUGAUUUGUCCUUCCUGGAGGAGGAGAUCAAAGAUUUUAUCAGCCUUUGACGUGUCGAAACCGAAUGCCUCUAGCUCCUUUUUCUCGAACGGACAUGAUAUCGGCUUCUUCCCUUUAACCCACUCUGCCAGGCCGAUUUCUAUUUCUUCUUCGGACUCAGCCCCUUCUAAGUACGCCACCUUCUUCUGGAAAUUCCUCCGUGGAUCAAAGGGAUGUACUUCCUGACCGGACAAUCGAUGUACGAUUUGGCUCAGGCUCUCAAAUUCUUGUGAAGCAUAUUUUUCCUUGAUGUGAGGCAGGAGACCUUGGAAGGCUAUAUCGGCCAGCUGUGCAUCGGUUAGGACUAGGGUGUAGUGUUUGUUCCUGACUUCCCUGAACCUCUGCACGUAUGUGGACAACGGCUCAUCACUCCUUUGUCUGAGGCUAGUCAGAUCUGAAAGUUUCAUCUCAUGCACCCCUGCGUAGAAGUACUUGUGGAACUGCUUCUCCAAGUCGGCCCAAGUGACUAUGGAAUUGGGUGGUAGUGUAGUAAACCAUUGGAAGGCCGACCCGGACAGAGAUGAUGAGAAAAGGCGCACCCGUAGAGCAUCUUGUGUAGCUGCCUCCCCACAUUGGAUGAUGAAUCUGUUUACGUGUUCCACAAUUGAGGUAUCAUCAAGCCCCGAAAACUUGGUGAAAUCAGGAACUUUGUACCGAUGGGGAAACGGUAGUAAGUCAUAGGUAGGUGGGUACGGCGUUCUGUAUGUGUAGGUUUGCACCUUCGGCUUUAAACCGAAUUGCUCUUGAAUCACCUCUGCUAUCCGUGCCGUCCAAUCUGCUUGUUGUUGAUGAACUAUAGGCUGGGGGACCGGCACGUGUUGGUAGAUCGGCAGUGGGAUGACAGGGUGGUGGACGAAGGCGUGCGGCGCCUGAGGUGACGCGGCCGGCUGUGUAGUCGGCAUCGGUUGUCUCAGUGAACCAGCCGUUUCAUCAUAUAGUACAAUCGGCGCAGCACCCCGAAGUGCUUCCGUUGUUUCUGCCCCCCUGCCCAUCUCCAGCGUGGUUGGUUGAUACUGUGGAAUCAUCGGCCACACGGCCGAUUGGAAAGGUGCCUGGAUCGGAGAGCUUCCAUAGCUACUCCAACAAUUUUCUAUAAUUUCUAGCUACCACUGCAGAAAUAAAACAAUAAAUGACAUGAUUUCCAACACUUAUAUACAAAUUUCCUGCAAUUUUUCUAUAAUUUCCUACAAUUUCUAGAUAAUUUCUCUACAUAAUUUUCUAGAUAAGAAAAACAUAAUGACGUCACAGCGGCCACGGGGGCUUACAUCACGGCGGCUGCGAGCUUACGUCAGCGUGAGUUUGCAGGGGCGCCACGCGCGCGCAUUGGGGACAGAGCGGCCGACGUUGGGGACGCAGGCCAAGCGGCGCCGGGGGCGCGGACAGCUGGCAAGGCGGCGACAGUGUCGGGGGUGGCACCGUUGGGGCCGGCGCGGCCAGGGCGGCGUUGGGGGUGGCGGCUUCGGGGUCGGGGUGUGGAUAGGAGGCGGCGACAGCGUUGGAGGGGAAGCGAUGCAGGAGACGGCAGCGGCGCAAUGUCGUUGGAGUCGACGGGGGCGGCCGGCGUUGCGGGAGACGGCAGCGUGUGCCAGGCGGCGUCGAGGGCGCGGACAGCCGGCGAAGCGGCGACGGCGUUGGGGGUUGCGGUGUCAGGGCCGGCGCGGCUGGGGUGAUGUUGGGGGCGACAAUGUCGGGGUCGAGGCGCAGACGGGGAGCAGUGACAGCGUCGGAGGGGAAGCGAUGGAGGAGACGGGGGUGGCGUAGCGUCAUCGGAGUCAUUGGAGGCGACGAGGCUGGGGCGGCGCAGCGUCGGAGAGGAUGGGGGCGACAGCUUCGACGGGGGCGAGAGACGGGGGUGCGGGCAUUAGAGGCGACAGGGCAGCGUUGGAGGAGAUCGACAAGGUGGCGGUGGAUCGCGCAGAGGAAGACGAAACGAGUGAAAAUGGCUAAGUGUUGGCCAGGGCUAGCACUGAGUGGCCUAUAACCCCUAUAACCCCCAUCUAGUAUCGGUUCCAAACUACACCCGGUACAAGAGCCCCUCUAGUACCGGGUAUAAACAACAACCGGUACUAGAGGGGGGGGUGUCUAGUACCGGAGGGUCUCCCCGCGCGGCAAAUGAAAAUGCCCCUCUAGUAUCGGUUGUUGUUAAGCACCGGUACUAGAGCGGUUGCAUGACCGUGUUUUCAUUUUUCUUUUAUUUUACAAUUGCUAUUAUAUCAAUUUAUUGCAUAGUAAAUUAAAUAACAUUCAUAAAAAUUGUAACAAAAAUUUGGUAGCUUCAUGCUUAUUAGAUAUAGACUAUAAAAAUGUCAGAUGCGGUCAAAUAUCAAACAUGGUAAAGUUAUUAAUUUUAAUGAUAGGUUGUAAUGGUCAUAAUACUUAUAUUAACUUUAAAUUUCAAAAAAAUAGAUUUUUUGCCAUGCAAAAAUUUAGAAGAAUAGUGACACUGGUGUUUCUUGAAAUGUUUACCAUGACUUAACCAUGUUCUUGUUUAAUUGUACGUAAAUUUAUUGUUUAAUAUUUAGUGGUGCUUAAAAAAUUGAAAUAUUUAAUAUUUUAACCAUGCAAAAAUCAGUUAAAAAAUAUUUUAGCCAGACAAGAAAGUUAAAUAAGACAUGAGAAUUGUAUUUGGAAAAAAAAGAUCUAACCAUUCAUAUUACAUUAAUGCCUUUGUUGAUAACCAAAAACACAACAUAAUUGCUCAAAUACCUUACGCGUCAUCAUCUAAUGGAACGUUAAUAAUCCUCCUCUUGACGAACAUCCCUUGGUUGUGAUCGCGGCGUAAGUAUGGAGCGUCCUCUUUUGCUAAUAGGAUGCUUGGGUCAACCUCAACUGAAAAUGGAGGAAGAUCAUCAAACUGAUCAUAAUCUUCUGAAAUGUCAGUCUUGUACUCAACUCCAACGAUUUUUCUUUUUUCUAGAAGAACAAUGUGGCGCUUGGGCUGAUCAUCUGACCUAUUAGCACCCUUCCUUAUUGGUUUACUUGCCAUGUCUUUCACAUAGAAAACUUGAGUCACGUCAUUGGCUAGGACGAAUGGUUCGUCUAUGUAUCCAAUCUUGUUGAGGUCCACUAUUGUCAUCCCAUAGUUGUCUGUUAUUACGCCUCCUCCAGUAAGUGUCACCCAUUGGCACCGAAAAAAAGGGAUUUUCAAAGUUCCAUAGUCGAGUUCCCAUAUCUCCUCAAUGACACCAUAGUAUCUGUCUUUUUUUCCACUGCUGUCUAUUGCAUCAAUACAGACACCACUAUUUUAGUUUGUGCUCUUUUGUUCUUGGGCUCUGGUGUAAAAUGUGUACCCAUUUAUCUUGUAUCCUUGGAAUGUCGAUACUAACAUAGAUGGACCCCUAGCCAACCAUGCUAGUUGUUCUUCAAUGGUGUCAUCACCCAUCAGUUUACGCCCCAACCAAGUGCCAAAAGUUUCAAUGUGACGACGUGUAAUCCAGGCCUCAAUCUACCCUUGGUUUCAGGACCGUACAUUAGCCAUGUGCUCCUCCAUGUAUGGAGCGACCAGGGAUGAUUUCUGCAAGAUCGUGAAGUGUGCUUCAUGUAAUAUCUCCUCAUCGAUGUCCAACCAAGCGUUUCUCCCUAGUGUGCCCUUUCCCUUCAAUCUCCCCUCAUGGCAUGAUUCAGGGACUCCAAUCGAACUCAGGUCGUCUAUAAAGUCAACACAAAACUCAAUUACCUCCUCUGUUCCAUAUCCAUUUGCGAUUCUUCCUUCCAGAUGGGCACAGUUACGAACAUACCUCUUCAGAAUUGCCAUAAACCUCUCAAAAGGGAACAUAUUGUGUAGAAAUACAGGACCGAGGACAAAAAUCUCUUCAAUAAGGUGGAGUAGAAGGAAGGUCAUGCUAUUAAAGAAGGAAGGUGGGAAUACGAUCUCAAAGCUGACAAGGCAUUGCACCACAUCCUUCUGCAGCUUUAGUAGAUUGUCUAGAUGGAUUGCCUUCAUUGAAAUCACGUUGAGGAAUGCACAUAGCUUCACGAUUGUCAUUCUCACAUUCUCUGUAAGAAUACCCCUCAGUGCAACAGACAGCAAUUGUGUCAUAAGGACAUGGCAGUCAUGGGCCUUUAUAUUUAUGAAUUUCUUGUGUUUCAAAUUUAUUAAUGCCUUUAUAUUCGAGGAGCGAUGGGACCUUGAUACUAUUCAAGCACUCAAACAUGCCUUCCUUCUCUUCCUUACUAAAGUGUAACUGGUAGGAUGCAAGUAAUGCCCAUUAUCUCUCUUUUCCGGAUGUAGGACAUCUCGUUGAUUCAUACGUUUCAGGUCCCGAUGUGCUUCAAUUGUAUCCUUUGCCUUUCCAUAUACACCUAGGAAGCCAAGCACAUUAACGUAGAUAUUUUUCAUCAGGUGCAUCACAUCAAUUGCAUUACGGACCUCAAGGACUUCCCAAUAAGGUAGCUCGCAAAAUAUAGACUUCUUCUUCCACAUGGGUGCAUGUCCAUCCUCGUUGUUCGGAACAGGUUGGCUACAAGAGCCCUUGCCAAAGACUACCCUCACAUCCUUUAUCAUAGAAAAUACAGGAGGCUUCAAUUCUGAAGGGGCUUAGUACCUUUUUCUUCCUUCCCUUCAAAAUGCUUCCCUUUAUUUCUUAGAGGGUGCUUAUCAAGAGGAAAUCGACGAUGGCCCGUAUACAUGACCUUCUUACAGUGCUUCAAAUACAUGCUGCAAGUAUCAUCUAAACAGUGCGUGCAUGCUUAGAAUCCCUUCUUUGACUGUCUAGACAGAUUACCAAACACCGGCCAAUCAUUGAUGGUUACGAACAACAAUGCUCGUAGAUUAAAUGUCUACUUUUUUGUCCCCAUCCCACACAUGUACACCUUCUUCCUUCCAUAACAGUAGAAGUUCAUCAACCAACAGUCUUAGGUAAACAUCAAUGUCGUUGCCAGGUUGUUCUGGGCCUUGGAUAAUUAUAGGCAUCAUAAUGAACUUCCGAUUCAUGCACAACCAUGGCAGAAUGUUGAACAUAAAUAAGGUCACAGGCCAAGUGCUAAGACCACUGCUGAACUCUCCGAAUGGAUUGAAUCCAUCCGUACUUAAACCAAAAUGUAUGUUCCUUGCAUCAUUUUCAAACUCGGAGCAUAGACUAUCAACUGUUCUCCACUGGGACCGAUAAGUGGGAUGUCUGAUCAUUUCAUCUUGCUUACGUUCUUCUUUGUGCCAACGCAUCAACUUUGCAUGUGCCUUGUUCCUGAAUAAGCGCUUCAACCGUGGUACUAUAGAGAAAUACCACAUUACCUUCGUAGGAACUUUCUUCUUGAUGGCCUCCCCCUCAACAUCACCGGGGUCAUCUUGCCUGAUCUUAUAACGCAGCACUUUGCACACAGGACAAGUCUCCAAUUUCUCGUAUUCCUAACCCCGAUAGAGGAUACAGUCAUUAGGACAUGCAUGUAUCUUUUGGACCUCCAAACACAGUGGGCAGACAACAUUUUUUGCUUCCUACGUUGAGGAUGGCAAUUCGUUCCCCUCAGGAAGCAUGUUCUUUAUGAUUUUCGUUAACUUAUCAAAACUCUUGUAAGAAACUCCAUUUCUUGCCUUCCAUUGCAGCAUUUCCAGUGUGGUACCCAAAUUUUUUUGCCCUUGUUUGCAAUCUGGGUACAACAAUUUCUUAUGAUCAUCUAACAUACGCUCGAACAGUUUUGACUCCUUCACAUUCUCACAGUCUUCCUUUGCAUCUCGCAAUACUUGACCUAGCUCAUCGAGAGGACCUUCUGCCUCGCCCAUCUCUUCUUCGACCUCGCCCAUUGGAGCAUCCGCAAAGACACUUCCUUGAAUCCAGUCAGAAUGUUGUCAUUUUCUUCUUCUUCAUCAUCAUCCAUCAUAACUCCUCCUUCCCUGUGCUUGAUCCAAACCAAAUAGUUUGCCAUGAAUCUAGAACUGUAUAUGUGGGCGUGAAUAGUCUUGCUAUAUGAGUAAUCCUUCUCAUUUUUGCAAUUUCUGCAUGGACAACAAAUAAAAUUGGACGGUGGUUUGUUGGAUUCUGCUUGAUCAAGAAAACCACGCAAGCCAUUAAUGUACUCCUUGGAACGUUUGUCCACGUUGUACAUCUGUUGCCUAUCCAUCUACAAAAUAUUACACAUGGAUUGGUUUUUGAACUAUAAGAAAAUGAGUUGAAAUACUAAUCUAAUUUUUCUAAGUAUAUACACAUGGAUUGGUUUUUGAAGUUGGCUAUCCAUGUACCAAUGGAGGAUGAAGUUUCUAACCUUUAGAACACUUGAAUGAUUGCAAUCCCCAAGAAAUGGUCACAAAUCUGGUAGCACCUCUCCUAUGGUGCUAUGGAUAGGGUGAAGCUUGAGCUGUGAAAAUUGUAGUAAAAAUGUUGAAUAGCUAGAGAAUAUAGAAAAAUUCUUUAAUUAGCGAGAAAUAAACAUUAUUUAUUUAGCUCAUAUUUGCAACUGACUAAACUAUGAAAAAAUUCUAUAUUUCCCACAUAAUUUACUUACCUCAAACAUAACAUAUAAAUGAAAAAUUUCUCCAUUGUAGCUUAUUCUAAAAAUGACUAAUUACGUACCUCUAUUUGAAAAGUACUAAACUAUAAAAUUAUUCCUCUAACCUCAUAUCAAUUUAUUUGACUAGUACGAAUCAUGGCAUCCAAAAUUUUGUAGCUUAUUCUACAAAUCACAAAUAUAAGCCCUAAAUGACACAUUCAUAUAAAUGAAAUUUUUUUCCGUUGUACCUUAUUCUAAAAAUCACAAAAUACUCUAGCUCUUAAGCAUAAAACUUAGUAUACUAAACAUGUAUCAAGGGAGGAUGAAGUUUAGAACACUUGAAUAAGUGAAAUCCCCUAAAUAACACAUUCAUAUAAAUGAAAAUUUUCCCCAUUGUACCUUAUUCUAAAAAUCAUAAAAUACCCUAGCCCUUAAGCAUAAAACUUAGUAUACUAACCAUGUAUCAAGGGAGGAUGAAGUUUAGAACACUUGAAUGAGUGAAAUUCCCUAAAUAACACAUUCAUAUAAAUGAAAAAAUUUCCCAUUGUACCUUAUUCUAAUAUUCACAAAUUACUCUAGCUCUAAAGGAUAAAACUUAGUGUACUAACCAUGUAUCAAGGGAGGAUGAAGUUUCUAACCUUUAGAACACUUGAGUGAAUGAAAUCCCCAAGAAAUGGUCACAAAUCUGGCAAAACCUCCCCCAAUGGAACCAUGGACAGGGUGAAGCUCGAGCUGGAGGAUCUGGCUCGGGCUGGAGGAAGAAGGAGGGUAUUUAUAGAAAGGAAAUUACUACUGGUUGGGGUCACCACAUGGUACUAACGGGGUGCCCUCUAGUACCGGUUGGUGCCUCGAACUGGUACUAGAAGGGGGUUCCACACUAGUACCAGUUGGUGGAAGCAACCGGUACUAGAGGGUUCCCCCUUUAGUACCGGUUGAUGUCAACAACUGGUACUAGAGGGUGGGUGGAGCAUUAGUACCGGAUGGUGGCUGCAACCGGUUGGUGGCUGCAACCGGUAUAAUGCUCACUCUUUAGUACCGGUUGUUGUCCCCAACCGGUACUAAAGGGGUCCUAGCAGGGCGCUCCAGGCCCCUUUGGAACCAGUACUAAUGUUAGCAUUAGUACCGGUUUCAAAUGCAACCGGUACUGAGGCUAGGGAUGAGAGAUCAAUUUUCUAGUAGUGUUCUCUUUUUGGGGGCUCCUAUCUGGCUUCCACAAGCCAGAUAGGAGCCAUGGCUUAGAGCCCAUUAAAAUCCAUCGCACAGCCCAUCAAGCCACCAUAGCUCAGCAAUCACUUCAUUGCCCUAUUGCACGCACCCAGUAUAUAUCUUGGUCUCCCAGGACAGCAACAGCUAGAGGUAGCAACCAUGAUUCUGAAAAUGGAUCAAAUAAGGAUGAAAUUGACAUUGAUGAGUGAUACUAUAGAACAGAUCGGCACAGUCUACCUCAUAGAUAAGCCUGUCAAGAGUUGGAUUGGGGAGGUCCGAAAGGUGGCUUACCAUGUUGAAGAUGUCAUAGACAAAUACUCAUAUCAUAUUCUUCAGAUAGAGGAAGAAGGGUUCCUGAUGAAGUACUUCAUCAAGGGUACCCAUUAUGUCAAAGUUUUCAGUGACAUUCCGUAGGUUGAUGCUUACCAUGAGUCUAGUUUUAGUUGUGUACCUCUGAUCCAUGUCGCAAAAAGAUUGUAAGGUGUUGUGUUAGAAUGUUCGUGGGCUUAAUGCGGCCGCUAGGAGAGCAAGUGUAUGAAGCAUGGUUCAUUCAUCCGGAGCAACGAUAGUAUGUCUGCAAGAGACUAAAAUAGCACACUGGACAUCUAAACUCGUGGCAGAGACCUUGGGAAAUAAUUUUGCAAAGAACUUUGUUGUGUUAGCAACCAUUGGCACAAGAGGAGGCAUUCUGAUAGCGGCAAUAGUGAACCAUUUCGAUGUGCACAACAUCCACACCACCGAUCACACAGUAUCCACAACAAUCACUAUGAAAGCAGACAACAAAUAUUGGACACUCACAUGCGUCUAUGGCCCUCAGGAUGACCACGACAAGCUACUUUUUCUAGAGGAACUGAAGAGCCUACAAGGACAAGUACUCACGGAAUGGGUCAUAGUUGGUGAUUUUAACCUUAUAUAUAAGGCAGAGGACAAAAGUAACAAUAGGCUCAAUAGAAACUUGAUGAACCAUUUCAAGCAGGAAAUUGACGAGAACCAACUAAUGAAAUCAACCUCCAUGGAUGGCGUUUCACCUGGAGCAACGAACAAGAUCACCCAAUGUUCACAAGGAUAGACUGGUUCUUCGGUACAGCAGAAUGGCAUCUUUUCUUCCCAAAUCUUGACUUGCAAGCCUUGCUAACCAUGGGCUCAGAUCACUUCCCAUUAUUUUUGACAGGAGAUGUAGAGAGACAAAACUAUGAGGGCUUUCGCUUUGAAUCUUAUUGGGUGAACAUGCCAGGUUUCUUAGAGAUUAUACAAGAAGUAUGGAGCCAGUCAGUGCAUACUCAAAAUGCCAUACUACAUAUGCAUGUCAAACUCAUUCACACAACAAAGGCGCUUAAAUUGUGGAAGAGAUAGAACCUGGGCAAUCUAGCCCUUCGAUUGGCAAUAGCCAACGAGGUGCUGCCUUUCUUGGAUGCAACUAAAGAACAAAGAGCUCUUACAACAGAGGAAUUAGAAUUUCGAUGAUAUCUAAAAGCGAAAUCGGUGGGCUUAGCUGCGGUUCAGAGAGCCUGUGCAAGACAACACUCCCGGCUCACAUGGAUACGUAAAGGAGACGCAUGCACACGCCUGUUUAUGCUGCAUGCUAACAACAGAAGAAGAAAGCUACACAUCCCGUCCUUAACCACCGUAAAUGGAACAAUGACCAACAACCACCACCAAAAAGAAGAAACAAUAUACAAUCACUUCCUAAAUCUGUUGGGAAUAACACAAGAGAGAUCCCUCAGCCUAAACUGGACAAAUCUCGGAUAUCAACCACAUGACCUGACCGACCUGGAAGCACCAUUUGAGGCGGAAGAAAUAAAAAAGGUCAUCAUGCACUUACCAGCAGAAAAUCACCUGGCCCGGAUGAAUUUAUUGGUCUAUUCUAUAAGAAGUGUUGGGACGUGAUCGGAGAGGAUUUGAUUCAAGCUCUCCAUACCUUCCACUCUCUUAGGACUAGGCGUAUGGAGUUGAUUAACAAGGCCAAUAUCAUUUUGCUGCCAAAGAAAGAAGGAGCGACCAUGGUUGCAGAUUUCCAGCCUAUAAGUCUCAUUAACAGUCUAGCCAAGAUCAUAACAAAGGUGCUAGGAGAUAGGUUGCCUCCGAGAUUGAAUGAACUAGUUUCCGAAUGUCAGAACACCUUCAUAAAAAAAAUAUGCAUUCAUGACAACUUCGUCUAUGUACAGAGUGUGAUCAAGGCCAUGCAUAAAUCAAGGAGACCGGCACGUAAUCUUUGUAAAACUCGAUAUCUCUAAAGCUUUUGACUCGCUUAGUUGGGUAUUUCUCAUCGAAGCAUUACAGGCCCUAGGUUUUGGCCAAAAAUGGAGAGAUUGGAUCACAAUGCUAUUAGCCACCUCAUCAUCCAAGGUGCUACUUAACGGGAGACCCGGGAAAAAAUUCAAGCAUGCUAGAGGCCUCCGUCAAUAAGAUCCACUAUCACCCAUGUUGUUCAUCCUCACCAUUGAACCACUCCAUAAAACUGGUGGAAUUGGCAGCUAGCAACAACAUCAUAAGACCAAUCCUCCCUAGAGUGGCAAAGCUACGGUGCUCCCUUUAUGUAGACGACGCAGAUAUUUUCGCAAACCUGGACAGAACGUAUUGGACAAUUGUUACAUAUCUUUGGAGAAUGUUCAGGACUCAAGAUAAAUAUGACUAAAAUGGAAAUAUUCCCUAUCCGGUGUACCAACGAAACCAUUUCAGAAGCUCUAGAGGACUUCCUGGGAAAAAAAUUUCAUCCUUCCCUGGAAAAUAUUUGGGUUUGCCUCUUCACACGCGCAAACUCAGAAGGGUGGACGUCCAACCAUUAAUUGACAAGAUCGGUGGAAGGCUCCCUGGAUGGAAAGGUAAAAGUUUAUCAUCGGUUGGGAGAGAAACACUGGUGAAGAGUGUGUUAACAUCAUAACCAAUAUAUCACCUCACAGUUUUCCCUACUAAAAAAUGGCUAAUCAAAUAGAUUGAUCACCUGCGUUUCCUUUGCAAAGGAGAGGAACCAGCAAAGGUCAAUGGAGGACACUGCUUGAUUAAAUGGCCAACAGUGUACACGCCUAAGGACAUGGGAGGGCUUGGGAUCCUCUACCUCGAGAGACUUGCGAGGGCUCUAAGAAUGCGAUGGUGCUGGUUCCAUGGGAAGUAUAGCAAGAGACCUUGGGUAGGGCUUGAUAUCCCGUGCAAUAAGAAUGACAAAGGCCUCUUCUAUGCGUCAACAGUAGUAAUGGUGGGCAAUGGAAAGAAAGCAAACUUCUGGCAUUCGACAUUUGGCACCACUCUUGUUCCAACGAUCUAAAAGGAAAAACUUCUCUGUACAACGGGCCCUACAAGAUAACUACUGGAUUGCGCAGGUUUACCCACUCGUGAUGGGGAAGGAAAUUAGAGAGUAUGUGCAGCUGUUUGAGAAAAUAAAUAUGCUACAGCGUGACCCUAAUGCCAAAGAUAAAAUAUCAUGGAGAUGGAUGAAGGACGGGGAGUAUAAGACAAAGAGUGCAUACCGCAUACAAUUCCAAGGCCAACUGAAGAAGUUGAGUAUCACCCCAAUUUGGAAAGCUAGAACUGAACCAAAAUGCCGGAUCUUUGCCUGGCUUCUCCCGCAUAGGAAAAUCUUAACGGCGGGCAACUUGGAAAAGCGGGGGUGGCCUAAUGACCCUUAGUGCAAGCUAUGCAACUUGAACUUGGAGACACCCACACACCUGUGCAAGAACUACCCUUACACAACGGCAGUCUGGGAUCAGCUGCAGGGAUGGUUUUCUCUUAACCACUUACCCCCAAGCAACACAUCGCCUUCGAUCCACAAGUGGUGGAAGAAAUGCAGAAGCAUGAUCGACAAACGGAACAAAAAUUUCUUUGACGGCCUCAUCAUAUAUUUCUGGUGGAACAUUUGGAAAGAGCGCAACAGACGAGUUUUUAAUCAUGAAACCAAACCGGUGGUGGAUGACGUCGUGUUCUCUAUCAAAGAAGGCAUCCAACAGUUCCAGUUGGCCAAUAAAACGCACGAAGCCCCGUGGAGGAGCCAACUUAGCAACAAUUUUGUCUUUUGAAGUGGGGUCUUUCUCUCAUUGAAGUGGAUCUGGCAGUUGUUGUUCUUUUCUCCUUUCCCUCUUGGGAGUUCUGUUUAGUUGGUGCAGUGAGAGCCAUGUACAUAGAGUUUUUUUUUUGUUUUUCUAUCUUAUUUGGUUUUUACCUCUUCUAAUAAAAAUUCGGAAAAGCUUUUGCCGUACGUCCAAAAAAAAUAUUGCUGAUGAAGUAGCUAUGGUAGAACAGGACAUUCAACAAGUUAACUGAUGAAGGAUCAGUGGUUUCAGCAUUCCCAGCUUGUUCCUGACAAACUUGCCAUGAUUGAAAGGCAGCAGUCCCAAGAUGGUUUCCCAGAUUUUGUCAAAGAUGAAGAUCUAGUAGGAAUUGAAAAAAAUAGAAAAUUGCUGUCUGGAUGGCUGUACUCGGAUGAGCUGGAUAGCACCGUGAUAACAGUUUCGGGUAUGGAUGGGUUGGGAAAAUCUACCCUGGUAACAAAUCUUCAUGAACGUGAAAAGGUCAACUUCCCUGUGCAUGCUUGGAUUGUUGUCACAGAUCUGCUCGGCAGACGCUCUGUUGAGAAAGCUACUCUGGAAGAUUGGGAACAUGGUACCACCAGUACCAUCAGAAAUUGACAAAAUGGAUGUACACGACUUGAAGGCAGAAAUAAAGAAAAAACUCCAAAAUAGAAAAUGUUUGAUUGUAUUAGAUGAUGUAUGGGAGCAAGAGGUAUACUUCAAAAUACAUGAUGCUUUCCAGAAUCACCAAGCAAGUCGUAUUAUCAUUACUACACGAAAGGAUCAUGUUGGAGCCAUCGCUUUGUUGGACCACCACCUUCAGCUAGAACCAUUGGAUGGCCCUGAUGCAUUUGACCUUUUCUGCAGAAGGGCUUUUCACAACAAGGAGGACCACAAAUGCCCCAAGGAGUUUGAGGAAAUUGCUACAUCUAUAGUGGAUAGGUGUCAUGGCCUGCCGCUGGCAAUUGUUACAAUAGGCCGCUGGCAAUUGUUACAAUUGACCACGAAAAUACAUUAUUUGGAAUCAAACAUAUAAUCAACUAAGGAGUGAGUUGUCAACAAAUGAUCAUGUCCGAGCAAUAUUAAACCUAAGCUAUCAUGAUCUAUCUUUAGGCCUCAGAAAUUGCUUUUUGUAUUGUAGCUUGCUCCCUGAAGACUACCCCAUGUCACGAGAAAGCCUCGUGCGGCUGUGGGUUGCAGAAGGCUUUGUUCUGAGCAGAGAAAAGAAUACACCAGAGGAGGUGGCUGAGGGAAAUCUCAUGGAACUGAUUCACCGCAAUAUGCUUGAAGUUGUGGACUAUGAUGAGCUCGGAAGGGUUAGCACUUGCAAGAUGCAUGGUAUUAUGCGGGAUCUGGCACUCUCCGUUGCCAAAGAAGAAAAGUUUGGUUCUGCAAAUGAUUAUGAAGCAAUAAUACUUUCGCCGGUUGUCAUUAUGUAGGUGGAAAGUUAAUACUUCACUUAAGGUUAAAUUUCCACGUCUUAGAAGCCUUGUAGCUCAUGGAAUGAUUUCGUCCACCCCUGAUUUGUUAUCCUCAAUUUUAUCUGAAUCAAAGAACUUGACUGUUCUAGAGCUGCAAGAUUCUAAUAUCACCGAGGUGCCCACAUUUAUAGGGAAUCUCUUUAAUCUGCGGUACAUUGGGUUAAGGCGCACCAAUGUCAAGUCACUCCCAGAGUCAAUUGAGAAGCUCUUCAAUCUCCACACUCUGGACAUCAAGCAAACCCAAAUAGAGAAGCUACCACUAGGUAUUGUUAAGGUUAAGAAGUUGAGGCACCUUUUGGCUGACAGGUUCGCUGACGAAAAGCAGUCAGAUUUCAGAUAUUUUAUCGGAGUCGAAUCACCUAAAGGGCUGUCGAACCUGGAAGAACUGCAGACUCUAGAGACAGUGCAAGUGAGCAAAGACUUGGCUGAGCAGCUGAAGAAACUGAUGCAGCUCAGAAGCAUAUGGAUAGACAAUGUAAGUGCUUCUGAUUGUGAAAACCUUUUUGCGACCCUAUCGACGAUGCCACUUCUUUCCAGCCUGCUUAUCUCUGCAAGAGAUGUGAAUGAGACACUUUGCCUCCAAGCCCUUGAUCCGAUUUCCACAAAGCUCCACAGGUUAAUUGUAAGGGGCCAGUGGGCUUCUGGGACACUGAAGUAUCCGAUAUUUCGCAAUCAUGGGGAACAUCUCAAAUAUUUAGCGUUAAGCUGGUGUCAGCUUGGAGAAGAUCCACUGAGUGUGCUCGCUCCACACGUGCCAAAUCUCACCUAUUUAAGUCUUAACAGGGUGAAUAGUGCAAGCAUGUCACACCCGAUUUUAAGGACAAAAUCGAGUGCAUUAAAUACAUGUGCGCCAGGAUCAAGUUACACACAUGUACGACAAUAGUGAAUAUCAAAGACAGUGUUAAAUCGAAUAAAGAGAGUAUUAACCAUUAUUACAUGACCGAAAGUCUCACAUAAACCACAAAGUCUAAUUAUUACGCAGCGGAACUCCAAAGACGAUGACGACUCCACAGGCAGCCGACUGAAGAAACGUACGCCUAGAACUCCUCGAAGUCGGGGUAGUACUCCUCUUCCCAAUUAACUGGGUCUGAACAGCGGUUUUGCAAGGGUGAGUACACUUAUGGUUGGUACUCAACAAGUCGUGGGGAAUAGUGUAGUGUAAGGCUAAUUCAAGGUAUGGCUAAGGCAUAAAUAGCAUUCGCUUUUAAUUAAGUUGGUCAAGUUUUAUUAGCAAUUAACUAAGUAUAAGUUCAUACCACCCGAAAUUAAACAUGAACAAAAAGUAAGCAACAAAUGCAUGAAAUGAUCACAAGUUUAAUCCAUCUUUCGAUAAUAUUAUCAUGUGAGGGUCCAGGCCGCUCUUAACCGUGAGCACGGCUGAUCGAUUAGUUUAACACUCUGCAGAGGUGGCACAUCUUUACCCACAAGUCGCGUAAAAGUUCAAAAGAACUUUGGACCCAACCAUGCGAUGCUAGCUAGGCACCAUACCACACUUCCGAGGUGUGAUUGCAUAGGGACGCUACGAGGCCUUUACAAAGAUUCGCUAGCAAUGUGGUAACCCGCUAAGGUUUCAGGUCGAAGCGAAACAUAGCAGUCCCCUAGAGGGCAUAGUGUCUUAGCCAAGCCCACUUCCCAAGAGAGCGAGUGCUAUAUCCCAUCAACGCCUCCCCUCUUGCCCUUCCGGUAAGGUAACCCCACGCUAGAGUUUCUAAUUAAUCAGCCAAGACCAGAGCCAUUUAGUCUUGUGGUAGCACUGUUUUCCUGGGUGGUUCUCCAUGUUCCGAUUAACAAAUAAUGAUCUUGUCUUAAUGAAAGGUAUAACAGAAGUAAAGCAAGAUUAAGCAUUGUGUGUAGUUAAACCACCAUGUACCAAGUAAGCACUAAGCAUGAGCUACCCAACAUAAAGUAAACCGGUUGGUCAAGGCAAAGGUAAAUCAAUCUAGGCGAACCUUAAUUGGGACCCAUCAAUUUAAUCUUAAUAUGUGCAUAGCGUAAAUGUUAAGUACGAGAAAGUAAAGGUGUAUAGGACAACAAGAUAGUGAUCAAGGACACGACUUGCCUUCUUGGCCUUGCUCCUGCUGUUCGUACUCUUCGAAGGCUUGAUCGGCAACUCCCUCGAACUGCGGGGCGUCUACACGCGUCACACGAGCACAUACAAGCAAACAUAGGCAAAAGUAAGAAAACAGUACACCAAACAUAGUUAAACAGAGAAAAUAAGCUUGAAAAGAUGAUCUACGCUUUAAAACGAACACGUGGAUAUAAAGAACGCGAAAAACGGAGUUAAGAUGCAAAAGAUAUGAUUAAAACAAGAUCCAGGGACCUUUCUGUAAGAAAAACAAAACUUUUAGGGCCUAUCCGCGAAAACCGAGGGCUUAUACGUAAUUAUGCGUAUAAACCGAGGGUCUGACGCGUAAAAACAACAAACCCGGACGGCGGGUUGAUUUCUGGAAAGCUCAAGGGUUAAACCGAAAAAGGCGAGGGCAGAUCUGUAAAUAUUUUCAACGCGAUCUGGACCGCGGGUUGAUUCGCGGGUUGAUCUGGACGCGAUCUGUAAAUAUUUUCAACGCGAUCGGAUCGAGAUCGGACGGCCACGGUCGUCCACGACUCGCGACGGCGGCGGGGAAACAGAGCGGCGGCGGCGGCGAGCGGCGGCGCGCGGCGGCGAGCGGCGGCGGGUCGCCGGAGUUGGCCGAAACGGCGCUCCGGGGCACUAUUUGAAGCGCGGGUUGCACCAGAAGAAAGAGGAGGGUGCGGCGAUCCCGUUUUGGGGGGGUUCUCGUCGUCGGGAGCUCACCGGAGGCGGCGGGCGACGGCGAGGAAGAGGCGGCGGCGCUAGGAGCUCGAGCGGCUAGGGUUUCGGGUGCUGCGGCGCUGGCGUUUGGGCGGAGGAGACCGGGAGGAGGCGGCGGCUUUUAUAGGGCUUGGAGAUAGAGGCCCCGGGGGUUUAAACCCCUCCGAAGGAGGCGGAGCGGAGGGAGUUCGCGGCGGAGACGGCGCGCGGCGGUUGCGGGAGGAGUUCGGCCGGAGGUGGGAGACGGUGGUGGGCCCCACCUGUCGGCGGCCGCGGGCGAAGGCGGGCUGGCGCGGUUGCGCGGGCCGGCGCGCGCGCUCGUGGGCCACGAGGCGGGGGUGAGCGGCAGGCCGGGGUGAAGCGGUGGGCCGGCGCUUCGCGGGCCGCGGAGGAAACGCGAGCGGGCGAGCUGCGGAGCAGGCCGAGCGGAGGCGGAGCUGGGCCGCGGAGAAAAGGAGGAGGGGGCGACGCGGCGGGGAGCUGGGCCGCGCGGGAGAAAAAGAAAGAGGAGGCCGGCGGAGCUGUUGCGGGCCGGUGGUGAUGGUGCGGCUGGGCCGAAGGAAGAAAAAGAAAGAGGAGGGAAGGAAGUUUCGGCCCAGGAGAAAAAGAAGGAGAAAGAAAAAGAAAGAGAAAAAGAAAAGGGGUUUUGGAAUUUGAAUUCAAAUUUGGAAAUUCAAAAUUCAAACUUUGAUUCAAACUCAAGCAACCAAAAAUUAUGCUCCAGCAUGAAUGCACAAAUAAUUCCUAUGAUGAAUUAAUUGAAUUAAAGAAAAUGGAAUUAAAUGCCUAAAAUUUAAAUAACACCUUAAUUUGAGCAAAUUUUAAUGAGUUUGAAUUAUAGAAAUUUUAGGUGUUACAAAUCCUACCGUUCUUUCUGCUGGGUGUUUUCCUCACCUGAAGACGCUCGUCUUGAAGCGAAUGCCGGAUGUCAAGCAGAUGGAAAUCGGAGAUGGUGCUCUUCCACGUAUUGAAGGUCUUUACAUUGUGUCCCUAGCACAACUGGAUAAGGUUCCUCAAGGCAUCGAGUUGCUUCUUUCUCUGAAGAGGCUUUGGCUGCUGUACCUGCACGAUGAGUUUAAAACUCUGUGGCAAACGAGUGGGAUGCACCAGAAGAUGCAGCACGUUCCAGAGAUUCGUAUCUAGGACAACUAGAUGGUAAAUUCUCCAGUGGUAUGCUUGUAUGAUGUGUCUGCUCAGAACUGUGUUUGUUGGGCACUUUAUCCCUUUUUAUUCCAAUAAGCCAUGAAUUCUUCCUUUUGAUUUUUUUUUUAUUGUACAUUGAAACACCCAUGUAUGUGCUGUGUGUUGGUUCAGUUGCUUUAGAAACACUACUUUUGUUCAAGAACACUUCCCUUCUGUAUUUAACUUUUGUAAAUGAUGUUAUGAUCAACAGAUUUUGUGCAUGUGAGGUGCAUAAUAUGUGAACUUACAAACCAGCAGAAUAUUCAUAAUUUCAGGGCGUUUACUUUAUUUAUAUGCUACUAAAUUGAACAGUGCUCUUCACUUUGCCACUAACUUUUUGCUUUUCAUUUUUUAUGCUGUUAUUCCAGAUGGUGCUUCUAGAAAGUUCAAUUUCUCGUAAUUCUCAGUCAAUUUUCCAUUAGCACCCAAAAAUACUGAAAAAUCCUUCAGAAAAAGCUUGAAAAAAUGUAGAAAAUUAUUUUGAACUAAGAAAAAUAGUGAAAGCCUGAAAGGUACUCACCCCACACACACGCACACCCCAAACGAUUAAAGAAAGUCGUAAACUCUUAAUCACUGAAAAAAUAUUUUCUAAAACAAUAUGUGCAGAGAAAACUAUCCUACAAAUUUACUUUUUGUUGAAAUGUGUACGUUUCGAUCUUUACCAGCUCUUAUGGAAAAUCCUUUUUAAAGGAUUUCUACUAUAUUGUUUUUCUUCAAAGAUGAUAUAAAAAACUUUGUUUAAAUCACUAGUAGAGAACUGGCCUUUAGUCCUGGUUGGUAGGAUGUAUAUCUCCCGAAAAUCCAUCCGGGAUAAACUAACCGGGACAAAAGGGGGGGCCUUUAGUCCCGGGUCCUUCAACCGGGAGUAAAGGUCACCCUUUAGUCCCGGUUGGUGUCACCAACCGGGACUAAAGGGCCUGCCACGUCAGGCGCCGGACAGACCCUUUAUUCCCGGUUGGUAAAAGCAACCGGGAGUAAAGGGUGCCCCUUUAGUCCCGGUUGGGUUUCCCAACCGAGACUAAAUGGCAUCCUGCAUGGCGCCCUGCAUGGCACCUGAAAUUUUCAUGCAUCACGUACGUAGUACCGCGGUCCUUUUGUUAACCUUUAGUAGUUGAGAUUUUUUUAUAAUGAAAUCAACUAGUAUUUAAAUGAAUGAAAUUUGUAAUUAUACAAUUACUAUAUAUAUACACAAUUCAUAUACACAAUUCAACUAGUACAAAUCGAUCUUAGCGUGUAUUAUAUAUACAAAUCAAACUAUAUAUCUACAAUCUUGAUCCCAUCGAGGUGUUGCUCGGAACGUCUAAUUGUCGUCCAUUGUAAUAAAAUUCUCCUUUUGGAUUUACUACCUCGUCCAUUAGGAAUCCAAUGAGACCUUUACAUAUUGCCGCUACUCUUUCUUUCUUCAAGAGUCCUUGUUGAAUAUUUAACAUCUAUAAUUUGAAAAUUUAUGAAUGUCACAUGAACAAUUAAAUAUAAGGAGCUAGAAAAUAAUUAACUAGUAAUAGUUUUAUUUUACGUACUUUAAAGUUGUGCCACGUCAUCUUUAGUCCCUUGGGUCCCAGAAAACUGUGCAUGUGCUCACAGAUGUAGUAGCCACAUAGAUUAUUCCUGGGUUCCUAUCUUAAGCACUUCAGUGCGGAAAAAAAUAAGUUAUGAAAUAUUCGUGUUAUACAAUAUACUAAAUGUGCAGACUUCAUACGUACCGGGAAGUCUGUGUUCCAUGUAAGUUUUUCUUUGAAUGGACCUUUGUGUGUCCUUAUGAAUUGUUUCCAUGCGCUGCGGAUUAGAAUAAUGAAUGAUAUAGUGUAACAGGGAUAAAAUUUAGGAAACAAACUUUUGCAUAGAGAUAAAGGUCCAGAAUUAUUACAAGCCUAGCAUGUCUUGCAUGUCUUGGUACUCCGUCGGAUCUUUCCUUAAUGUAUUGAAGACAGUGACGUGGCUUCUUUCAUGCUCAAUUAUAAUAAGGAUCCAGUGGAAGCUGCGUACGUAAAAUGUUCAUGUAUAUUAGAGCUAACUAACAUUAAUCAGGUAAGGAAAAAGACAACGAAAGUAGACGGUAUACACACACUUACUUGAAGUUGUAUGGAAGUAGUAUGAAAUCCUUGAAUUUUUGUUUGUCCAGGAAAUUGUAUACUUCCACCAAAGUUUUUUCCAGCGAUAAUUGUAUCUGUUUUUGGUUAACUACGGAUGGAUCCAUGAAGCCAAUAUGUAGGUACACCUCUCAUCGGCAUGUCUGAAUUAGCAUCCUACAUAAAAUGGAAGACGAAGUUAGUAUGGUGACGCACACAAAAAAAUACUGAUAUGAGCCAAAAUUUGCAUGUAGAGAUAAACGGACACUUACAGAACCCAGGCGCUGACCAGAGAGACGUCCAGGACAUCAUGAUGGUACACUUCGUAUAUAUCCUGGAAGUCUAGCUACAGAAAUUUCUCGCCUUCGCCGUAAAAAUCUAUCGGUUUACCUUAAGGUCCAAUAUCUCCCUCGAGUCGGCGGACACCUUUAUGUACCAUUCAUGGAAUUCGUACAUCUUUGUUGAUAGCUUCCGUACCAACUCAGGCCUUACUAGAGAUUUGCCUAGCUCAUAAGUCCAUCUCGGCUCAGGAAGCGGUGCAGCUGGCGGCUCAACUUGCCCUAAACAUUCAUCAAGUCCCAGACCUGUUUCUUGCAUGAAUUUCAAUACUUCUACUUGUUGAUCCAAGGGCAUUGCUGCUACCCUUUGAGCGUCUUUUUUGAUAAAUGCUCGAGGUUGGGGACAACACCACUGGAAGAUGACUUUCCUUUCCUUUUGUCCCUUUCAUCAGCCUUUACUAAAGCUCGUUCGUAGUUUGAUAAGAGUGGUAUCCUUUUCUUGGCUCCUUCUUCCAUCCUGAUAAAAAAGUUUAAAUCUCUUCAAUUUACUGGUGGUGGCUCCAUCUCCCUUGCUUUUUUUCUUCAGCUUGUUUCUUGAACCACGCACUGGCAUCUGCUUGGAUUUCUGCCCACUAUUCUGCAUGACUCAUUGCCUCCCAGCGUUCCUUACGAGUCACUUCAGGCUCCUUUGUUUUCUUCUUUCUCUCUCUUUGCUUGGGAGGCGGUGCUUGUGACUUCUUUAGUGGUGCUACAAGUUCCUUCAUCGGGGCUGCUCUUGAUCCCGGCAACGGUGAUCGGGGAGGGGUGUUGUUAUUGUCGUCGUCGCUCCCACCACCGGGAUGUUGUGGAGAUGGAGACCUUGAUAGAGUAGGAAGCAACGGUCCUGGAGCAAGUUGUGCAGGAGAUGACGGUCUCGAGCUAUGAGGAGAAGGUCGCUGCUGGGGAUCUACGGGGAGCGGUCUUGAGCUCUGAGGAGAUAGCUCCGUGCCGGGAAUGAUGAUGUAGCGUUUGCACCAUAGGAUGAUCCCAUGAAGUGCUUCUACCAGUGUUCUUUCCCUGUCGCCUCCCGGGAGGUCGAUCUCUAGGCCUUCAUAUUGGCUAUCAACAAGUUGAUUUAUGCGGACGCAAGCAUAGCUAGGUGGAAUCUCCAUGCCAUGACUGCUCUGCCCUGCCAGGGUUGGUAACGCACUUCCGUAUGCUACCUGUACAUAUAGCAGAAGUAAACAAAUUAUUAAACUCCGAUCACGAGGCGUGGAUCAAUUGACAAGAUUGCAUAAAUAUUAUGUAUAAGUAUACCUUAAUAGUGAGGUUGCCGACCAGUGUAUGCAGCUCACAUGUGGUGCGUUGUGUGAUGGCAUCCACAGGGAACUGUUGCUCCUCCACGGGUAACCUGGGCGUUUGCGCAUCGGGGACCCCUGUAGAAGCACAACUGCUCAGGAGGCGUUGAGAAGGGCUGGCGCGGUUUGGAUUCAGCAAUGCUCCAGAUUGGGCCAACUCCGCAACUGCAUGAGCCACUCGAUGAUUGAUUUCCUUCAAAAUUCUUUCUUCUUUGUGCCUGCACUUUGGAUUCUAGCAUCUGCCGCUAGCUCUCCUCAAUCUGUUCCUUUCUUCGCUUGCGGCUUCUGUACGAUGCGAUGUCGCCUCGGAAAGCAAACUUCCACGGAAUGACCCCGAACCCUCGGCAACGUCCUGGGUGCUCAGGAUUAGCGAGGGCCAAUGUGAGCUCAUCAUUCUCUCGGUCCACCUUCAACCUCCUAGCCUUAGAAUCUUCAAUGUUCUUCAUAAGACGUUCGACCUUUUCACGUAUUGUCUCAUUGAAUAUCAACGUCCCAUCAUCUUGGCUCAAGUAGCCUCCAUGAGCGUAACACCAAUUUUUCGAUCGUUCGAGCCAUUCAAUAGUUGCAGGUACGAUUCCCCGUUCGAUCAGAUCUUGUUCCAUCUUCUUCCAUUUAGGAAUUGCUAUGCCAUAACCAGCUCGCCCUAGAUGAUGAUGGUACGCCUUCUGACUAGAAUUUGUAGUGUUGCUCAGGAUCUUUUUCACACCGUCUUCACUCUUCUUAUAUUCAACAAAUGCCUCCCAGUGGUCCCUCAACUUUGGCCACACAUUGAAGUCUGGAGUUCGGCCCUUCUUAAUGUAGUUGGCAUCCAGCAUCUUCUUGAACGUUUUGAAUUGUGUAGCCAUCUUCUUCAGCGUUCACGCUUUCACAUCCUUUUCAAUAUAACAUUCGGGAAAUGUGAAAUGUCUCUUGACAUCUUUUUCCCACAUCAUAUUAUUUUGUGUCUCCAGGAGCGCGUACGGAUUAGUGCUUUUGCCCUUCCAUUCUCUGAUGCUGAUAGGCACGUUGUUCCUUACUAUUGCCCCAAUCUGACUCACGUACUUGUUUGUUACUUUCUCGGGAGCAACCGGCCUGCCCUCUUCUGUCACUUCCGUGAUGACAAGCCUCCCUUCCAUCACCUUUGUACGACCUCGGGUCUUCUGCCCUUGCGUCGAUCCAAAGAGCUAACAGUUCAAGAUUCGUUAAUUAGUACGUACUAUUAACGGUGGUGUCAAACAAUACAAAUUAUAUACCUCGCUGUAACCUUCCGCCAUGGCAAGGUGUUGCUGGGGCUCAUGCUCUUCAUUCUCAUCACCGGACAUGUUGAGGAACAUGUCCGCCUGGGUACCCUCUUCAUUGGUUUACGAUAUUGGAAGGUUGUCACCACUACCAUCACCAGCGAUUAUCUGCUCCAUGAGAUACCUUGCGGUCUCGUCGUCUGCCAUUUCAACUACUGAUUGAAACAUACAUAGAAUCAUACAUGACACUCAUGAAUCAUAGAAAUCGCCUUAGUUGCAUGUACGUAAGGGUAUAUACAUGAAAUCAUAAAAUAACAUGAAUCCCACAAAGCUCGAAAUAUUUAUACAAAUUUCAACAAAUUAGUAGUACUUUGUAAGAAUUUCUACCAAAUUUCUACUAAUUUAUACAUAUUUAUUGAAAUUUCUAGCAAAUUACUACUAAUUCCUACUAAUUUUACAAUAACAUGAAACCCACAAAGUCCGGAAUGUUUAUACAAAUUUCAACAAAUUAGUAGUACUUUGUAAGACUUUCUACCAAAUUUCUAUUAAUUUAUACAUAUUUAUUGGAAUUUCUGGCAAAUUAUUACUAAUUCCUACUAAUUUGAAUGAAUUUCUACAAAAUUUAUCAACUGAUUUUCUAGCUAAUCUACAAAUAUCUAUUGAAUUUCUAACUAAUCUACUAAUUUCUAUUCAUUUUCUAACUAAAAAAAUAAAAAAGGCCCUUGCUGACGCAAGCCGGUGGGCUUGCGUCAGCAAGAGCUGUUCGUUCCCGACGCCAGUGCCGGCGGACCUCGCGUGGUCGACGGUGCCUAGCUUGGGCGACGAGGUGGCCGAGGCAGCGGGACGGCGGCGUGUGGGGCAGCGGUAUGGCGGAGGCGGGGACGGAGCGAGGUGGCCGCAACAACGAUGGGCGGAGGCGGCCGGCGACGAGGGACGGAGGCAGCACGCACGACAGAGGCAGUGACGAGGAGGCCCCGCGACGAACGAGGGUGCAGCAGUGAUAGAGGAGGUGGCGUUGACGGAGGCGGUGACUCGGACGGAGGCGGCGAUGAGGCCCCACGAUUGAGGCGGUCGGCGGCGACGAGGUUGAGGGGGCGCGACGGAGGAGGAUCAGAGGCGGUCCGGGACGAUGGAGGAGGAGGCGGUCCGGGCGUGGGUGAGGCGGUCGGCUAGCGGGACGACGAUGGCUGGGGCAAUGGGGGACAACGAUGGCGGCGGCAGGCGAGGGAGGCGGACGGGCAGCGACGGAGCAGGCGAGAGGGCGCGGGAUCUUGGCGGUGGUGUGAAAAUUUAGCUAAGUGUAACUGGCGUGGGGGCUAGAAGAGGAUACAGUGUCUUUUAUCCCCCCCUUUAUCUUGGUUCUCAAUUGCUCCCGGGACUAAAGGCCCUUUUGUCCCGGGUGCUAACACCAACCGGGACAAAAGGGCCCCCUUUUAUCCCGGUUGCUAAUUGUAACUGGGAUAAAAUGGUAUGUCCCAGGCGGGAAUCGAAAGCGACCCUUUUAUCCCGGUUGCAGUUGUCCACUGGGAUAAAAGGGGGGCCUUUUGUCCCGGUUUCUAUUGGCACCCGGGAUAAAAGGGACUUUUCCCACAAUUUCAUCUCCCGCCUAUUAUUUGCAAAAUGAUUUUAUUUAUAUUUUCACUGCAUUUCAAGAUGCAGCAACAAAAAACUUCACAUAUUUUGAACAUGCAAAAAUAUAUUUAAUUAGGAGUAUAUUGACAAUAAGUGUGAUUUAGUCAUUAAUUCUAUAUCAGUUCGUUUAGCCUCUAAAAUAGUUAUUUUACUGCAACGCUAUGAUCAAGAAAUUAUUCAAUUAAAUAAUUUCAACGUGCAAAAAAAUCCAUGUAUGUAUGUGGUUAACAUUAUUCAUGUUUAUCUAAUAAAUCUUCACCUCAACAAAUUUAAUAACACAUGAAAUCAUAUAUAGGUUAAAUUAAAAAUUGUAUCAAGUACUACACAAAGGUCAUGUAAAUUUAGUGCAUUACAAUACAACGUUGUAAAAUUUCUUCUUCACGAAAGUUCCUUGAUUAUGAUCGCGGCAUAAGUAUGGAGCCUCUUCUUUGAAUAGCAGGAUGCUUGGGUCAACCUCAACUGCGAAUGGAGGCAUGCCAUCAAACUGAUCAUAAUCAUCUGAUUGGUCUGUUUUAUCCUCGACUCCCAUGUUUUUUCUUUUACCUGGAAGAACUAUGUGGCACUUUGGCUCCCAUGUCUCUUCUGGAUUUCUCUUGGGUUUGCUACACAUGUCCUUCACAUAGAAAACCUGAUGCACAUCAUUGGCAAGAACGAAUGGGUCAUCACUAUAUCCAGUCUUGCUCAGAUCUACUAUUAUCAUUCCGUACUGAUCUUUAGUUACGACAGUUAGCUUCACCCAAUUGCAAAGAAAUAAAGGGAUGUACAACAGUCCGUAUUCGAGUUCUCAUACCUCCUGUAUGAAACCAUAAUACGACUCCUUACUAUUAUUUCUAUCUAUGGCAUCUAUGCGGACACCACUAUUCUGGUUCAUGCUUUUCUGGUCCUGGGCUCUCGUGUAAAAUGUAUAACCAUUUAUCCCAUAGCCUUGGAAUUUUACGAUUGUGGUAGCAGGUCCCAUGGCUAACCAAGCGAGCUGUGGGUGAAUCUCAGAGUUACCCAUAAGUUGUUGGCGCAACCAGGAGGGAAAAGUUUCCAUGUGAUGACGUGUAAGCCAAGCAUCGGAUUUCGUCGGGUUUUUGGAAACUACCAUCUGCCUGUGCUGCUCGAUAUACGGAGACACAAAGGAUAACUGUUGUAGAAUAGUCUAAUAUUUCAUGUUGAACAAAUCAGUAUGAUUGCUCAAACUUGAUUUCCUUCCAAGGGUACCCAUUCCCCGGAGCCUCCCCUCGUGGCGUGAAGUUGGAACCUCAAUCGAGUCAAUUGACUCAAUAAAAUCAACACAAAACUCGAUCACCCCCUCUGUUCCAUAUCCCUGGGCGAUGCUUCCUUCUGGACGGGCACGAUUAAGAAUAUAGUUUUUUAGGACUGCCAUUAACCUCUCGAAAGGCCACAUAUUGUGCAAGUAUACAGGUCUGAGAAUACCAAUCUCUUUUACUAGGUGAACCAGUAAGUGCGCCAUAAUAUUGAAGAAGGAUGGUGGAAAUACCAACUCAAAACUGACAAGACAUUGCACCACAUCGUUCUGUAGCUUUGAUAGCUUGGAUGGAUCGAUUGCCUUCUGCAAAAUCGUAUUGAGAAACGUGCAUAGCUUUACGAGCGGCAACCGGACAUUGUUCGGUAGAACACCCCUCAGUGCAAUCGGAAGAAACUGGGUCAUCAACAUGUGGCAGUCAUGGGUCUUGAGAUUUGUAAACUUCUUUUGUUUCAUAUUUAUUAUUCCCUUUAUAUUCGAGGAGUACCCAGACGGGACCUUCAUACUAUUCAAGCAUUCAAACAUGGUAUCCUUCUCUUCCUUGCUGAGAGUGUAACUGGCGGGAUGUAAGUAGUGUUGUCCAUUAUCUCUCUUUUCCGGAUGUAGGUCAUCUCGUUGCCCCAUGGCUUUCAGGUCCUGUCGUGUUUCCAAUGUAUCUUUUGAGGUCCCAUAAACACCCAUGAAGCCUAGCAAGUUCAUGCAAAGAUUCUUCAUCAGGUGCAUCACGUCUAUUGCGUUGCGAACCUCUAGGAUUUCCCAAUAAGGUAGCUCCUAAAAUAUUGACCUUUUCUUCCACAUGGGUGCACGUUCGUUAUCGUCGUUUGGAACAGGUUGGCUACCAUGAACCUUUCCAAAGACUCCAUUUACAUCCUUUAUCAUCUCGAAGACACGCUUUCCAUUACGGUGUGCAGGUUUUUUACGAUGGUCUGGCGCCCCUUUGAAAUGCAUCCCGCUCUUUCUCGGCUGGUGGUGAGCAGGGAGAAAUCGACGAUGACCCAUAUAGACGACCUUAUUACAGUGCUUCAAAUACAUGCUGUCUGUGUCGUCUAAACAGUGGGUGCAGACCUGAUAUCCCUUAUUUGUCUGUUCCGAAAGGUUACUCAGUGCAGGCCAAUCAUUGAUGGUUACAAACAACAAUGCUCGUAGAUUAAAGAUCUCUUGUCUAUCCUCAUCCCACACACGUAUACCUUCUUCCUUCCAGAGCUAUAAAAGGUCAUCUACCAACGGUCUUAGGUACACGUCAAUGUCAUUGCUGGGUUGUUUUGGGCCUUGAAUAAGCGCCGGCAUCAUAAUGAACCUCCACUUCAUGCACAGCCAGGGAGGAAGGUUGAACAUACAUAGGGUCACAGGCCAAGUACUAUGGUCACUACUCAACUCACCGAAUGGAUUGAAUCCAUUAGUACUUAAACCAAACCUUAUGUUUCUUGCUUCACUUUCAAAGUCUGGGAAUGCUCUAUCAAUUGAUCUCCACUGGGCCCCAUCUGCGGGUGUCUCAGCAUCUCAUCUUCCAUACGUUCUUCUUUGUGCCAUCGCAUCAACUUAGCAUUCACCUUGUUCCUAAACAAGCGCUUCAAGCGUGGUAUUAUAGAGAAAUACCACAUCACCUUCACGCAAACUCUCUUAUUGGGAGACUGCCCCUCGACAUCACCAGGAUCAUCUCGCCUGAUCUUAUACCGCAGCGCUUCGUAGAUGGGACAAGCAUCCAUUUUCUCGUAUUCAUCACCACGAUAGAGGAUACAGUCGUUAGGGCAUGCGUGUAUCUUAUGAACAUCCAAUCCGAGAGGGCAAAUAAUAUGUUUAGCUUCAUAUAUUGUGGACGGUAAUUCAUUAUUCUUGGAAAAAAUCUUCUUGACAAUGUUCAACAUCCCCUAAAAUGUCUUAUCAGACACACCAUUUUUUGCCUUCCAUUGCACAAAUUAUAGUGUCGUACCUAGUUUUUUAUGGCCCUGCUGGCAAUCUGGGUACAACAAUUUUUGGUAAUCAUCUAUCAUGUGCUGCAACUUUGCUGCUUCCUUCUCAGUUUCGCAAUAUCUGUGUGCAUCUCGUAGCACCUGAUUAAGGUCAUCAGUAGGGCCAUUUUCUGCAAACUCAUCUUCAUCAGCCUCGCCCAUUGUAGUAUCUGCAAAAGCUUGGCUUGCAACCCAGUCCGGAAUGUUGUCAUCUUCCUCCUCCUCCUCGCUGUCUUCCAUUACAACCCCUCGUUCACUGUGCUUGGUCCAAACCAAAUAGUUAGGCAUGAAACCGUAUCCAAACAAGUGGCUGUGAAUAGUCUCCCAGGAAUCCUUUGAAUACUACUUCUUGUUAUUGCAUUGGAAGCAUGGACAACAUACGAACCCAUUCUCUGGCUUGUUCGCUUUGACCACUUCGAGAAAAUAAUGCAAGCCAUCAAUAAACACCUUGCUCCGCCUGUCUGCAUUAUACAUUGUAGUGCAAAUAAUGCUAAAAAUUUAGAUAUAGAUAGAAAUACACAUAUUUAAAUUAAAGAUCCAAACAACAUGAUACAAUACAACAAGCCAUCCACUAGUUAUUAUCUAGGAGGACUUUAAGCAUCCUUGGGUGGUGAAGACGAAGGCGCUGACCUAGCCUCAUCCUGUGGUUUAUUUGUGCCGCCUGAAACGGUAGUACUAAGUGGAUGUGAAACACCCGGGACUGAGGGUGGAGCAUAACGAUCACCAAAAGGAGGUUCCUGACCCACGGCAACAGCUUCUUCAUGACGUUUCUGCAAAUAACGAAGCAUUGCUUUUUCCAACGCGCUCAUUUUCUUCGACUUAUGCUGAGGGCCAACUAUGAUUUUCCCCUUCCCGAAAGAGGAACGAUGAUCGCCCCCACCAUCGCCACUUCCUCCAGUAGCAGAAGCCAUCUAUGUACAUAAAUUCUUACCUUAGCAUUGCAGAAGUUGUUGAACUUGAAGAUCGUGAUCAUGUCGCGAGCAUGUCCUCAACUGGGCAGCACCGCACUUCGUUAUGAAAGAGGUUCGAUUCUACGGAAAAGGGGACCUAGUCACGAUGUCUGUAUCCACUCUUUCUCAUAGAAUCGAACCUCCUUCUUGACAUACGUUGUUGCUCGGCGGAGAACAACCUCGCCGAGAUGAACACGGUUUGCAAGUUCAACAAGUGGAUUUGAAAAACUAUAUUGAAUUUGAUAAGAUAAACCGUCUAGACAAGGUAGCAUCAUUCUUAAACCACUGCAAGAAUACAUACUAUAUAUGACACAUCAAUCUCCCUCACAUUCUAGCUCAAAAUACCUCUCCAUUUUCUACUUCAUCACAUUCUAGAAAAUAAAUUUUCCAUCUCCAAAGCAUAAAUCAAAGCGUACACGAGGAUGAAGUAGUAAACCUUCACAACACCUGUGUUGGCUGAGUGAAAUUCCCACGAAAAUGAGGGAAAAAAAUUCGGACAGCACCUCCCUUGCUUCGGCACCACCGGAGAGUAGGUGAAGCUCAGCUCUCUGUCUAUGUGGUGGACUGGCUCGGGGUGGAGGAGGAAGAAAGGCCUCUGUCUUGGUAUAUAAUGGGGAUGAGUUUUUAUCCCGGUUAAAAACUCCAACCGAGACAAAACGGAACACCUUUUGUCCCGAUUGAAAGUUUAGUCCCGGUUGGAGGCUCCAACCGGGAUAAAAGGGUCACGCCAACGACACCCCAGAACUAGCCGUUACAACCGGGACUAAAGGGGGGCCUUUAAUCCCAGUUGCAGAUACCAACCGGGAGUAAAUCUCCCCUCCAUUUUUGCCUACCGUGGCGCACCCCCUUUUGUCCCGGGCCAACUUUAAACCGGGACAAAAGGGGGUGCAUCGAAAGUCAGUUCUCUACUAGUGAAUGGUCCUGGAUUUUUUCAUGCUCUUUUUUUAUAUUUCCCAUGAUAUUUCCUGAGCUUUCUGUGAUUUUUAGCACAUUCUUUUACGUAUUUUUAGAGACCAUGUAGAUGAGCUUUCGCAAUAGAAUCAAAGUUGUGAUAGCAUGUUUAUUACUUGCAUUCUAAGGAAAUAGUGCCAUGAAUAAAUGAGAUGUGCUAACUUAAAAUGGCCAAGUUAAGAGCAUUGUUUGAGUUAAUGUUAUAAAGAAAAUGAUCUCGUAGAAAAAUAAAACAUUUGGGCACUAAUACACAUACUUUAUAAAAAAUAAGUUCCUUUAGGAAACUAAAGGUUAUUACAAAUGAACUUCCUUUUGGUAGAUUUAUUCAUCAAUAAAGACAUUAUGUAAAUCACAAUCAAUUAAGACUUUACAAAAACAGUUGGAAGACCUUUCUACGAGUUGUCUUCCUUUUUGUUUUUGCUUAUAAAAGAUGAUAGGUUGUUAGGGGAACUCACAUAAUAAUAUUUACAUGACGCCAAAUAUCUAAGCCGUUCGAUUGAGCGUUUUGGGUGCAAUCAGAUGAGAUCCCACAUUGUAAGGGACUACAUUGAUCCUCUUCUGAUCAAGACGCCCUCGAGAGCUCCGAUCCGCCGUGGCCCCUGCCUUUGUCCCGAUGAUGGCUCCACCGCCGCCGGCCGGAAACUCUGGCGCUGUACGUCCUGGUGGUGCCGAGCCGAGGCGAUCGACUGCAGGGAUCUGGAACGGCAAGCGGCCAAGCCUACCUCGUCGCGCCGCCGCCGCUGCCCGCUGGAGUCGAUGAAACCCAUGGUUGAAGAGCGGGAAGGCGAGGUCCUACUACUCGACCGGCCGACCCCUCCCACCACUGAACUUUGGUUUGGAUAGAACUCAGGUGAUCGCCCACUUCCAUCUCCCCUGUGUAUUCCUUUUGCAUUUGUUCCAAUCAAACACUAUUAUUGAACUGAAACCAUCUCCCAAACGAACUGAACAAAUCUUCUAAGAAAUCCGUUGACGUACCAGCAAAACAACGGUGCAUUUGCAUUCCAUUACCCGUCAUUCCGUUGUGUGUAUGAAGUAAUAAUCCGUAGCAGACCUCAGGUUUCCGAAUGUCAUAUGUUCAUGGACAUCUUGGAUAGCAUAAUUAUGAAACGAACUAUGUUCACUUCAAUACAGAUUCUAAAUGGGGGGAAACAUGUAGACAUGCAGAAAGGUGCAGGAAAGACUCCUGGUUUACUAGAAAAUGAUACAACACUUGCAACCAAUGAGUUGCAAUGAGGCUAUGACUGAAUUCAAAUACGAUGGAAAAAGUAUUGUAGCUAUAACUCAAGAGUGGAGUAAUUUAGACAAUGGAAUGAUAAGAUACUUCAAUGAUCAUUAAGGAAGGAAAUUUUAUGACUUGAGAUUGACCGCCUUGAAAUAUUCUUCACAGUAGUCUGGCGAACCAAAUUAUGUAGUAUUUCUACCAACUGACAAGAAUCCUCCACUGAAUGCUUCACCUUUUGCUGCAAAAAGAAAGGGCAUCAUAAACCAUGGCGACCUAUCUUUGGGUAGAGGUACGUGGAGCAAUUUUAAAUUUUUAUUUUCACUUAUCUGUAAUUUGCAGUUAUUGCCUCGUGCUAAGAAAUUCAGGUAGCUGCAAAAAUUUACUAAUUUUAGAGUUAGUGUUAGAGUUUUAUUUGUUUCUGUAAAGGUGAGGCCGAUAUCCCUAAAGGUACAAAAACUUUAUGAUAAAUGAAUUGCACGAAUCCUUUGGGAAGUUGGGCAUAGUUGGUCACAUAAUAUUGCAAGCACUAAAUGUGUGCACUUUGCAGCCCUCUGGCUGGUUGGUAUCUGCAUGUGGCAUGCUACGAAAGUACCUCUGACAUCUGAACAGAGCAAAUUGGAGCUAAGUACCGUAAAAUAGGUACGUCGAUAGAUGUAUAUGAGAGAACUGACCCGAUUAACUUUGCAAAAGAUAGUAUAUUAGAUAUUUCUGGAGGGAAAUUGGCUGCACAUGAGAAUAAAAAGAGAAGGGAAAGAAAGCUGACCGUCAUGCUCCCACAAGGAUCAGAAUCCUUAUAAAGUCAUGCAUGUAUGAAAUGAAGAACUACGAAGCCACUCGGCCAUUGUUAGCAAUGGAUGAACCAGUUAAAGCGGCACAAAUCACUUGCUGUCCCAUAUUAUUGAAAGCAGAAUCUGUUUCGUCAUGUGGCAUUUGGGUGUGAGUCUCCUGUACCUGUUCCUCUGACAGAACAGAACGAUCUACAAUCUCAUUCUCAGUUUCCCCUGCUGCAGUGGAAUCUCCAUCAUGAUCUACCUUAGGUGGUAUAGCCCUUUUGAGGACAACUAUUGGCCUGUUGGGAUGUUCCUUAGCCGCCCUCACCCAGUUUGCUUUAGUACCAUCAGUGACUCUACAAUCAAGCAUUAUUUCGCUCAGUCGUGUGAAACCUUUGAUCUGGAUUCCACAGAGGCCAUUCAUAUCUUUACAGAGCAGCUGAAGAGAUUUAAGAAAUGGCAAAGCACCUUCUUCGACCUUUGGAAAUGUUGGACGCUGCAGCACAAAACAUAGGCCAAGCAGCCUUGGCAAUCCCUUGUUGUUAAUGUGGAUCUCUUCAAGUUCAUCUGCAAUCAGCUUAAGGUACUGCAGAUGCGUCAAAUUGGUCAAAGCUGUGAGAAGAUCAGCUGUCAUUUUAGUUGAUUGAAGGUGCAGCUCCCUGAGUCGGCGCAGUGCCGUGACAAACCCAGGAAGUUCUAGUAACCUGCCCUGUAAUUUCAGUGACCUAAGAUAGCAGGGAGCCUUUAAAUCUUUCAAAAAGUCCUCAGAGCAUCCAUCAAAAUAGAGCGAAAAUGAACGAGGGUCAUUGCUUGCAUCCUUUUCAUCAUGAAUGAACUCUUGUAUGGCCUUCUGAAGAGUAGUCAAUCUAGUACUAGUCGCAGAUGACUCACACCAGAUCUGUAAUACUGUUAUGAUGGAGAGAAAUGCGACGGGCAUGGUUAGGUUGGAGCUAUCCCCUCCAUCAAACAAAGUAAUGAAGUUUUCACAGAGAGACUUGAGCGUAAUGAACUCGUGCAUCAUGCCAUAAGUUUUGCAAGUUUUCACUUUGGUAUUGAUGCUUACAUUAAUGGGUUGGAUGAUGUUCUGAUUCAUUAGCUUCUCAAAAUUUUCAGCAGCUGGAUCAUUGCAUAAAUUUGUUGGCUGCAGAAAUCCCUCAGCUAUCCAUUGGCUCUUUAUCUUUUUCGCCCUGACUGGAUGAUCACUAGGGAACAUAGCAAAAUAUAGAAAGCAUGCUUUGAGGGCAUGGCUUGGAAGGCUGGCAUAGUCAUGGGUCAACACCUGAUGCAUCCUGUCCAAGGUAUCGUCACCGCUCUGCAGAUCAUAGAAACGAGCCUUGUUGCACACAUCCUCGCAGUCUUGUCCUGUCGGCCAACUCUUUUUUUGCAUAAAAUGGGCGACAGUAGUCAGAGCAAGUGGUUGAUCAUCACAUUUAUUUAAAAUUGCUGCUGAAUCAGGCUGCAAGUAAUCUGAAUAUUCCCCUGGACAAGCAUUUCUCAGAAACAAUUGCUUUGAGUGUUUCUCAUCAAGUCUUCUCAUUUUGUGUAUGUAACCGUGGGUUGAGCUGCAGGUAUUGGCUACUGACUGGAUUUUUGUUGUCACCACUAUUCUACUGCUAACAUCUCGAGGGAAGGCAGGCUUUACAAUACUCCAUUGAUCUGACCUCAUGCCAUCAAUUACGAUGAAGUACCUGGAAUAUUUAGAAAUGAGGAUAUAAAAGUUAUCAAAGAGUUAUUCUGCAACAACAGCAAACUAAUGGGUCAAGGAAGAAAGAACAGUUUUCUUAUUGGACUGCAUUGAGCAUCACAUAUAUAACAUAUAUAUAAUUUCUGUAGUUUAAAGGAAUAACUGAUGUUUACUGAUAUAUGCUUUCAAAGAAUAACAUACAUAUGCUUUAAGUAGUGACAUAUUCACACGUGGAGUAUACAAUAUGGCCCAAAUUAGCAACUGAUUUAUAGGGAGCACGUGAUCCCUUUAGUUUUCUUAGCUAUUUCAGAACUUUCUUUCGGCUUAUCAUUCACCCAGUAUAGGGAGCACAUAUUUCUACAUAUCACUUCCCAAAGAGAAGUCUCCUUUUCUUUUCUCCUUAUACUACAAGUCUCAGACAUUAGAUUCAAAGUGUUUGUAGGUAGUUCAACUGAGUGCAUGAAUCUUUUCUGAAUCCUCAACAUAUUCUGUACGAGAAACUAUCUGAAUCUUUCAUUUCUCAAAGCCGAUGUCUUUCCUGACUAUCUAUGUUUGCCAUUUACGGAAAGAAUUUCAUUUCGAUGAUAACAUUCAGUAAUCAGACCAAUGAGUAGAGUACUAUUUUCAUUUUGCUAGAGGAUGGUAGACAGUUUCUACCUCUUGUUAUUCAGGAAGUUGCAAAGAUCAGCACUAAGCUGGUUGACAUUGGAGGUAACCAGAUCUGGCUUGUUCAGUUGACGGAGUAUCUCACUUAAGAGCUCCCCUGGAUCCCCAUGCGUCCCAGAAACCCGUGCCCUUUCCUCAAACUGCUUGCCAAUCUCGCUGUUGUACAACUCCCGGGCAAGGAUGGUCUUCCCCAAUCCAGAGAACCCAACUACGGAGAUCACCCUCAGCUGCUUAGGUUGACCCUCGGCUUCCGCCAACUGCUCCAGAAGCUCCUCCAGGGGAGCAUCGAUGGCAACCAGAUCAUCAGGAAGGACAUGCUGAUCCCAGGAUGAUUGUGCCAGCUGGGAUGAGGAUGAAUGGGACACUGAAUACCUCUGCUGCCGCUGGAGUGCUUCCUCCAGUCUGUACCUAAGGUGCUGCAUCUCUUCGCCUAACUGGGAGCGUGAUUUUCUCUUUCUCCCAGAUUUUCCUAACAGUACCAUGGUUGCUGAUCCGAAAACGCAUCAUACAUGAUGUGGUAUAUGCAAUCCUCCAUUUCAUAAGCUACAUGACGCAAUUCUUCAACCGAUAAACGCAGUAUGUGAUCAUCCUGCCCCAAGAGCUGCCCGUCAAUGGCACUGGUGAUUAUGGGAAGCUCUCUCAUCAGGAAAGUCACAUCUCCUUCAAAGCCCUUGUACAGCUUGUAUUUCUCCUCCACCAGCGAGAACAAUCUCGACACGAGGUUGUCUACAAAUGCACUCAACAGGCCAGGGUCCUCCAUCGAUCACAAUGGUUGUUAGCUAGGCACUGACGGUUCCUACUUCCUAGUGAGGAGAUAAAGUGCUUCCUGUCUUGCAAUGUAACAAUGGGGUGGAUAAAACAGACAUGGAGCACAUGGACCUUAAGGAGCAUCUUGUAGCAGGGGAGGAGACCACAUCUGGCUUUUCAUCUGACAGUAAAUUGCAGUUGUUAGCAGCACUUUUUACAUUAAAUAUAUCAUAAGUAUGAAGCCAUAUUAAAUUAGUACUAAGUCCAGCACAGAAAUGCAAUGGUUAUAUGUACAAAAACUGAUAUUCACACUGUAACCACUGAUAUUCACACUGUGCCGAUGCUUAUUACAGUCCUUCUUGGGAAGCUUCGUUCUUUGUUGGUCUCUCCUGUUAGAUUGAUCUCCUCCCCAAUGGGCCCAAAGGUCCAUCGGGACCCUGAUCCGCGCCCUGAUCGGGGGCGCUCACCCUAGCAUUGGGUGGUGGGCUCCUGUCGUGCUGCGCUAUAUAAACAGGGUGGGGGACCCGGCUCGGCUCACGAGGUUCGCCGCAGCCAGCCACCCCACCGACACACCUACCGAUCUAGGUUUUGCGCAGUAGCGGCGGGAAGUACCACCGCCACCUCACCGGCGACCGGACUCGGCACUGCGCGUCGCUGCCUUGCGCAGACUUCCCCAAGCGAACCAGCGAUGGCCAGCAGCUCUGCUGCUCCCACCCCUAGGGGUGAAGGUACCCCUAUCUCUCUCACUCCCUCUCGGCACACACCAGAAAUACCAUGUCCCUCAUGUUGUUUAUGAUCCCGACUAGAUAUGCAUCUAGAGUAGGCACGAGUCUAACAAUGCUAUCAGACACCUCACUAGAAGCUUUUCUAGAUCGGGAAAAAGAAGUAGAUCCAAAAGAAACAGAAAAAGUAAAACCCUAACCCUAACCCUAGAUCUAAAGAAUGAAAGCGGCGGCUUACCUGUCGCUGACUUCACCGCCGCACGUCCACCGACGGCGAGCGGCAAAGGCCGGCCGAGCCUCGGGCUCGCCGAGGAAAAGCUCCACCCGAGCCGCCGAAGCAUCCGCUCGGGACUCAGGGGGGGUGCAACAGCACCACCAAAGGACCGCUCGACGGCGGCGCGCCCAACCCUUGCGGUGGACGCGCACACCGGCGAGGGGACCCGUGGUGGCGCCGGCCCUCCUCCAUGGUCACCAUGGCCUUCUGGAUCUCGGUUUUCGGGAGACUCGGAGGGAGAAAGGGGGGAGGCAAGAAAGUAAAAGAGAGGGAGGGGGGCUGCCGCGGCCGUGCGCCGGCAGGGCCAUCCCUCAACCGCCGCCGCCGGCCAUCGCCGGGCGCAGGAGAGAUAGCCCCGCCGCCGCCGCCGCUACGGUGGGAUGUCGCGGGGAAAAGAAUAGACUAAGCUAGGGUUUUCCGGGGGAGCGGCCGUCGGAGAUUUUGAUCCGCUAAAAAUGCCGCUGGACCGUCGGAUUUGACGGACGGCCGAGAUUGUCCGGGCCAGAUUUGGCCCAAGCGGGUAAGAAGUGCAGGCCGUUUUGGCGGCCCAGGCUCAGGGUGCGGCCUGCGAGUGCACGAUCAGAGCCGGUCGGGCCUCAAGCCUGCGAUGGGCCGUGCGAACCGCGGCUGCUAGGCCAAAGGCCAGCAGGCCGCGCUCACGACCGGCCGCGUCGCGUGAGCGGGCCGAGCGCGGGAACGGGCUGUGGGCCGUUUUUCGCGGCUAGGCCAAAAAGCGAGUUUUGCACAGUAACGCUUGAUAAUUAGUUUUUUCUAUUUCCAGAAGCAUUUAAUUGAUGUUUUUUGCAUAGUUUUGGUCUCUAAUCUAAUUUGAACCAACGAGAUAAUUUGUAUUAGAGAUUAAUAAAGUUUACACAGUGUUUUUGCUUCUGAAAAUAGUUUUAUUCCACAGUUUUCCGCUGAAAAAAUAAAAAUUUAUUGCUCUAUUUAAAUUUAAUUUGAACCAACUAGACAAUUAAAUUUGUGAGAGCAUAAUAAAGUUAAUUAGAUUAUGGUGCUGUUAUUUUCUGACCAACGUUGUUAAUAACUGUAUCAUGAUUUAGGGAGUUUUUGAUGCUUUUAUUUCUAUUUCUGCCCAACGGUGAUAUAGUUUUAAAUUGCAUAAACAGUUGUAUGUUUUAUUUUUUGACCAACGUUGGAAAUAAAUCAUGCAAUUGUUGUUAUGAUCUUAUUUUGGAUUGCAAAUUUCAGGAUCAUUCAACUUAAUGGCUUGUCUCAAAGAGAUACCCAUUCUGAAAGGAAACAACUAUACAGAGUGGAGGAAGAAGAUUGAAUUCUCCUUCGUUUGUGGAGAAGUUGACUGGGUGCUGACUACACCGCGGCCACAAGCUCCAGAGAAGCCAGUGAGGGCUGAAGGUGAUGAUGAUGCUGCAUGGCAGCAAAAGGAAAGGGACUAUGCUCCACUGGAGUUGGCAUACACCCUUGAAAACAAACAGUGGACCACUGCCAACAAGAAAUGUAUGGCUUUGGUAAAGAAUACGAUUGAGCCUGCUAUUUUGGGAUUGAUUACAGAGUGUGACUCCGUCACAGAGUACCUCGAGAAGAUAAGGAAUCAGUUCACUGGUUUCUCAAAGCUAUAUGCUACCCAGUUGUUCAAGCAGCUGGCCACAGAGAGGUACAAUGGAGGAGGGACUGGCAUAAGAGAUCACAUCUUGAGGAUGUAUAACUUGGCAGCAUAGUUGAAGCCAAUGGAUCUUGAGCUCAAGUCUGGGCACAUUAUUCAUUUGGUUUUCGCUUCUCUGCCAAAAGAGUUUGACACCUUUGUUGUCAAUUAUAACAUGCAGCCAGAACAGUGGGACAUGGAAAAAAUGAUAGCCAUGUGCGUGCAGGAAGAGGACAGAAUUAGAUCCUCAUAUGGUGGUUCAUUGCACUAUGUGAAGGACAACAGGAAAAAGAAUGCUAACUCCUCUUUCAAGGCACGAGGAAAGGCUCCUAUGCAGCAGAAUCACCAAAAGCCUCUCACAGUAGACAAAGAUCAAUGUCUACACUGCAAGAAAAAGGGGCACUACAAGAAAGAAUGUCCCGACUGGUUAAAGUCAAUAAUGGCAAAAAGAGGUGAGAAUACUAUUUCCUUUGUAAAUGAAUCCUUGUAUACACAGUAUUCGAAAUCUACUUGGUGGAUUGACUCAGGUGCAACUGUUCAUGUUGCAAAUUCUUUACAGGGAUUCCGUUCGAUGAGGACUACGCAAAGAAGCGAAAGAUGCGUUGAAGUCGCAAAUGGAGUCCAAGCAGAGGUUGAAGCUGUUGGCGAUGUCUCUCUAGAGCUAGUUGAUGGUUUCAUGCUUGUACUUAGAGAUGUGCUUUAUGUUCCUUCGUUACACAGAAACUUGAUUAGCAUUUCACGUAUGGACCAUGAUGGAUAUGAAUGUCAUUUUGGAAAUGGAAAGUGUGCCAUUUGGUUCGAUAAUGCAUGUGUUGGUGUUGCCAUCCUUCACAAUGAGUUGUAUUUAUUAUCACUACGUGAAAAAGUAAAUUCUGUGUGUGAUGUGAAUAUGAUUGUAUCCUCGUCAGAGCAACAAACAAAGAAAAGAAAGAGAACUCAUGAAACAUCGUCGAAAUUAUGGCACUGUCGUUUAGGCCAUAUUUUGAGGGGGAGAAUAGAAAGACUAGUUAAGAAUGAAAUUCUUCCUCAAUUAGAGUUCUCAGACUUAGAACAAUGCGUUGAUUGCAUUAAAGGAAAGUUUGUAAAGCAAAUUAAAAAAAGGCGCUAAACGUAGCGCAGGAGUUUUAGAGAUUAUCCACACUGAUAUUUGUGGACCAUUUCCUGUGAAAAGCAUGGAUGGCUAUGACUCGUUCAUAACAUUCACAGAUGAUUACUCCCGUUAUGGUUACAUUUAUCCAAUUAAAGAAAGAUCAGAAGCACUGGAUAAAUUUAAGAUAUUUAAAGCUGAAGUUGAAAAUCAGCAUAACAAAAGAAUCAAAAUAGUAAGAUCCGACCGUGGGGGGGAGUACUAUGGUCGACAUACCUCAUGUGGCCAAGUUCCUGGACCUUUUGCAAGGUUUUUGCAGGAAAAUGGCAUAGUAGCCCAGUAUUCGAUGCCGGGCGAGCCUCAGCAAAAUGGAGUAGCUGAAAGGUGUAACCGUACACUGGUGGAUAUGGUGCGCAGCAUGAUGAGUUAUUCCACCUUACCAUUGGGACUGUGGAUGGAGGCGUUGAAAGCCGCCAUUCACAUUCUAAAUAGAGUGCCAAGUAAGUCGGUGCCCAAAACACCGUAUGAACUAUGGACAGGAAGAGUACCCUCACUAAACCAUCUGCGUGUGUGGGGGAGCCCAGCUGAGGCCAAAGUAUUCAACCCAAACAUUGGGAAGCUAGAUCCCAAAAUAGUAAGCUGCCACUUCAUUGGCUAUCCGGAAAGAUCAAAAGGUUUUCGUUUCUACUAUCCAGACAGAUAUACAAAGUUUGUAGAAACGAGACACGCGAUUUUCUUAGAGGAUCAGAUGGUGAGGGGGAGCAUGGUGGCUCGAGAGAUUGAUCUUGAGGAGAAGCGGGUGUGUGCACCUAAUCCGAUGAUUCAGGAACCAUUCUUCUCACUACCUAUUAUUCCCGCACCAAUAGUUCCUGAGGUCGUGGUGCAAGCACCUGCUACAGUCCCUGAUAUUGUGGUGCAGGCACCUACUGUGAUUCCACCCGUGGAAACGAUGAGUGAAGUUUUGGAACCUGUCCUUCAGGAGCCAACUGAACCCAUCAUUACACACGAGGAAGAGUUGCAGCAGCCACCUCUGAAUAAUGUGCCACAAGCAGAGGCACAGAAUGUGCCCGAAAGUGAGAGGCCUAGAAGGUCUCAAAGAGUCAAAAGAUCAGCUAUUCCUGAUUACUAUAAAGUUUAUAAUAUAGAAGAAGUUCAUAUAGAAGGUGAUCCCACUUCAUAUGAGGAAGCCAUGAAAAGUGUUCACUCAUCGAAGUGGCUAGAGGCCAUGGAAGAUGAGAUGAAAUCGAUGAGUUCCAACAAUGUUUGGGAACUUGAAGAGAUUCCUAAAGGAGCCAAAACAGUAGGCUGUAAAUGGGUCUACAAGACUAAACGUGACUCCAAAGGGAAUAUAUAAAGGUAUAAGGCGAGACUUGUGGCAAAAGGCUUUACACAAAGAGAAGGAAUAGAUUACAAUGAGACUUUUUCUCAUGUCUCAUGUAAAGACUCCUUCAGAAUCAUAACGGCACUGGUUGCACAUUUUGACUUAGAGUUACAUCAGAUGGAUGUAAAAACGGCAUUUCUAAAUGGGGAUUUAGAAGAAAAUGUCUACAUGAAACAACCAAAGGGUUUUAUCAUGGAAGACAAAGAGAAUAUGGGAUGUCGUCUGAAGAAAUCCAUUUACGGAUUAAAGCAAGCCUCUAGACAGUGGUAUCUAAAGUUUAAUGAUAUAAUAAAGAAAUUUGGGUUUCAAGAGAAUAUAGAGAACAAUUGUGUCUAUGCAAAGUUCAAAAAUGGGAAAUACAUUUUCCUAAUUCUGUAUGUGGAUGAUAUCUUACUUGCAAGCAGUGAUAUCAGUCUACUGCAAGAGACAAAGAAGUUUUUGUCCUCAAACUUCGGUAUGAAGGAUCUUGGUGAAGCAUCAUAUGUUUUGGGUAUAGAAAUUCACCGAGAUAGACUGAAUGGGGUCCUUGGAUUAUCGCAAAGGGCAUAUUUAGAAAAGGUUCUAAAGAAGUCUAAUAUGCAUGCGAGUAAGGCCACACCUGCUCCUAUAGUCAAGGGCGACAGUUUUGGGAAUUUUCAAUGUCCUAGGAACCAGUACGAGAUCGAUCAAAUGAAAGCGGUUCCAUAUGCUUCAGCUGUCGGAAGCUUAUAGUAUGCUCAAGUGUGCACUCGCCCUGACUUAGCUUUUGUCACCGGGGUUCUUGGUAGAUAUCAAAGUAAUCCAGGUGUAGAACACUGGAAGAUGGUAAAGAAAGCAUUGCGCUACGCGCAAGGCACAAAAGAACUCAUGCUUACAUAUAAGAGAUCUGAUUCCCUAGAGAUAAAAGGGUAUUCAGAUGCAGAUUUUGCGGGAGACAAAGAUGAUAGAAAAUCCACGUCUGGAUAUGUAUUCACUCUCGCAGGAGGAGCUAUCUCGUGGAGAAGCUCAAAACAGAAAGUAACUGCGUCAUCAACGAUGCAUGCAGAAUUCAUAGCAUGUCAUGAGGCCACGGGGCAGGCGAUGUGGCUAAAGAAAUUUAUACCCGGAUUGAGAGUGGUUGACUGUAUUCACAGACCACUAAAGAUGUACUGCGACAAUGAGCUAGCAGUAUUCUAUGCUCACAACAACAAAUCAAGCAAUGCUUCCAAAACCAUUAAGAUAAAGUUUUAUGUUGUGAAAGACAAAAACCAGGAUCGCACUAUAAGUCUCGAGCAUAUAAGAACAAAAGAUAUGCUUGCGGAUCCGCUCACGAAAGGCUUACCACCCAAUGUGUUCAGAGAACACUUAGCCGGCAUGGGUUUAAGGGAAAGCCUAUGAUUCCUGGAUUGGAAAAGGCCCAAAAGAAACAAAAUUGUUUCAAAAUAGAGAGGUGUGUUAUAGCUGUUGAUUCUAUCGGCGAUUAAGCUGUGACGAUGAGGCAUGCUCUACAUAUUAAUCUACGAUGAAACGAAUAAAAGCGAAAAGUGUAAAGUUAAAAGUAAAUGAUGAGAUCAAGGGGGAGAAUGUUAGAUUGAUCUCCUCCCCAAUGGGCCCAAAGGCCCAUCGGGACCCUGAUCCGCGCCCUGAUCGGGGGCGCUCACCCUAGCAUUGGGUGGUGGGCCCCUGUCGCGCUGCGCUAUAUAAACAGGGUGGGGGACCCGGCUCGGCUCACGAGGUUCGCCGCAGCCAGCCGCCCCACCGACACACCUACCGAUCUAGGUUUUGCGCAGUAGCGGCGGGAAGUACCACCGCCACCUCACCGGCGACCGGACUCGGCACUGCGCGUCUCUGCCUUGCGCAGACUUCCCCAAGCGAACCAGCGAUGGCCAGCAGCUCUAUUGCUCCCACCCCUAGGGGUGAAGGUACCCCUAUCUCUCUCACUCCCUCUCGGCACACACCAGAAACACCAUGUCCCUCAUGUCGUUUAUGAUCCCGACUAGAUAUGCAUCUAGAGAUCCUAGGCAUGAGUCUAACAUCUCCCGGGGAUCAGCUGCCAGAGCCAUUGAAGCCACAGGACAAGCUCGAGCUCCUCAAACAAGAUCUAGAAGAAAUACAUACCUUGCUUAUGGAUCUUUCAAGGGUGGAAGCUCCCAAGACCAUGGCCAAACUCUGGAUGAACCAGGUGCGUGAACUGUCUUAUGACAUCGAGGAUUGCAUUGACAAGAUGAUGCACCCCCCUUCCAAUACUGGCGACGAGAACCGCUUUGAUGUCGAAGAAUUUAAUACUCUAAUGAAGCAGGCAAGCGACGCCCGCAAACGAUACCACAGGUAUGAUCUUGGGCGUUGGGCAUCCAAUCCUACCUUUAGGGUCGUCAACAGGGAAGUGUGGGUUCCAACCAUGGACCUCGUUGGUAUUGGUGAUUCGAGGGCCAAUCCUAUCAAUUUGCUUAGCAACGAUGCAGAAAAGUUGAUGAAAGUAAUAUCUGUACUUGGACCUGUGGGUGUUGGUAAGACUACACUUGCCAAAGAAGUGUACCGUCAAAUGAAAGGACAAUUCAAGUGUCGAGCUUUUGUGCGAGCCUCAAAGACGCCUGAUACAAGGAGGCUUCUCCGGAGCAUCAUCUCGCAGAUCCAGCGCCAUCAACAACCUCCUCAUGGUCUCCCCGUGCAAGAGCUUAUUGAUUACAUAAGAAAACAUCUGCAACAGAAGAGGUAUAUAUGUUACACCCUAGUGCUCCAUCCUAUAUAUCCAAAAGCAAGUAGUAACCCUUUCGGACAAUCUGUGUGAUGCAAUUGAUUGAGGGUCACUGAAUUUACUAAAAAUCUAGAUGUACUAGUCGUUUUCCAUAUGUAUAUAAUCUCAAGUUCAGCUUUCUAUUUAUGAGUAGCAAAAAUGGGAAAUUUGAAAACUUUUAUAUUGAAAGGGAAAUAUGUUUAUUAACAAAGACAGAUGUUACUACAGACAACAAACAUUUUUUGCUUCUUCGAAGACACUUGGGUUUAUAGUUGAAUCUUUUAAAGUUUGAUAAAGUAAAUCCCAAUAUUUUGGAGCUUACAAACUCCAUUGCAUGCAAAGAUUGUGAGACCCAAUAGAUUGAAGUGAGUCUUUCAGAGAUUGUGAGACCAAAUAGAUUGUGAGCCAACAAUCCUUCAAAGUCAUAAUUUCUAAUUUGAAUUAUCAAUUGUCCUGGCACAACAUAUUUCUAACAUCUUAAAUUAUCUGGCAGGUAUUUUAUUAUAAUUGAUGUAUUAUGGGAAACAAUUUCUUGGGAUUUUGUUAACUAGUCCACCAACCCGUGCUCCCGCACGGGCUAAUAUUUUUAAAAGCUAUUGUAUUUAAAAAUUAUUUAGAAAUGAAACUCCUAGCUAAUAAUCAAAAUUGUUUAAUUACUACUCUCUUAUUUUUCAAUACUUCAACAUAAUACUUAUAUAGAUAUGUACCUACCUUUGUCCAGUUGUGAUUGAUUUUUAAUUAAUAAUUACUCUAUGCACUUUUUCAUCCAUAUUCAUACUUUUCCAUUUUGUAUCACACCUCUAAUCCUCCAUACAUUAUGUUUAGCAUACAAAUCAAUAUUUUUCAUUGAUUCCUCACAUACUUGUAUAAAUGGUCUAAAUGGUGGCACUCAUCAUAUGUAUAUACUUUAACUUAGUAUUUUUAUAUUAACAAUGAUAUAAAUAGGUAAUUUAGAAUCAUAUAUUAGUUUACUUUUUGACAUUUCUGAAUGAUGCACAUGAAGAUAAUUAGAUUAAGAUGUAGGUGUUUACUUUAUGUUAUUUUUAAUAACGACAUUCGUGGGUUAAUGAUAAAAUUUUAGAAUGACAUUUCAAGUUAUGCUUUAUAAUGAGGUGUAUUAGUAAAUUGGAUGAAUAUUACGGGGUUACUUUAUUUUUUAUAAUAGCUGAGCUCGAUAAUUUAGAUUUAGGUUUAGAGCUCAUUUUUGAAUAUUUUCACAAUAACAGUGGUGGGUAACUUUCUAGAAAAUAUAAUAGAUCAAUGACUAUGAUUAUUAUAGUUUACAAGAUUGAUGUUUUUUAAUGUUUAUGAGAAUUUGUCUCUUUUUUCUAGCUUGUCUCGUGGGAACUAAUACGGAGUCUCCAAUGGAAAAAAAAUAAGACUACAUUGCUACAAAACUAUUAUCAUAAGCUACCUCUCGUUUGUUAAAUAUUCAGACACAAUACUUAUGUAGAUAUAUAUUUAAUAUCUUCAUCAAAUUGUGAUAGAUUUUAGUUAAUAAUUACUCUAUAAUAUUUUCAUCCAUAUUUAUAAUCUUUAACCUUUCACUUUGCAUUGCAAGUAUACGCUUGAAUUUGUUUAAUGAAUCCUAAUUUUGAGAUACAAUUUUACCAUAGAAAUUUAUAUUCUCAUCACUUUAUAUCCUUGUAAAUGGUGACACACAUUAUACGUAAAGACCUUAAUUAUUAUAUCGUAUACCAAUAGUGUAAGAUAUAGACGAUUUAGAAUCCUAUAUUGCUGUAUAUUUUUAAUUAAGGUUAUUUGAUUAAAACGUAGGGUUACCUCAUGUUAUUUUUAAUAAUGGUAUGUGUGGGUAAUAUAGAUGCAAAUUUAAGGGGUUACUUUAAUAAUAAUAGUGGUAGUCAAUUCAGUUUCAAAUUAUGAGGUUAUUUUAAAUACUGUUUAUAAUGGCAUAAGUGGGUAAUUUUAAUGAAGAUUAAGGGGUUACUUUAGUUUAUUUUAUAUAAUGGUAGAGGUGGGUAAUUUAUAUAUAGAUUUAGGGGGUUACUUUAGGCUAUUUUCAUAAUGGCAUAGGUGGGUAUUUUUUAAAAAAACAUAAUAGAUCCAAUGGCUAUGAUGAUUUGAAUCUAUCGAUUGAUGGUCGGAUGUUUUUCUUUUUUGUGAGAAUUUUUAGGAUUUCUCUCUUUUUCUAGAGUGUCCACCUAGGAAUCCUAGGUGGCUUUAUCUGGAGGCUUUAAAAGGAGCCUCCAAUUAGUAAUAGUAAGAUGGUGCUUUUCCAGAGGGUAUUGAUUGUAGUAGAAUAUUAAUAACGACUGACAUUGAGGAGGUAGCUCUCGAGUGUUGUGAUUAUCAAUCUGAUUGUAUUUUUAAGAUGGAGCCACUAAGUAGAAAUAAUUCAAGAGAAUUGUUCCUCAAUAGAAUGUUCGGCUCCAAGCAUGAAUGCACUGAACAACUUAAGGAUGUUUCAGAAAAAAUUAUUGAAAAAUGUGGUGGUCUGCCACUAGCAACAAUUUGCACAGCUAGUAUUCUAGCAAGCCAAUCGGACAACUCAGAGCUAUGGCUGCAUGUCAAUGAAUGCUUAUCUAGCUUUAUAAGAAAGAAUCUUACUUCAGAAGGCAUGCUCAGCGAAAUAGUAGGGAUGAGCUACAAUAGUCUUUCGGACCAUUUGAAGACAUACCUACUGUAUCUUAGUAUGUACCCUGAGGGGUACACAUUCUUGAAGACCGAUUUGGUGAAGCAAUGGAUUGCCAAAGGUUUUAUCAGUGCAGUAGAAGGAAAAGAUACAGGCGAAGUUGCAGAGUUUUAUUUUGAUGAGCUUGUCUGCAGGGGACUCAUUCUGCCAAACUGUAUAGAUUUCUCAGAUGAGGAUAUCUUCUAUACAGUGCACUCCACAGUAUUUGAAGUAAUGAAGUUAUUAGGUGCAAGUCAAUGGAGGAGAAUUUUGCUACUGUUAUAGACUACUCUGAAGCCAUUACAAAGCUUUCUGCGAAGAUUUGUCGCCUGUCACUCACUUUCAGCAGUGCAAAGCAUGCAACAAAACCCGAUGGCAUCGCACUAUCAGAACUACGAUCUCUCACCUUCUAUGGGCUUGUCAACUGUCUGCCUUCAAUUAUGGAGUUUAAGCUACUUCGAGUUCUAAUCCUUGAAUUUUGGGGUGACAAAGAAGAGUUAGACAUCAUUGGAAUCAAUAAAUUGUUUCAGUUGAGGUGCUUGCAGAUUAGAACAGAUAUGACAGUAAAACUACAAGCUAGUAUGCAGGAACUUCUAUGUUUGGAAACACUCGAAAUGUAUGCAAGAGUAACGACAUUCCCAUCAGAUGCUUUUGUUCUCGCGAGAUUGUUGCAUCUAUGUCUCCACGAUGUGAUAAAUGUGCCUCGAAGGUAUUGGACACAUGAGAUCUCUUCGUACACUUCAAUGUUUUGACCUUAGCAGAAUCUCCAAUGGCAUUGUAUGGAGCCUUAAUGAGAUGACUAACCUGCGUGAUCUUCGGCUUACCUGCACUACAGCAUCGUGUGAGCAUCAUCUAAAGAGCAACUUGAUAGCUCUGAUGUCUUGCCUUGAGAAACUUGGCAACCUAAAAACUAUGAUUCUUGCUCCUUCUGCUUCUUGCACGAGCAUUAACUUGUGUUGCUCAGGCAUUGUAUCUUCUCUGCCCAUUUCUCUUGGGAGACUUGAGUUGUUACCACCCAUUUGUAUCUUUUCAAGACUGCCCUUAUGUAUGGGACAGCUCCAAAAGCUACGGAUUUUGAAAAUUGUUCUUGGGGAAUUGAUGGGAAGUGAUAUUUACAGCAUCGGCAGAUUACAGGAACUCACCAUUCUCUCUUUGUAUGUCAGACAACCAACUGGAGAACUCAUUGUCGUCAACCGUGCAGCAUUUCCAGUUCUAAAGUGUUUCAAAUUAAGAUGUGGUAUUAUGCGCCUUGCUUUUCAGGCAGAUGCAAUGCCUGGUCUUCAGAGGCUGAAGCUCGAAUUCAAUGCGCACAGUGGAGAGCAAAAUGGCAAUAUGCUUGCUGGCAUUGAACACUUGUUAAACCUCCAAGAAAUCACUGGCCGAAUUGGGGCAGCACCAGGUGCAGAGGAAUCGGAUAGAGUGGCUGCAGAGUCUGUGUUCAAGGAUGCCAUUAGCAAGCAUUCAAGACUUAUAAGCUUCAACCUACGAAUUGUCCAUUCCGUGGACCAAGAGUAUGGGGCUUUCUUCUUGAAAUUUCAUUGGACCAUUACAAUAUUCUGUUGCCCACUACUUGCAUUGAUUGUGCAGCGGCUUGGUGGUUUGCCCAUCCAGCUUUCAAAUUCCAGACUUUUGACUGAGAGUUCAAAAAAUCAAAAUCAGGGAUGGCAAGAGGCAAUUGAUAUUUAAUACCUUGCUUGAUCGUGUUUAAUCCAAUGGCUUUAAUCAUGGCGCCGGUUCUUGAGUUCCAUCUAUUUGCCGAUAUGUGCGCGGGAAACCACUUUUCAUAACAAAUCUGAUAAUGGCUUGUUCCACUACUGCUUUACUCCCAACGCUAUAUGAAUCACUUCUUUUAAGAUAAACUGUAAAAAUAGACCAACUAAUCCAUUCAUUAUUUCAUUUUUUUCAUGCUUUCUAUUUUUUACCAUUAAUCUUUUAGUUUUUUAGUCAUGAUUAUAGAGUUUUUGUGGCGCGCAUGCAAUUUAGUUCUUGUGGUGUGUGUAGUGUGAGAUAUGUACUCAGGUUGGACCCUAUCCGAUCCCAAUGCAUGUUUUUCUCUAUCUUAAUGAAAUGACAAGCAGUCUCCUACGUUGUUCAGAAAAAAAAGCAGAUUAGCUCAAGUAAUUGCAGGAGUAAACCAAUGUUUGUUAUUGUUUGGUCAUAUAAUUCUAGUUGGUAUGGUAGAAAUUUUGAUUAAAGUUACCAUCAAUUCUAAUGUAUGUGACUAAAUAUAUAUGUGAUGUGUAUAUGUGACACAUCCAAUGUAUAUACAGAAUUAUAAUAUAGCACUACCGAAAUAAGUAUACUUCUAUAAUAUGAAUACAUAAGCUACUGUGUGAUAUAUUUAAUUGUUUCUUAAUCUGUUCUCUCUUCUUGUUCUAAUAUAGUGGACGUUGUUGUUGUCAGGAUUCCCCAAUUUGCUGAUACUCCAGAAAGCUGUUCUGGUUCAGGUAAUAAAAUGUAGUUCAACUUACGAACUUUUUAUUAUUUUUCAUUGGAAAAUACAUUUGACGUACCAGAUUAUUAAUGAUUAUGUGCAAAAGUAUUAAGAAGAUAUAUAUUUAAAAAUGGUAAAUAAACUCACAACUGUGGUUUUCUUCUACCUGUGGUUUUCGUUUUCAACUUCCCACGGAAUGUCAAGAAUCCUGAAGAAUUUUUCAAUGGUUAUUUUUAUUUGCGGUCCUUUUUUACAAUUCCCCUCAAAAUGUCAAAAUGUUUUCUAAUGUAGAUCGGGGAUUUUAUUAUUAAGUUUUAUUUACUAGAUGUCCAAUGGUGUCGUUCGUUUGUCAAGAAUUAUCUGUGUUUUUUGUUGCUAAUUUGUUUUCCCUGGCCCAACAUAAAACUAAAUACCCCGGCCCAUGAAAUUUAAAGAAAUUUGUUAAGGAUAACAAAACCAUACGCCACUUACUAACUAAUUAAUGAGGGAAUUUCUCUGUUUUUCUUUUUAAGAAAAACAGUAAUUAUUACAAAAGUUAAAUAACUUGGACUUAAGAAAUUGCUUAUAAGUCUCAUGUUGGUCGCUUUUGUUUUCAAUAUAUUAUUCCUGUAAACCUUGAAUACCUUGAACAUCGGUUUGCCCACAAUUAAAAUAGUGGUACUGUAAUCUAAUUUCACAUAAAGGUUCCGUUUCACAACUGGGACAUUUUACUCUUUGGUUAGAAACCUAAAAUAUAAUUUAUAUAUAAUGGGAGAUACACAAUUACGAGUUACUGUAUUUGAGAUUAGUAAAAAGUGUCCCACCCUGAAUUACCGUGUCUUUCUUAGUAAACUAUUAAGUGUAGGCGAAAGGGCCUCUAGUGAAGUGGCGGUCUUAAGUGUAGGCGAAAGGGUCUCUAGCGAAGUGGCGGUCUUAAGUGUAGGCGAAAGGACCUCUAGCUAAAUGGUUAGACCACCUGAGUAACAUUUAGCAUGCCUGGAUUCGACUUCCUAUAGGAACGAAUUAAACGGGUUUAGAAUAAAAAAAUUAUAAAAAAUAGGUUGCGCUUCCCUAGUGACUUCGGUCAAAAAAGACUAUCAAGUGUAGAAUAGUAUUGUACACAAUGUAUAAAAGUAUGAAACCAUAUGAAGUCAACCAUUUUAUGUUUACAAAGUUAUUCUAAAAAAAAUUACUUCUAGGCAAGGAAAAGCUAAUAAUGCUCCUUCCUGUUAGAAAGAGUCCUAAUCUGAUGUGGAUAAGGCUCUGCACCUGGCUAUAGCCGGCCGAGUCCUGUUUGUAUUUGGUUAAGAUAGAGAUACGGGGAGGAGUCAUGAUCCUUUAAGUUUCCUUACGCCUAGGAUCCUUCUCCCCUAUAUAUGUAACUGUAUUGUCUCUCGAUUAAUCAAUCUACUAUUUCCAUGCAUCUCUAUUGCUUUCAUGGUAUAACGAGUUUAGGGUUCUUCUACUCAAUCUCGCUUCCGCUCCAGCGUGCCGUUUUCCCGGCGCAGCCCUAGCGCGCUUCCUUCUUGGCGCUGCUCCAGCUUGCCCCUCUCCCCCGACGCUGCUCCAUGGCUGGCACCACCUCUGGUGCUGCCAUCGUCAACCCUGGCAAGGUCCAUGACCCCGACACCAUCGCCGACGCUGCUGUGGAUCUCAAGCGCACUGAAGAACUUCGCGCUGCUGAUGAGGAACGCGAGCGCGUCGCCUAGGCCAAACGCGCGGCCGACCUCGCCCACGUGGCUGACGCUGAUCGCGAGGCUGCCCUUGCGCAGCAAGAACGCGACGCGGUUGAUGCUUGUCUGCGCGCCAACCGGACUGAAAGUUUCUGAAAAAUGAAUACCCGGUCUUUGAGUGAAGCCCCGAUGUACCCACCGUGCUUUAUACGGCUCAAGCGAACCAUCAGCCUUGAACUUGUGUUUGAACACCCACUUGCCGGUCACGACAUUAGAACCCGACGGUCAAGGAGUGAGAUCCCAAGUAUUAUUGGCGAGGAGAGCAAAAUAUUCUUGCUCCAUGGCGGCACGCCAAUUGGGAUCAGCGAGAGCUGCACGAUAACUCCAUGGCACUAGAGAUAAAACUGACACCUCAUGCUUGGUAUAGCCGAUUUCCUUCGCAUCUUGUUCAGUUUGGGUUUGUUUAGGCCAAGACAAAUACGUCCCUGUUCAUCUAUCAUCACGGUGGGGAUCUGAUCUACUUGUUGCUCUAUGUCGAUGAUAUUGUGCUGACUGCUUCCUCGGCGGCCCUGCUACAGCGUACCAUCCAUGCCUUACAGCAAGAAUUCUCCAUGAAGGAUCUUGGUCGGUUGCAUCACUUCCUCGGCAUGCAUGUUCAGCACACUGCCUCAGGUCUAUUUCUUUCUCAGCGCCAGUACAUGGUCGACAUCCUUGAGCGGGCUGGUAUGAGUGACUGCAAACCGUGUACCACGCCUGUUGAUGUGAAUCCCAAGCUUGCAGCAGAUGGUGUACUAGUUAAGGAUGUUACAGAUUUCCGCAGCCUGGCAGGUGCUCUUCAGUAUCUGACUUUCACUCGACCGGAUAUUGUGUACGUCGUUCAGCAAGUUUUCUUCACAUGCACGAUCCACAGGAACCGCAUCUAGCUGCUCCCAAGCGCAUCCUGCGCUAUGUUCGGGGCACAUUACAUUUGGGCCUUCAUGUGUGCCCCUCCUCUCAGACCAACCUGGUCGUUUAUUUUGAUGCUGAUUGGGCCGGUUGUCUAGAUACUCGCAAGUCCACUUCUAGUUAUGCUGUGUUCCAUGGUGCCAAUCUUGUCUCAUGGUCGUCCAAGCGUCAGAAUACGGUCUCUCGCUCUAGCGCUGAGGCUGAGUAUCGGGCGAUCGCCAAUGUCGUUGCUGAAGUGACCUGGCUUUGUCAGUUGUUGUCCAAGAUGCAUGUUCCCUUGCGCAAGACAACACUGGUCUAUUGUGACAACAUCAGCUCAGUUUAUAUGUCUUCUAAUCCUUUCCAGCAUUAGUGUACCAAACAUGUGGAGAAUGAUCUUCACUUUAUCAGAGAGCGUGUUGCCCUUGGUGAUGUUCGUGUUCUUCACGUGUUGGCGACAUCUCAGUUCGUGUCACACCCGAUUUUUGGACAAAACCGAAUGCAUAGCAUAUGUGUGCCAGGAUCCGUUCUCACACAUAUGUUGACUUCAUAAAUGAAUACAUCAAAAACAGUGUUCAAAAACGUAAAUAAAAUUAGUAGAUAACUUAUUACACUCCGAGAGGUAGACAUGAAGGUCUUUAAUCGUUCCCCGAUAACUUAACACGCACACACACAGCGAAGCUUCUCCAUAGGCUUGACUGGUGAACACUCACCUAGAACUCCUCGAAGUCGUCGAAGAACUCCGCUUCGUCACAAGCUUCUGAACAGCGUUUGGGCAAGGGUGAGUACACUUAUGGUUGGUACUCAGCAAGUGGGGGAAACAUGCAAGGCUCACAAGGAGAGGCUCAAUGGCUUUAAGCGGUUAGCAUUUUAGUUGGUCAAAUUUUAUUAACAACACCUAUUUACUAGAUGUAAGUUUAUACCAACCCACUUAGGCAUAAAGCAUUAACAAAAACCUGGAGAUAAAGGAACCACGAUUUGUUCUCAUCUUUAAGCUCAAUUAUCAUGUGAGGGUCCAGACCGCUCUUAACCAUGAGCACAGCUAAUAUAUCAGUUUUACACUCUGCAGAGGUUGCACAUCUUUACCCACAAGUUGCGUAAAAUUUCAAAAGAACUUUAAACCCAACCAUGCUGUGUGGGCCAGGCACAAUACCACACUUCCGAGGUGUGAUUGCAUAGGGACGCUACGAGGUCUUUACAAAGAUUCCCUAGUAAGAAGUAGUCUGCUAAGGUUUCCAGAUCGGUAGCAGGAUAUAGCAGCCCCUUAGUGGGUACAGUGUCUUAGCAAAGCCUACUCCUCAAGAGAGUGGGUGCUAAAUCCCAUAUACCACCGCCCUCUUGCCCUUUCGGUAAGAUCGCUUCAAACUAGAGUUUCUAAUUAAUUACCCAAGACCAGAGCCAUGAUAGUCCUUGCGGUUGUACUAUUUUCCUAGGUGGUUCUCCAUGUUCUGAUUAAAUCAAGUGAUCUUGUAUUAACACAGGUAUAGCAUAAAUAAAGGUCAUGAUUAAUAUUCUCAAAAUUAAGCAACUAAGCAAUUCUACCCAACAUGAUUAAACAUGUGUUCAAGGAUCAGGAUUAAAAACUAGGUAAGUCCUUAAUAGGCAUUGCCGUCAAAUUAUGCACAUACAGGAAAUUAAUAAAGUGAAUAAUCAUAUUAUUGGGAUGAAAAAGAAUAUGCAGGGGGAGAUAACCACUUGCCUUCCUCGGCAAAUUGGAAGUACUCAUCUUCAAAUGGUUGCUGCUCCUGACCUUGACCUUCCUCGAAUGGCACUUCAUCUACACGAUCACACAAGUAAAGCAACCAUAAAUAAAACAGUACACCAAACAUGACAAAAGACUGAAAACAAACUCCUAAAACUAACAUUUAUGAUGAGACGGUCACGUGAGCGCAAGAAUAACUAAAAUCGGAGUUAAAGCGGUGAAGACAUGGAGUAAACAAGUUUCAGGGGCUAAAACAGAAUUAACUAUAUACUUCAGGGGCUAGCAAGGAAUUUUCACAAGACUCAGAGAAUAGUGCUUGCGAAUACAGAAAGGUACAGGGUUAGAUAUGCAAGAUUACAUGGCUUAGGUUGAAAAGCUAGUUAAUACUUCCACGUGAGUGGACUUUUCUCUGAAUUUACAGUAUAUCUUGUGGCAGUGAAUGAGACCCCUAAAACUGUCAGUGAUUUCUUGGCCCAACUAACGAGCAAUAUCAUGUGUAUAUAGCUUUACACUGCAGAUAUUGCCGAUAUUAGAAUGUGGCGGGGGAAGCCCGAGCGGCUAGAGUGGAUGGUGGGGGAGGAUGAGAGGAGGGAGUGGGAGGUCUCACCAGCAUCGAUUGCGGAUGGGGGAGGCUCCGACGGUGGAGAACAGAGACGCAUGAACUAGGAACCGAGCGAGAUCCCGGUGCUGGCGGCAGCGAUGCUUGGGGUGGGGGAAAGGUGGGUGAGUGGUGGAAUGGAAAGAGGAGCUCCGGUGGAGAGGUUUGGGGGGCUUCAUAGGGCGCGAGGAGGAGCAGAAGGGGCGCCUGGGGGAGGUGAAUCGGGCGGCCGGCCAUUGAAGGCCAUGGGAGUGGGGGGCUCCGUUUACAGGAAGGGGAAGGGGAAAUGAGGGCGGCACACACGCGUGGAGGUGCGGCACAAGGAACUGAUGCGGUGCUUGAAGUUAGGGAGGCGCGGGAAGGUGAGGGGGCCCCAGGCUGCACCGUGCGCAUGCGUGCAAGGGAGAAGUUGCGCCUGGAUGGAGGAGAGGGAUGACCCUGACGGGUGGGUCCUACCUGUCAGUGGGAGAGGGGAGAUAGGCUGCUAGUUGGGCCACUUGGGCUGGCUAGAGAAAGAGAUUGUUGGGCCAAAAGAAAGAGGAAGAAAGAUUGGGCCUGCUUGGUUAGAUUGGAGAGGAAAAAGGGUUUUAUUAUUUUUUUUAAACUUGCAAACACCACUCAAACAAAACCAAAAUGAAAGAUAAAACCCUAUCAAGCACUUGUUCUCUCUAAAAUUAAAUUCGAGUGCUCUUUCAUUUAUUUAAGACCAUAAUUUAAUAUUAUUAAUUUAUUUAAUCCAUAGAGAACAAAAACUAGACCGAAAUUGCUUACAUUGCAUUUAUGAUGGAAUUUUGGGUGUUACAAAUCCUACCCCCUUAAAGAGAAUCUCGUCCUCAAGAUUCGGAAAGAUUGGAAAACAACUGAGGAAAUUAUUCGAUAAGCUCAUCUUCUCUUUCCUAAGUAGCUUUAUCUUCCGAGUGAUGACUCCAUUGUACUUUGCACAUUCUGAUUACUUUGCUCUGAGUGACUCUCUAAGAUGUUUCCAAUAUUUUGACAGGAUACUCCGAAUAGGUCAAAUCAUCCUUCACAUUGAGUUCUUCCAGUGGUAAUUGUUCUUCGAGUACUCUGAGACACUUCUUCAACUGAGAUACGUGAAACACAUCAUGAACAUCUGACAGUCGAGCUGGUAGUUCUAUCUGAUAUGCCACUUCUCCUUUUCUUUCCAAAAUUUGAACUGGUCCAAUGUAAUGAGGUGAUAGCUUCCCUUUAACCUUGAAUCGACGAAGACCUCUAAUAGGUGAUACCUUGAGAUACAUGUAAUCUCCAACUUCAAAUGUUAAUUCCCUCCUCCAAGUAUCAGCAUAACUCUUCUGUCGUGACUGUGCAGUCUUGAGAUUAUCUCGAAUUAUCUGAACUUAUCUUUCAGCUUCUUUAAGAAUUUCCGGUCUAAAGACUGGACUUUCUCCUGUCUGACUCCAUUACAACGAUGUUCUACAAUUUCUUCCAUAUAACGCUUCAAACAGGGUCAUGUUAAGACUUGCUUGAUAACUGUUGUUAUAAGAGAAUUCCGCGUAAGGCAAACUCUUAUUCCAACUACCUCCAUGCUUUAAAGCACAAGCUCUUAACAUAUCUUCUAAGAUUUGAUUAAUUCUCUCAGUCUAACCAUCUAUCUAUGGAUGAUACACAAAACUAAAAUUAAGCUUUGUAUCCAUUGACUCAUGUAGCUUCUGCCAAAAAUGUGACGUGAAUUGAGUACCUCGAUCAGAUACUAUUUUCUUCGGAACACCAUGUAGACAUACAAUCCUUGACAUAUACAGCUCCGCUAACUUAACUCUACUAUAGGUUAUUUUAACCGGUAUGAAAUGAGCAACUUUAGUCGAUUUGUCCACAACAACCCAUAUGGAAUCAUAACCAUUGCGAGUACGAGGUAACCCAACGAUGAAAUCUAUUCCGAUCUCUUCCCAUUUCCAUUCAGGUACUUUCAGUGGUUGAAGUAAACCGGCUGGUCUUUGGUGCUCUACUUUUACUCUUUAACAUACAUCACACAAAGCAAUGUGGGUUGCUACAUCCCUUUUGAAACCAUACCACCAAUAUUUCUCCUUCAAAUCCUGAUACAUCUUAGUACUACCAGGGUGUAUGGAAGAAGCUAAAUUGUGUGCUUCCUUCAAUAUGCGUUCACGAAGAUGGUCGAUCUCUGGUACACAGAUCCUUUUCGUGAAUCAAAUAGUUCCUUGAUCAUCUUCAGUGAAGUCUGGGGCCUUUCCUAAACCAAUUUGGGUGUUGAUCUCCUUGAUUUUAGCAUCUGUCAAUUGCCCUUUUCUUAUCUCUUAUUCCAGUGUAGGCUCAAUUUCUAUGGUCCUAGCUUCAGUAUGGGCAACGAUUCCUAAGUUGAGUCACUCCAUUCCCCAACAUAACUCUUGAGACAUCAACUGUGCUAUAGUCACAUUAGCUUGACCUUUUAGGCUUAAAGCGUCUGCUACGACAUUUGCCUUGCCGGGGUGAUACUGAAUAUCCAAGUUAUAGUCCUUGAUCAACUCUAACCAUCUGCGCUGCCUUAAAUUAAGAUCUCUUUGAGUGAAUAUGUACUUUAGGCUUUUGUGGUCAGUGAAGAUCUGACACUUGUUCUCGAUCAUGUAAUGUCUCCAAAUCUUUAAUGCAUGCACAACGACAGCUAAUUCCAAGUCAUGAGUUGGAUAAUUUUGUUCAUUCUUUCUCAACUCAUAAGCUACUACUCUACCUUCUUGCAUUAGUACAUAUCCAAGACCUAGACAUGAAGGGUCACAAUAAACAUCGAAGCCUUUGUGUAUAUCAGGCAUUAUCAUUACAGGAGCAGUAGUCAACUUCUUCUUCAGCUCUUCAAAACUCGCUUGACACUUGUCAUCCCAUUUAAACUCUUUUCCCUUUUCCAAUAAUGAGGUUAGAGGUUUGACGAUCUUUGAGAAACCUUCAAUAAAUCUGCGGUAAUAACAUGCUAAUCCAAGAAAACUUCUGAUUUUGGACACAUUCUUGGGCGGAUUCCAAUUCAACACAUCUUGAACUUUGCUUGGGUCUACUGUGAUUCCUCCAUCGGUGAUAACAUGUCCAAGGAAGGAAACUUCCUUCAACCAAAACUCACACUUACUAAAUUUGGCAUAUAGCUGAUUCUCCCGAAGCUUCUGUAACACUAAUCUUAAGUGAUCUUCAUGCUCUUAUUUAUUUCAAGAAAAAAUACCAAGAUAUCAUCGAUGAACACUACCACAAACUUGUCUAGGUACUCCAUAAACACCUUGUUCAUCAAAUACAUGAAGUAUACUAGGGCAUUCGUCAAUCCAAAAGACAUCACAGUGUAUUCAUAUGAGCUGUAUCUGGAUGUAAAUGAUGUCUUGGGAAUAUCUUCUGCUCGAAUCUUCAACUGAUGAUAGCCUGAUCGCAGGUCAAAAGAAUUUUGCACCUCUCAUCUGAUCAAACAGAUCUUCAAUCCUAGGAAGUGGAUAUUUAUUCUUAAUAGUCACAUCAUUAAGAGCUCUAUAUUCCAUGCACAUUCUUCUGGUGCCAUCCUUUUUAUCAACAAAAAGUACGGGUGCUCCCCAAGGUGAAGAACUAGGACGGAUAAAUCCUUUACUUAAUAAUUCUUUUAUUUGUUUCUUUAACUCAACCAAAUCCUUAACAUCCAUUCUAUAAGGUCUUUUAGAUAUAGGUGAAGUGCUGGGUAAAAGAUCAAUAGAGAACUCGACAUCGCGGUCAGGUGGCAUACCUGGUAAAUCCUCAGGAAAGACGUCAGGGUAUUCACAUGCAACAUUGAGAUUCUCCAAAGAUUUUCCUUUUAUCUGGUUCACUAUACCCUUUUCUUCAGACGGGGCAGUAGCCACAAACUCAAUUCUAUCCCCUUAGGGCUGGUUAAAAGCACUGACUUCUUGGCACAUAGGAUAAUUCCAUCACAUACUUCUAACCAGUUCAUUCCAAGAAUCACAUCAAUACCAUUGGAGUCAAGGACCACUAGGUGAGCUACGAAAUCUACCCCCAUGAUUUUCAAAUUGACUUGUGGGCAUAUUCAACUUGUUCUCAUCUUACCACCUGGUGAGCUAACUAGCAAAGUUUUCUUCAUAGGUUGUAAAGGUAUGUUAUGCUUUGCCACAAAUCGAUCGGUUAUAAAUGAGUAUGAUGCUCCAGAAUCAAAUAAAACUUAUGCAGGUUCGGAAUUGACAAGGAACAUACUGAAUACAACAUCUGAAGCUUCCUUGGCCAUUUCUGCUGUCACAUGGUUCACCCUACCAUGCAUGAAGUUAUGAUGGCCCUUGUGUCCCUAAGAAUUCGGAUUUCCACUACGUGCUUGAGACUGUUGCUGACCAGAAUUUUGACCAUUGUUCUUCUGCGGGGUCUGCAUGUUAUGUUUGGGACAGGUGUUGGCAUAAUGUCCCACUUCACCACACUUGGAACAGCCAUUGGGUCGAACCGGGGUAAUUGGAUUGUUACGCAUUGGUGCUCCUGUGGGCAUUAUUUGCUCGGUUUUGCUGUGGGUUUGAGGUGUGUUGUACCUGUUGGUUGAAACGUUGAGGUUGCUGAGGGAAAUGUUGAAACUGCUGAUUCUGUUGAUAACCUCCUUGUCCUCCUGAAUGAAACUGUGAUCCCUGCAACGAGUUGAAGCGAGGGCGAGUGUUGCCGCUAGAUUGCCCUUGCGACUGAAACUUCCUCUUUUGUUCGCCUAGUUCCUUACGCUUGUUCUCCAAGCCAAUGGCUUUGUCUAGCAGAAUUUGGAAAUUGGGGAACGUGUGACUCUGUAGCUGAUAAUUAAGUGGUCCAAUCAGACCAUCCAACAAACGCUCUUCUCUCUUCUCAUCUGUGUCCACCUCAUUGGGCGCGUAUCGAGACAGCUGUGUGAACUUGUCGUGAUACUCGCUAACUGACAUGUUGCCUUGCUUCAAAGCCAAAAACUCCUUUUGCUUGAGCUUCAUCACACCAGCUGGAAUGUGGUGUGUGCGAAAGCUGUUUCUGAACUCUUCCCAAGUAAUGGCAAUUGCAUUGGCGUGGGCAGUGGUGUAGGCAUCCCACCAAUCGGUUGCGGCUCCUUCCAAGCAUCCUGCAGCGUACAAGACCUUCUCAUGGUCAUUGCACUGUGUAAUAUCCAGCUUCUUACUGAUGACCUUCAGCUAGUCAUCAGUGUCCAAAGGAUCCACUGAGUGGGAGUAAGUGGGAGGGUGGUGGCUCAUGAAUUCCCUGUGCUUGUCUCGCGGUGCCUGAGGUGCUUGUGGUGGUUGCUGGUUUUGCUGGGCUUGCAAAUUCUGAACAGUAGCAGUGAGGUUCUGCAGCAGUUGCAUCUGAGCAGCCAAAAAUUGUUUCAUUGUUGAACUUGGUGGCGGAGGUGGUGCUUGAUUCUGCUGAUUAAUUAUGUGAGCACGCCUCUUACUUGGAACAUCUUGUCCUCCUUCUGACCUGCUUUUACCAUCUGAGUGUUAGAAAAAUGAAUCUCGAUAAGAAUGAUGUUUUGAUAAGGUAGAUAUAAGAGCAAAGAAUCAAGAUUGAGACCCAACAGACUAUUAACUUUAUUUUAUUUAAUGAUGCAUUUGUGGCCAUCAAUCCACAAAACAUCCCGGACAAUACAAAGAUCCAAAUCAAAUAUGUUUUCAAACAGCAAACAUUAUUACAUCACACGUCCUCGCAGGAAUGGUUCUAUCGAAAGACUCUGGAAGGCAACCUUAAAAGAAAACCUAGUCUAAAAGACCGGUGACCGAGCUAGACGUGCCAUAGCAAAGCCUCUUGCGGGGUGGUGAAGCGGUGGGGUAGUGGAGCUCGGCUGCCUCGUCUGCAAGCUAUGCCUCAAGCUGUGCGAUCCUAGCGUGAGCAUCCUGCAGCUCCUCAUGGAUCUUGGCAAGAUCUGCUGUAGCUCCGUCGAGGUCGGUGUUGAGAGUAGCGGUGACUCGAGCAAGGAUGUUGAUACAGUCUUCUCCGGCUUCUCCCAACUGUACAGCUGUGUCCUCGGUGCCACUGACUCAGCGAGGAAGGUGUCGGUAGGUAGUGGUUCUCAACUCUUGGCGGUGGGUGAAGCAGAGGGCCGACAGAGCUCUCCUGGCAGCAUCGCUGACGACUGCGAUGUAGGUGGCGUGAGGCGUAGUGGAGUCGUGUGCCAUGCAAAUCCUCAAGCCUCUGGAAGUCGCCAACCGUUCCCUGAUGUGGACCUGAGUGGCGUAGUAGUGGUUCAUGAUGGAGUAGGAGACACGGUGAGUGACGUAGAGGGGCUUCAUGGUGUUUCCCAAAGUCUACAGUACUUCCCAGAGCAGUGUGGGAAAGUAUCCAAGCUCAUCCUCUGAAGUCUGGUAGUCACAAGCUGGUGUUACAUUCUGUUGUCCACCAUUCUGAUUCCCAUCUUCAUCUCCACUGUUGUUAUCAUGGCUACUGUCGUGGUCAUUGUCGCUGCUGUGAUCAUUGUUGCUGUUGUAGUCAUCGUCAUCCUCAUCCUCAUCUUCGCUGUCAUUCCCGGAGUCAUCGGGGUCUCCACCAUCGGCAGCAAGUGCUGGAGCAAGAUCAGCUGGUGCUGAAGCGUCCGAUGCAGAAGCAGCUAGUGCAAGAGCAUCUAAAGCUGGGGCAGCUGGUGAUGCUGUCGGGAUCACCAGAUUCUCAUUCGAGUCGACCUCCAUGAUGCUGCCGUCUUCCAUCUCGAUGUAGUAGUAAACCUUCUCUGGAUCCUCUUUAACCUCCUCCACAGGCUAAAUCGGAGUAGCUGGCUGAGCAGGGGCAAGGCGAGCCUUAUAUCCUGCAGUGCUUUUACGAGCGAUCAACCUGGUCCGGGCCAUCUAACAGAGGAAGAGCAGAUACUUAGAACAAAACCAAAAGGAGACAAGUUUUUGUGACAAAGAACAAAAAUAAAUUAGAUUUUUUAAUGAGGAAAAUAAGAUAUUUUUGAGCAAACAUGGCUUGCUAAGAAAAUGAGUCCUUAUUCUCGAUCAUUUCUAACUAGGCUUGCGUCCUACAGUCAACAUAAAUAAACUCAGAGAAUAGUGCUUGCGAAUACAGAAAGGUACAGGGUUAGAUAUGCAAGAUUACGUGGCUCGGGUUGAAAAGAAUGUAUAUAAGAACUAUAGGGGCUUCUCUGCAAGAUUGGCUAGACACAAGGAAUAAGAACAUAAAUAAACAGAAACUCCACGGGCUAGAACGUGAAAUCACCAUCUUCUUCCUCCUUUUACCAGAGGCACGGCGCAGCCAUGGCUGGCGCCUGGCUGGCGCUCCAGCGUGGCGGGGGAAUCCUAGGCGGCUAGAGUGGAUGGUAGGGGAGGAUGAAAGGAGGGAGUGGGAGGUCUCACCAGUGUCGAUUGCGGAUGGGGGAGGCCCGGCGGUGGAGAACAGAGACGCACGAGCUAGGAACCGAGCGAGAUUCCGGCGGCGGUGAUGCUCAGGGCGAGGGAAAGGUGGGUGAGUGGUGGAAUGGAAAGAGGAGCUCUGGUGGAGAGGUUUGAGGGGAUUUAUAGGGCGCGAGGAGGAGCAGAAGGGGCGCCCAGGGGAGGUGAAUCGGACGGCCAGCCAUUGAAGGCCAUGGGAGUGGGGGGCUCUGGUUAUAGAAAGGGGAAGGGGAAACGAGGGCGGCAUGCACGCAUGGAGUUGCAGCACAAGGAACUGAUGCAGUGCUUGAAGUUGAGGAGGCGCAAGAAGGUGAGGGGGCCCCAGGCAGCACCGUGCGCACGCGUGCAGGGGAGAAGUUGCGCCUGGAUGGAGGAGAGGGAUGACCCUGACGGGUAGGUCCUACCCGUCAGUGGGAGAGGGGAGAUGGGCCAAAAGAAAGAGGAAGAAAGAUUGGGCCUCCUUGGUUAGAUUGGAGAGGAAAAAGGGUUUUAUUAUUUUUUUAAACUUGCAAACACCACUCAAACAAAACCAAAAUAAAAGAUAAAACCCUAUCAAGCACUUGUUGUCUCUAAAAUUAAAUUCGAGUACUCUUUCAUUUGUUUAAGACCGUAAUUUAAUAUUAGUAAUUUAUUUAAUCCAUAGAGAACAAAAACUAGACCGAAAUUGCAUACAUUGCAUUUAUGAUGGAAUUUUGGGUGUUACAGUUCGCCAACAUCUUCACCAAAGGACUGUCAUCUUCGGUCUUCACUGAAUUUCGAUCUAGUCUCAACGUUCGCUCCACGAACGCUUCAAUUGCCGGGGGGGUUGUUAGAAAGAGUCCUAGUUUGAUGUGGAUAAGGCUCUGCGCCUGGUACAGCCGGCCGGGUCCUGUUUGUAUUUGGUUAAGAUAGAGAUACGGGGAGGAGUGAUCCUUUAUGUUUCCUUUCACCUAGGAUCCUCCUCCCCUAUAUAUGUAACUAUAUUGUCUCUCAAUUAAUCAAUCUACUAUUUCCACGCAUCUCUAUUGCUUUCAGUUUCAAUAAAAGAAAAUUGAAUAUCUAACUAUUUUUUUGUUUUUCAAGACGUGACACUCAAUUGUUCGUCGAUAUCUGAUGGCAUCAGUGAGGUAGACGAGGUAGAUACUAUUCAAGAAUUGUUGCCAUUCAACAAUGCAAAUUCAACAGAUAAUAUAUUAUUGUUACCGAAAUAUAAGGUGUAUCCUUAAAUCCAUAAUGAAUAGUGUAGUCAUAAACUCCAAGGAAGUUUUCAAAUUAAUCUGAUAAAAAUAAAAAUAUCUAGCCAUUUAUUUAAUGAGAAAUUUUAGAGUGCUUGAAAAAAAUAAGAACCGUCCAUCCGGCGAAAUUGAAUAGUGGAAACAAAGUAAGUAUCAUGAAGUACCUAAAGAAAAAUACCAAUUUCAUGGAACCAAGUAAAAAAUAGCGAGAAAUUACUAUGAUGCUCUUUUAAUUAUGUGUAGAUCUAUUUAAUUUUUUUAAGCAAGAUAAGAAAGGUACCUGACUGGUACUUUACGUUUGAAGAGUUUAGUUACAAUGCUUUUAAAGUACUAGUGACACUUCCAGGUACUUUCCUUUCUUACCCUUUUUACCAAAAAAGAAUUAAAUAUAUUUAAACAUAAUUACAAGGGCAUCAUGAUAAUUUCUUACUAUUUUUGGUACUUGAUCCCACCAAAUUAGUACUUCUUGGUAUUUUUCUUUAGGUACUUCAUGGUACUUCCUUUGUUUCCAUCGUUCAAUUUCACCGGAUAGACAGCUCUCAUUUUUUUUUCAAGCACUAAAAAAUUUCUCAUGUUUGAAAUGUUAGAUUAUCUUUAGGGAUGUGCAUACUCACGGUCGUUCCCCAUAUGGUUACACAAUUUUUUUUCAUAGUUACCAUCUGUAGUUGUCAGACUCGCGAUCUCAUGUCUCGCCUGUAGCACAUUAUAUACACAUCUUUAGUGCCAUUCAAGUGUUGUUUUCAUACAUACUCUUAUACUAACCCACCACUAGCAGAAGCCAAUCGGCCCAGGGCUUCUUGGCCUCCACCGACGCUCAUAUUUGGCAAGUAAUCCUUCGAGAUGACUUAGGGGCUAUGUUUGUGAAGAUAUGGCAAGGAUCACUUCGGGAUCAAAGAGGAAUCAAAGAAGAUCAAGCAGAGAUUUGGAAAGUUAUUGAAGAUCAAUCUCAUCCCGAAGCUACUGACAUGCCAGGCCCACAUGGAUACAAAAAUAAGCUUACAGAACAUCUAAGAAGACUUGGGAACGAAGCAGAGCACGAGACGAGGAAAGGAAGGCCCAGGCCGAUCGGCCUAGAACCCCCUAGGCCGAUUAGCCUGGGGUGUUUCCUCAUCCUCUCGCCUUCCAAUUUCUACCACACAGUCUCCAGGCAAUAAAUACUCCAAAAAAUCACCCGGCACGGGAAGGAAUCAAUUAGAAGUCGGUGAAACCAAGGGAGACACACCAUAGGGAGCUGAGGGCCGUGCAAAGUCUUUGAGGUUGUCUAGGUGAUGACUUAGGCUAGACCCUAGCUGCCAUGGUUGUCCCUGCGUGGCGAAGCCAUGGUGGAGUUCCGAAGCUGAUCCUUGUGAUCAUAAAGGCUUCUGUACACACGAUGGUGAUAUCAAUCUACUCUAGUCUUUACUGUAAUCUACUAUGAUGCAUGCUUUCUCUCAUAUGUUCUCGGCUGGCAUAUGUUUUUAGUCGGAAUAAAUGUAAUCAUGGUGAUUAGUCUAUAUCUUGCGGAUACAUCUUAGUAGUGCGUAGGAAGUUGGUGUGAUUAUCCUUGCGUGGUGACAGCAUGCGGGAGGGAAAAGGCUGAAGAAUUAUGUAAUCUUUAUCAAGGUACGAGAUAGAUUGGUUACCACUUUGGCUGGAGCUACAACAAGAAGACAACAGGCUCAAGCUACCCUUCGGUUGUGCUUUAUUGUAUAUAUAUUUGGAUGUGAUCUACCCUUAUUCAUGAUAUCAAUCUCUACACCAAGGUUACCUUUAUAUGCAAUAAGUGCUUAUUAAUAGGAUUAGAUCUGUAUAGCUAGAUAGAGAACUCUAGUCAGUUCGCUGUUGAUUCACGGAUUGAUAAACCUUGGAUGGAAUACUCUAAGGGAAAAGCUACGAUGAUCUAUGCCUUUACGGUACAGCAUUUGGUGUGCUUAAGUGCCAUCAACAGCCAACGUGUGCCUCCACUGCACUCCCUGAUGACGGCCUGGAUGACGGGGGAGCCACGCCGGCCAUGGCGGCCACAGCGCCGUACACGGUGGAUCCUUGGAGGCGCCUGCGUGCCCCUACUUUGCAAGUCUAGGUCGGAGACCCGUGCACCCGAGCUCCGAGCCCCCCUGCUUCGACCGCGGUCAACGUCCAGGCGAAGGUUGCCAAGCUGCUGCUCCACCUCCUAUCGUGCUUCUGCUACCUCCUCCUGCACCUCCUCCACCUCCAGCCACCGGGCGGCAGUGGUAGCCGCCACGUCUUGGGUCACAACCGCGGCCUGGUGCUGAAAGGAAUCGGUGCUCGUAGCCUUAGAGGGGGAGGUGGUGAAUUAGGCAACUUAAAAACUUAACCUAUGACUUCCACUACUUUACAUGCAUGUAAACUAGACCAUUCUAUACUAGAAGUACAUUCUAUGGUUGAUUUAGUGUGGAACCCUCAUCCCAAAACAAGUUUUACAACCUAUAGCUAAUCCUAUCAAGAUACUACUCUAGGAAAGUAAAGGCACACAAGUUGCAAGUAUGAAAUGCGGAAACAUAAGAGGUUAGGAUGAGGGGAAACAAACUCUUGACAUGAUGAUAUUUAUCUCAUGGUAUUGGUAGGCACUAAGCCACCACUAUUCCACAUUGUUGAAGCACUCACAUAAGAGUAUUGCUUUCCGGUCACCAAAUCUCUCCCAAGGUGCCCCUUGACUUGCCACAAAGGCUCAGCCACUAAGGCUCACGCCAAGUCCCUCGUGACUUGCCACAAAGGCUCGGCCACUAAGGCUCAUGCCAAGUCCCUUGCUCACCUUGAUGUCGUCUCCACUAAGAAGCUUCCAUGAGUCAUCAUCAUCAUCAUCAUCUUCACUUGAGCUUCCAUGAGUUGCCAUCUUUCUCAACUUCUUCUCUUAUUGACUUGAAAGAGCAAGGGUUUGAGUUGGAGAAGAUGGUUCCUUGGGCUUGUCCUUGAGUUGCAUCUUGGGCUUGUCCAUUAGCUGGAGCUCAAAUGCUAUAAUCAUUUUAAGGAUAUUAUUUGGAGUAAACUCAUCAAGCUUCUUCUCAAAGAGAAUUGCCUUUACCAAAUCAUAAUCUGAGCCUUGGAUUGAUUGAAUAAUCAACCCGAGGGUCUUGAAUCUUCAUGGAAGUCAUCAUCCAAGUAGUCUUGCGGCGUCCAGCCCCCGAGCUUAUGCGCCAGGUGAACCGUAGGAGCCACGUCGAGUAGCUUUGUAGUGUUCAGCCCCCGAGCUUGGGAGCUAGCUGAGCCACUGGAGAUAUUCUGAGUAGUGAUUGGUGCUUAGCCCCUGAGUUCGGGAACUAGUUUGUGCCUCUAGAGGCAUGCUUGGUGUCGCGACGAGCGUCGUCGCCAAAGCUUGACCUGAAAGAAAAGGCGCGUACAUUAUGUAGCAUAUUUGUAGGAUACUUGAAACCGCUGAAAUUUAUUCAGCAAUCAAUGUAAACAUUAUGUGCCAUGCUCUUGUUUCAGUCAUACUCUUUCCGAGUAGUUAGCCUGUUACAUUUUAGGCUCAGUCCCCGUUUAGUUGUAGCCACUGCGCGUGUGAGAGCUUUGUCUCGUGCACUCAUAUGGGCACUGCUGUGUGCACAACUGAGAGCUUGGUCUCAUGUAUGUGUGCUAGCAUUUGGUGUCACAGGUGCACCCGAGGCUUUCACAAGUUAAGGCAUGUUCUGCUCGAGAAGAGUAGUGACCUUAAGAGAAGACAAAAAGAAAUAGUCGCUGUUGCAACAAAAAGAGAGCGUGGUAGCGCGAAAGAGUUUGCUGUACUCCGGCGAGUAGAGCGCGUGUUGUGCGUAAGAGCUUCCGGUGAGUAGAGCGCGUGUUGCGUGCAAGCGAAAAAUAAGCUGGAAAAUAACUUAGAAAAAAUAACUUAGCUUGAUUCGUGGAUGAUUGUUGACGAAGCCGUGACGGUCGUUGAUGAAGCCGUGAUGGUUGUUUACGAAGUUGACUAGUCGGAGGCGAUUCUGACUUGUUGUCGACGAUGCAAAGUUUGCCCCGACUAAUUUUUUAGUCGAGAUGAGGAGUUGGAGUAGUCCACCCUCGACUAGCCUUGGAGUCGAGACGAGUAGUAGAAGUAGUCAUCAGCGAGCGUCGCGAUGUGGUCAGAGUAGUCGUCAGCAAGCCGCCCAUAGUCGGCGGAGUCGUUGGCAAGCCAACCGUGGUCGUCGGCGUGCCCGCGACAUAGUUGAAGAAAUCAUCAGCGAGCCGCCCGUAGUCGUCGGCGAGCUCGCGAUGUAGUCAAACUUUCGAGUUGUACUCAAACUUGAAGUCGCUGUUGGACUUCGAGUCGGAGUUGAAGCUGGAGUCACCGUCGGACUCCGUGUUGCGGUUGAACCCGGAGUUGUCGUCGGACUCGGAGUUGUAGCCAGACCCGGAGUCGCCGUCGGACUCCAAGUUGUAGUCGGACUCGGAGUCGCCGUCGGACUCCGAGUUCAAGUCAUGGUCGGACCCGUAGUCGUCGUCGGAGUUCGAGUUCGAAUCACGGUCAAAACCAAAGUCGCCGUCGAAGUACGAGUUUGUAGUCAAACCUUGAUCCGAGGUUUAAUUUGUUGAUUUUCUCAAUGAGAUUUUCUGCAUCUUCUGGAAGAGAGUUCCUAUCGAGGAACUCUUCUCCUGGUUGUUGAUGAUGCAGCGUUGGAACAACCUAGUGCCGUCGGUGUUGCAAAGUCAGGAGUCAAAGAUGAAGGUUGUGCCCGCUUUGAAAGCGAACGCCGGCUCGAAGAUGAGGUCCUUCAAGCUCGCCCUAUGAUCGUGAUGAUCUGCCCCACGGUGGGUGCCAAUGUCGGUGUUUUAUACCGGCCAUCUACCAAGGGGUACCCGAGGUAGUAGAAUGUGUAGCAGGGGAUCGCCGGACCUGGAACUUGAAGGUAAGAGCGAGGACACGAGAUAGGGAUUUAGACAGGUUUGGGCUACUAGAGUAGCAUAAUACCCUACGUCUUGUAUGGGGGUGUUUGUAUAUUGCGCCCUGCGCUUGGGUGUUGAGGUGUGACCUGCCGAGCUAGGUACCCCUGCCCUCCUUUAUAUACUCCAGGGGGCAGAGUACUAGUCGGAUUACAAGGAGGAGUCCUAGUAGGAUUACACGGGAUGAGUCCUAGUAGGAUUAUAGGGGAAUCCUAGUAGGAGUCUAACUUCUUCCUUCCUUGCGGGUAUUGGGAUGUAUCCCUGACAGGAGGAGCGGAAGGCGUGGGAGUGGACGAAGGCAGCGAGUCUCGAGGCCAUGAGUGCGCCAUCGGAUCUUGGAUAGGGAAGAGGGGGGCUGGGGGAGCGCCGCUCCCGCCGGGUAGGGACAGAGAGAGAGAAGAGGGGUAGGUUGAAGAGAUGGAAAGAAAACCCUAGCUCUCAUACCAAUUGUUGGUCCAAACUGAAUUCUUUACAUUGACUCUGAAUAGCGAUUCAUGUUUGGUAAUACAUAUAUAGGAUAAAAGCAAGGGUAGGUAUCUUAGAGAUAAGGCUUGUCGUUGUCGAGAUUAGCGGAUCAAGACUACAGCAAGUGAAUUUGUUUUAUGCGCGUAAGGCUCGGAUGGUUGCGUGAGAGGACACGGGGUUAGGCUGGUUUGGGCAGGAAUAGCCCUACGUCCAGUAUGAGGAGCUGCUUGUGUUACUCACGCAAGGUCUGUAGUAGGGGUUACAAACAGGCGAGAGAGGGGAGCUGAUCCCAAGUCUCUUGGGUGUGCACUGAUGCUCGUGAGGAGAGGGUGUGAGUUCUGUUGGCUUGAGCCUCUCUUGUCUCAGGUCCCCUGGUUCUCCUUUUAUAGCGUAAGGAGGGCACAGGGGUUACAGGUGAGCCAGGCGUAUGGAAAAGUAAAAGAGAUAAGCUAAGUAAAGUAAAACAUAGGGAAAAGGACCGAGUUCCUGGGUUGCCACUUUCCUCUCCGGCCUUUGUCUCUCAUCAGCGUGGCCGCCGGAGGGGGGCAGCUGCCAUUGGAUCCUGUUGGCGAUCCCCCGGUCGACCGUCGUUGCCAGACAUGAUGAUGAUGUUUGGCCGCCGCAACUGUGCUCGUCGUGGGGGCGGCUGUCCUUUGUAGCCCUGCAUGUUGACCGGGAGGUGCGGCCAAUACAUCUCUGCCGACGUACUGAUCGUGAAACUGGGCAGCGCUCCCUCCUAUGCUGGGGGCGCGGGUGAUGAAUGCCCUACGGCGGACAGGAGAGACAACGGACUGGGGCGGUGCCGCUGUAGCCUGUGCGGUCAUGGCUACAGUGUUCCGCCUGGGUACUGUGGCGGGUCACAUCGAGGAGCGCACCAGAGCCGAGGUGCAUUUAUGGUGAGAUUGGUGGGGGCCCACGAGAUUUGCGCCCUCAUCUGCUGGUUUGCGCCCGAGGUGGAUUCUUGUCUUGUGGGCCCGGAUGAGUCCGACCUCCUGUGCCCUGGGUCGGGCGUAUCCGACCCCAGGACCAUGGGUCGGGUGAGGCCAAGCCUUACAGUGAGGGGUCGGGCGUAUCCGACCCCAGGACCGUGGGUCGGGCGAGGUAGAGUGGAAUGCUCCUUGCCCAUGCCGGGUCGGCGGAGGUCACUGUUGCCGCAGAUGGGCCCGGGUGUUUAUGUUCUGUGUUUAGGGGCGUUAUGAGGUCGUUAACAUUUCCCCCCAACAAGACUAGAGAUAAAGUAGCUUUUACACCAACCACUACUAGACUUAUUUCAUCAUGUUAAUUGUUCACCAGGUAAAAAAGGAUCCUAUUGAGUUGGGGCAAUGUACAACUAAGGUGCUAGGAGAGAUAAAUUCUGAGGUGAGUUCUCGUACUUUAGCUGCUACAAAUGAGUUAACUUGAUUGAAUUUAAACAUUAGUACCAUGUGAUUCUUGAAGUACUACAACAAUAUCCCUCAAAAGCUUUUAGGAUCAACUUUUCAUAUGAUAUGAAUCGUCUAUCGAAUUCCGACAUGCAUUCAUGGGGACUAUAGCACUGAUAACAAAUAAACAAUGACUAUACGCGCAAGACCAGCAGCUAAACCUCCAUGAUGGACCAAUGCAAGGGAACAAGAUGUAGAGCUUUGUUGUGGACUCCUUUUACCAUAAGUAUACUUACAGUAGGCGCAGGGGCAAGGAGUCCACAACGAUCCCAUCUACAAGCCGCCAGGAUUAAUAGAAGUUGGUUAGGAUUUGUUAAAGAGUCCUGUACGGAUUGGAUAAGCUAGUUGGUCUGUUAUAUAAAGGCCUUAGUAGAUUGUUUAGGGAUUAUCGAAGGAAUAAACUCUCCCCUGUUCUGGGCGUGAGUUGUUCUUCGACGAUGGCGGAGAAAUCUGUCUCGGUCACCGGUGACAACAACUCGUCUGCAUACCUAUUGCGCUCCAACUCCCAGGCUCACCUGUUCCUACAGUCUCCCCUGCAUUUUCCUCGCCGUCACUCGCGUCGUAUCAAUUUGGUAUCAGAGACAGCUGCUGGGGCAUCGCCAUCCAUGGCCGGCCCUAAGGACGAUCCGGAGACCGACUCAAACAGCUCUCCACCAUCAACUCCCGCCUCGACUCCCAUGAACGUCGCAUCGCCCGCACCGAGAAGUAUCAAGCUGGCGAUGACACUUCCGAAGGCGCCACGGAGGUUUCGCCCGACUAAGCUCACCGCAAUCCGGGCAGCGGCGGCGGCAAUGGCAGUGGUGGCGGCACUGACGGCCACGGCGAUGGCUUUGGUGGCCCUCACAGCGGGCGGGCCCCUCAGCACUACGACAGCCCCGGGCGACCACGCCCACCCAAGCUGUCGUUCCCCAAGUUCGACGGGGAAUCAAACCCCUUGCCUUGGCUCAAUCGGUGCGACAUCUUCUUCCACGGACAUCAAACCAUGGAGGGAGAGAAGGUGUGGAUGGCUUCUCUGCACCUUGAAGGCACGGCGGCCCAGUGGUACUUUCAGAUGGAACAGGAAUUCAGCAUCCUCUCUUGGGCGCGAUUCGCUAAGUUCAUCAACAUGUGCUUAGGGUCGCCCAUCCGUUCCAACGCCUUAGGCAAGCUCAAGGAUCUUCAUCGCACAGGCUCGGUAGAGGAGUACGAGCGGCGAUUUCUGGCGCUCCUCUGCCGCUGCGACAACCUAAUGGCUCAGCACCAGAUCAAUCUUUUCACGUCUGGGUUGGGACAGCCGUUGGCCUCUGAUGUCAAGCUGCAGCGGCCGUCCAACCUCCAGACGACCAUGAGCCUUGCGUGUGCCUUUGAGCUACGUUCCAAGGAGGCGACGUGUGCUAUCUCCGGAACUCUACGGCAAGGCCCCCGUCCCUGCUCCGUCGCUGCACCAUCCGCUCCUUCAUCGGCCCCAGCAACGCCAGAUGAGUCGCCAUGGCCGUGUUUUUGCCGCCUGUCUGCCGAAGAGCUGGCGGAGAAGGGAGCCAGCGGCCAGUGCUACAUCUACCCAGAGAAGUUCUCCAAGGACCACAAGUGCGCCGGCCGCAGUGGCGUAUUCCGCCUGGCCAUGGACGAUGAGGCAGGAGACGUGCAGGUCAUCCCUGAUGACAUCCACAUCUCCCUCCACGCUCUCCACGGCAAUUCCACGGACGCCACGAUCCGUCUCCAUGUCUCUAUCCACGGUGUUCAGCUCACUGCAUUGGUGGAUUCCGGCUCCACACACACCUUCAUCCACGACGAUGUUGCCCGCGCCUCGGUCUCGCCAUCACACGUCGUCACGGACUACGGGUUAAGGUGGCUAAUGGCGAGCACCUCACCAGUCUGGGCAUCUAUGCGUCCGCUCCGGUCUGCAUCCAGGGCGAGGCAUUCUCUGUUGACUGCUACGCCUUGGCAUUGGAUGGCUUCGACAUCAUCCUUAGGGUGACGUGGCUGAAAACCUUGGGGCUGAUCACUUGGGAUUUCAACGACCUCACUAUGGCCUUCCAGUACCAAGGGCGUGACCUGCUGUGGCACGGCAUUGGUGGUGGCAAUGUUGAUUUGGCAGCCUUGACGGCCACCCGGGAUCUCAUGGAUGCCCUUCUGCUCAAAUAUGGCGGCAUUUUUGCAGAGCCCCGUGGCCUUCCUCCGCAACACCUACAAGAUCACUGGAUUCAUCUACUACCAGGUUCUACUCAUGUUGCUUUCUUCAGCCGGGCUGUGACUCCCCAUCACGCCAAGUUACCAGCUUAUGAGCGUGAGUUGAUUGGAUUGGUGAAAGCCGUGCGUUACUGGAGGCCAUACCUUUGGGGUCGGCAGUUUAAGGUCCGGACAGAUCAUCAGAGCUUGAAAUUCCUCCUGGAUCAGCGCUUCUCUACGAUACCGCAGCAUACUUGGGUCAGUAGACUUUUUGGGUACGACUUGUUGGUGGAAUAUAGACCAGGCAAAUUGAAUGCUGCUGCUGAUGCAUUGUCCCGCAGGGAUGAAGAAGUUGGGUCCCUUCUUGCCCUCUCUAUGUCGUCAUUUGAGGUUUUUAAGGCCCUGCGAGAAGAGCGGGUUGGGGAUAGUCGAGCAAUUGACUUGCAGGCUCAACUUGUCGCUGGAACUGCCCCAAGUGGCUGGUCGGAUGUGGAUGGACUGCUUCUCUACAACGGCUGUGCAUAUGUUCCAGAUUGAUCUUCCCUUUGGCAACAACUUUUGGAAAAUGCACAUGCCUCUGGCCAUGAAGGCAUUCAGAAGACUUUACACAGACUUCACUUGUCUUUUUACAGCUCUCUUGCUAGCAGAUUGGUCCGUGAGUACAUCCAUGGCUGUGCGGUGUGUCAACGCAAUAAAUCUGAACACUUGCAUCCUGCUGGCCUCCUUCAGCCGAUUCCUGUUCCUUCGGAGAUCUGGAAUGAUAUUGCUAUGGAUUUUGUGGAAGGUUUUCCUCGCGUGGGCGGAAAAUCGGUGAUUCUGACGGUGGUUGACAGGUUUUCCAAAUUUGCUCAUUUCAUAGCCUUGGGUCAUCCUUACACUGCAAGCUCUGUCGCUCGGGCAUUCUUUGAGAGCAUCGUUCGGCUCCACGGGUUUCCUUGCUCAAUUGUCAGUGAUCGUGAUCCGGUUUUCACUAGCAAUUUUUGGAAGGAAUUGUUUUGUUUGGUUGAUGUUAAAUUGCUGCUCAGUUAGGCCUUUCACCCGCAGACUGACGGCCAAUCAGAGGUGACCAAUCGGACUAUUUCCAUGUACUUGCAUUGUUUGGCUAGAGAUCGCCCUCAUUCUUGGCUUCAGUGGCUCCCUUGGUCUGAGUUCUGCUAUAAUACUUCCUACUAGACUGCCAUUGGUACCACUCCCUUCCAAGUGGUUUAUAGCAGGGAGCCUCGAACCUUGCUGCGCUUACAACCUGGGGCUGCCAGGGUUGCAGCUGUUGAUCGCCAGCUUCGUUAUCGCGAUGACUUCUUGUCCGAGAUUAAACAGCGUCUUCUGUUAGCUCAGGAUGCUAUGCGUCAGCAGCAUGAUAAAAAGCACCGGGAUUUGGAGUUUGCUGUUGGUGAUUGGGUAUGGUUGCGUCUUCAUCAUCGGACUGCUGCCGGGAUCACUUUUGCUCGCUUGACGAAGCUCAGUCCUAAGUACUUCGGGCCCUUUCAGAUUCUUGCUCGAGUUGGCUCGGUAGCCUAUCGUUUACACUUGCCUGCAAAUUCUCGCAUCCAUGAUGUGUUCCAUGUUGCUCUUUUGAAGAAGUUUGUCGGGGAGCCUCCUACUACAGCACAGCCAUUGCCUUUGCCACCCAUUGUUCAUGGUCGCGCCGUGCCUACUCCUGAGAAGAUUGUGCGUGCUCGCCUUUUCCGUGGUGUGUGGGAGGUCUUGGUACAGUGGGUUGGACAAUCGACUGCUGAUGCUACUUGGACACCGGUGGACGACUUCAAGGCGACUUAUCCUUCCUUUCAGCUCGAGGAUGACCUGUUUCUCGGGGAGGGGGGAAAUGUUGUGGACUCCUUUUACCGUAAGUAUACUUACAGCAGGCGCAAGGGUAAGGAGUCCACAACGAUCCCAUCUACAAGCCGCCAGGAUUAAUAGAAGUUGGUUAGGAUUUGUUAAAGAGUCCUGUACGAAUUGGAUAAGCUAGUUGACCUGUUAUAUAAAGGUCUUAGUAGAUUGUUUAGGGAUUAUCAAAGGAAUAAACUCUCCCCUGUUCUGGGCGCGAGUUGUUCUUCGACGGUGGUGGAGAAAUCUGUCUUGGCCGCCGGCAACAACAACUUGCCGGCAUACCUGUUGCGCUCCAACUCUCAGACUCACCUGUUCCUAUAGUCUCCCCAGCGUUCUCCUCGCCGUCACUCGCGCCGUAUCAGCUUAGCAUACGUGAAGAUACUAACUCCAUCCAUACAUAUAAGACAUUUUGACAAACAUAAGGCAAGCAACAUUUGUGAAUUCAGAUUUAGUAGCUAACUGUAUACAACUUUUGCGAUGAGGAAGUGGCACAAGAUUCAUAGCACAUUGAAUGGACCAUAGUUAUAAUUUUUUAACUAGUUUAAAUAUAUUUUUUUAGAAAACUUAGUUCAUUCUCUGAUCCCCGCUACUACAGAUAAUAUCCGAUCACUAAUAGUUCAUAACCACUUAACCAGCAUCACUCUGGUAUUGAACAGGCAAAUGGACAAGUAGGAGUGAGUGACAUAUACUCCAUGAGCUUCACUGCCUCUGCAGUAAUAAGGGCCCAUUAAACUAUUGGCCACUCCAAUCGACAUUUGUCUUUUCAAUGGUAGUCUCCUUUUUGUCCUCAACUAUUGUCUAGAAAGUUAAAAUGUGGUACGAAAAGAUAUGACUUCCAAUUUGGCGAAAUCCAUCCCUAACAGCUCGAGGGUGAAAUCAGACUUUCACAAUAGUUAGAGGACUAAUGUUGAACGUAACAUAUCUUUUAACUGGUGUGAAGUUUUUAUUUUUAUAAGGAGGUGUGAGGUGUUAAUCCUCUUCUACGAAUCACGGUAUGUGAUGGUAAUGUCAGAUUGGAGAACUCUAAACUGUAGAGCAUGUUCAGUUUCAACAGAAAAGGCCUACAUGUCUCAUUGUCUCUCGUACCAGUAUCAUAUGUACCAUCAAAUUUGGUUCUACAAAGUAAACGAGAUGGAUCUCUCUCUUAGUCUCAGCUUAACAAUUGAAUUCCUAGGAAUUUCUUUUAUUUUUUGCGUAUUAACAUGGAAUCCCUUUUUUCGCGUAUUAAUGUGGAAUCCUUGACCCUAUGUGAAUCAGGAUGGAUUCAUGAUACUAUAUUUACAUUGCUAGGUUUAUACUAAUAGUUUCAAGUAUAAAUCUUAAAAACUACAGAUUGUUCGUCCAAACUAAACUACUAAUUUAAAUAAUUGUAUAGCAAACUAAAGUAUUUAACAUAUGCCAUGUCACUAGGUCAGAAAAGAUUUGUGCUAGCUCAUGGGAUUUCCAGUACUAGCGAGUGAUAUUGACAUCCAUAAGCACAAAAGGUUAUGGGCCCACUCCGUCAAAACCUGCCAAAUGCACCUGUGCUGGCGGGUGACAUAAGGACCUGCCAGCACAAAUCCUCAUUUGUGCUAGCAGGUUCUUAUAUCACCCGCUAGCACAAAUACUUUUCAAUUUAUAUGGAUGGGAAGGAUAAAAAAAAUUUAAACUAGUUAAAAACUUUGUUUUACAUAUCACGAUAUAUUUUUAACAUAUAUUAGACUAUGUAUAUGUUGUUGUGUAGGCGUUGCAAAAAAUUAUAAGUGAUUUACUAUUUUCUAAGGUAUAAAUGAUUAUAAGGAUGUUUAUUGGAAUUAAUAUGUAUUUGAACUAAUUUUUUCACAAAUAAGAUCAAAAAAUUUCAGAAAAAUGACGUUAAAGACACAAAGUCCCUGAAAGAUUCACAAAGUUUUUAGGUACAUUUAUCACUUCUAUUAAAACUUUUAGUGAAAAUAAAUUCUAAUAAUAUCUAAACGUGUUCCAAAAACUAUAUAAAUUGGUAUGGAUCAUUUUAUGAGUUCACAAUCUUUGCAUAAAAGUUUCAAUAUAUUGUAAGAAAAUUGGAAUAUAUAUUGUUCACAAAUAUAUACUUCAUCUACAACAUUUCAUAUAACUCAAGUGAGGCUUUAAGCUUAUGAACUAACUUAGUACUAUAGUAAUUUGUGAACUAACUAAUUCAUAAAUACGAUCUCGGAUGAAUACAAAGUUGAUAUUAAAGUUGUAGAUUUAGAGUAGAUCUAAAAUUUUGUAGUUGACAACUUUUUCAUUUAAAGUUUUUUAAUAGCUCAAAAUAUCAUUGUAAACUCUCUAAUUUCAAAAUCUUGAAUUUUAAAAUUUCAAAUGACCUCAAAUGCAAACAAGCUCUAUAUCAAAGUUGUAGUGCUUAACUAGAUAUAAACUUUUAUAGUUGACAAAUAUUUCAUUUAAAAUCGUUUAGCUGCUCAAAACUUCGUUAUAAGGUUAUGAAAGGAACACGUUCUGCUACAUCAGCGAUCCGUGUCGAUUUUUUCUCCCAUUGGCUAGAACCUCCUCUUCCUGCAUCCAUCCCCUCUUAUCCCUUCCCUCUCACUCUCUAUCCUUAUCCAUUCCUCUCACCUCAUUUUCCAAGGGCCAAGGGGAGGGAGCAUCGGGGGAGCAGCAGGAGGGCACGACUGCGCAGGACACCAGCCGGCUGCGAGCAGCGCGGCAUGGCGGCAGGAGGGCACAACACAGCACCCCUCAACCCCGAUAGCUGGUGGCGCAUAGAGGCCCGCGUGGGGCCCCAGUGCUAGAGGCGAUCGCGGCGCCCCUGGAUCCGACUCAAGGGGCCCAACGGCCGGCGGCGGCGCACAGGGCUCGGAGGCUAGCGCGACCCCCUCAACCCCAGCCCUGACGGCAAAGGUGGCCGGCGCGGCGGUGCGGCACCGGCCGCAGCGGGCAGGAUGGCGCGGCGGGCGAGGCACGGCGGCAGGAGGGCACCGCGCGCUGGCCUUUUUUUCCUUUCUUUUUCUUUUUAUAUUUUAUAUAUUUUCUUUUGUUUUUUAUGUAGUAGUGAAUAUGAAUAUUUCAUAUUUAUGUAAUAUUGCUGUGGUAUGUUUAAUGGUAUGAAAAAUUAUAUAUUGUUCAUGUUUUAAUUUGCUUUGUGGUUGGAGAUACAUAUUUUAAAUUAGCAGAAAAUAAUAAUUUUGGAAUUGGUGGGAAAUAAAAUUAGAAAAAUGGUGGGAAAAAUUAAAAAUUCAAAAGGGGAAACGAUCUGUGUUGGCGGGCGUCUUAAGCGUCCGCCAGCACCAAUCCAUUUCUGCUGGCGGGCGCUCACCUGCUAGCAUAUAUGCCCAUUUCUGCUGGCUUAAGGUUGCCGGCGGUUAGGCAACCCACCGGCGCAAAUUUUUUAUAGCGUAGUGUGUUACCAAAAAGUUACGAAUUGAAAAAAAAUUCUAUCACAAAACUGCUGAUUUUUUUUGCAAUUCAUCGUAAAACCACACGUUUGCAAUUUGGUUUCACCUUAAACGUGCAUGGUUGUGUUUCCUUGAUCUGGGCCAAAAUAGUUUUAUGAGUUAGUAAACACUGAUGUAAACCCUACUCUCUGACUAUGGAUCUCCCAUUGAAAUGGACCCCAAUUCCCAUUUCUAAAAAUUCAAGCCUACGAACCUCCAUGACAGUCCCAAGAAGACUAUCACGUGCGAAUCUCUGUCUCAGAUAGUACAAAUCCAUACCAACACAGAAAUAUAAAGCAACAACAUAGUAUAUCAAAAUAACAUGAGUAGCGAGGACAUCUCUAGGGCAUAUGCUGGUAUCAGGACUAAAUCAAGAAAGGUAAAACAUCUACGCAGCGGAAACAAAAGCUAUGGCGAACUCCAUCUCCAGAGGUGACUCAAGCAAAGAACCAUCCCUAGUCUUCUCAUCCGUCGUUGUCGAAGUCAUAGUCGGGCUCCGACCCUGAAAAGUCACCAUCUACCCGAGAAGCGGGUAGGCUAUGUCAAGUCCCAAAAGCAGCAAGCUAAGGAAAUGGGAAAAUAUACUAUAUGCACGGGUAAAACCUAUAUAUGGUUGUUGGGGUUUAUGUAGCAGCAACAGCAAUCAAGGAAGCAGCAAUACAGCACACCUCUGAGGUCAACACCUCAAACAAGGAAGUCGGCACAAAUCGCCGGAUUCUUCACUCAAGGGUCCAGCACCCAAACACACUAGGCGAUGUGAGAGCUCCCUUCCCUCAUAUCUCAACGGCAAACGUCAGCCUAUCUUAAAAGGGGGAGGUAGAAGGAUAAGAAAAGUCUAGUCAGAAGUAGUAGUAGUCAACAGCACUAUCCAUUACCAGUGGACACGGACUAUAGUUAUAGCUUUAUACACUCUUAGACUUCAACUACCGAAUUUAGUACAAAUGUUUAAGUUCAGAAACUUGAGAAAAAAAGAUAAAUAAAGUAUUCACUCCAUUUUGAAAUAUAUGACAUUUAAAACGAAUUAAUCGAAAAAUAUAAAUUAAUUAGUCUGUUCCAAACGUCAAAUAAGGGUAAGAUUAACUUAGAAUGGACGGUUCACAUUAACUUGUACUUGGAGUACCAGCAGAAAAGCAGAAUCUAUACCUAAACAACGGUUUGUUUACCACACGACUUCUUGUUCUAGACGGCGCCGCGUGGCGAAGCGACGGACUUCAGGAUUCGGACGGCGCUGGUUGUAGUAGAAGAGGCCGACUUCUCGUUGCAGAUAGCACCGGUGGGAGAAGUGGCCGUGUUGAAACCCCGACCUUCCAGGCAUCGCUUCCACCGGCCUACGGAUGUCAUCAGCAGCCAUUGACAAACCAGCAACCGGAGCGGCAACGCAGCGGCCUUCAGCGCGCCGUCCCAGGCGAUCUCAUCGGACGUCGUCACGUCGACAGAACCGCCACCGCAUGUGGGCGCGAGCAGCGGCGGGUACAGCAACACGACGAUCUCGGAGGACGGCUACUAUUGGCGCAAGUACGAAUUGAAGGGGAAGAAGUGAAACCUGAGAACCCGUGCAGCAACUAGUCCGGCCGCCCCUCUGCUGUUCGUCGCUAACGUGUGGGUACUAGAACUGAUCUUCCAUAUAGUGCUUUUAUCCCGAUUAAUUUUAGUUCCGAGUCAAAAAUGAAGCACUGAAGACCACCCACGGGAGGGGCUUUAGUUCCUGUUGUAAAGAUCAACUGGGACUAAAGCUCCCGCUUUAGUCCCGGUUGUAACGGCUAAAAAAUCUAACACCAACGGUGGGAGCUUUUGUCCCGGCUGGUAAUUCCAAUCAGGACAAAAGAUUUAGUCCCGGUUGGAAUUUCCAACCGGGACGAAAGGGGCUCACGCGCCCCCCCCCCCCUUCACUCUCCACCUUAUCUCCUCUCUCCCUUUCUUUUCCUCCUCCCAGUGCUAACUCUUCCUCCUCUCCCUUUCGUUUCCUCCUCCCGGUGCUAACUUCUCUCCCUUUCUUCCAGGCGGGCGCGCGGGCGGGCAGGGGCAGCAUGGGCGGGUGGGCGGCGCGAGCGGCCGGACGGGCGUGCGUGGAUGGCGAGCGGCGGGCUGGGCGAGCGCGUGACAGGUGAGCGGGUGGCUGGGCGCGGGCGGUGGAUGACCAGCUGGGCGCGCACGGGCGUCAAAGGGUGGAGGCAGAGGGGUGGAGGUGGGCGGUGCAGGAGCCGAGGCAAGCGGAGGCCGCGGUGCAUUUUUUUAUUUUUUUUACUUUUGAAACUUUUUAGUUCGGUUGGUAACACCAACCGGGACUAAAGAGGAUCUUUAGUCCUAGGUGGAUGAUCCGGGACUAAAGGACCCCUCUCGUCCCAAAAAUUUUAUCCUGGAUGAAUUUUUGAAAGAUUUGAGACCAACUAACCGGAACAAAUGCUCAGGUUUCUACCAGCGGGGCCCAUUUAGUGAGCGGGCCCACGCUUCCACAACCUAAGGCAGAGGGACUCGAUUGCUGCAGGCAAUACUGCUCUUAUCGACAACCUGAGCAGCUGUACACAGAGCCCUUAAUUUUUUUUAACUUUAGAGAGGCCGAAAUAUUUAUAUAUUAGCAUAAAUCUUGUUAUUGUUGAGGCUAUUAUAUACCUGAAUGGUACGUAGCUUCACCGAGCAAUCCACCCAUUUGCUCCUGACUCUCUUCUAUGCUUCAUCAGUGAAAAUAGCCUCCUUUGGUAGCCUCCAUAUGUGAGUAAUGUUUCAGUGUUUAGUUGAGUUUUUUUUUGUAAAAGAAAUGUUAGAUAUAUCUUUUCAAGCAAAAGUUGCAUACAGGAUACAUAUCAUGCGAAUUUAUACAGUACAGUUUUGAAGCGAUACGGUUUGGAUACUUAGAAAAUAACGUAUAUUUAUAGGAAUAAAUAUCUUUUUUUGAGGGUUCAAUGUGGGAGAAUAGUCUCUCACCUGACAUAUUGGAGGAGGUGAACCUUCCGAUUUGUGUUUUUUCUCAAAUAUGCGGUACCUAUCGGUACUUGUUUUUGUUUCUAUCGUUUGGUCGGAAAACAAUUAAUAAAAAUUAAAUUUAAGGAUUGUUUUUUUACUUCCCUACCAAUUUGGUACUUCUUGGUACUUCUAUUUAGAUUUCUCGAGAUGGAUGACUCUUAUUUUUUCCAAUCAUUCUAAAAUUUCUCAAAAAGAUUUAGUUCACCUUACAUUCGAAGAGCACGAUACCAAAGUGAAGUGAUGUCAUAUUCUAGCAUCAUCUCGGUCGGCCAGUAGGUCCAGAGCAGAGAAAAAAAAUCAUACUUACAUGUACUAACUGCUAUGAUAUGUAUGGCCUAAAGUAUAGCCUUAUACGGUAUAUAUAGUAUAGGUGGUCGCUUUGCUGGCGUCGAGUUUUCCUUUACCUUUGUUUCUAAAAUAAACCUGUAAAUCUCUUCUAUAUUAAUAGAAAUGGCACAAUCCGUCCGUUCAAAAAAAAAAAAGUAUGGCCUAAAGUUUACUUUUAGCACAGGGUCCUCAACAUGCUGCUGGGGACGGCCCUGACUACUACAAGUGUACCUUCCCCGGCUGCUUCGCCAGGAAGAAGCUGGAGAGGUCGCUCGACUGCCAGAUCAUGGAGAUCGCGUACAAGGGCAGGGAUAACCACGCAAGGCCGCGGAACACGAGCAGGGGCUCUGCAGGCACGGCGGUGCAGGUGCUGCAGAGCGGCGGCGGCAACGCGUCCGAGCGCAGGUUUGGAGAAAUGCCGGCCAUGUCGACCGUCAGCGACACCGAGGUCAUCGACGAUGGCUGCCGGUGGAGGAAGUACGGGCAGAAGGUGCUGAAGGGGAACCCAAACCCAAGGUAAGAACCCCACAAAAUUUACAGGUCCAUUCUUGUUCUCCCUACGCGUCGUGAAUGUCGCCUUGGGCCUCUGCCUAAUACAGGAGCUACUUCAAGUGCGCGAUGUUCGGCUGCCCGGCGCGCAAGCACGUGGAGCGCGCUUCCCACGACCAGCGCUCCUUCGUCACCACCUAUGAGAGCAAGCACAACACAACCACGAUCUGAAUGCAGCGCGCGGCGCCGGAAAGCAACAGCAGUAUGCCCGGCCUGACGGGGAGUGAGGGGCUGCUGGUACAUAAGUCAUUGACUCUGCAACUGCAACACAAGAGGCAGAGACGACGCGUGCAUUAUGCUGGCAACCCCAGCGUUUGGACCUGAUAGAGGGGGGCAAUGUCUUAAUUUGAUCCAAAAAGGACCAAGGAGGAGCUCAAGCUGGACAUGCAUGUUUUCCCCGCACUCGAUGCUGCUCCCUGACCGAAGAAUCGGAGGUUUAAUGCAGAAUCCGUCAAGUACAAUAAAAUGUAUUUGAAUCUCAAUCAAUAAAAUGUAUUGCGGAAAACAAACCAAAUUCUGGCUCCACGUAAAGAAUGCAGUCAAUUCCCUAAUCACAAUUGUUGCCUUCCAAUCAAGUCUUAGAUCUGUACUUUAACCAGCUACUCUAUCUUUGACCUGUCAAUGUUGGCAAAUCUAUUACCAACAUUUGUAUUGUUUUGCGAAAUCCGAUUACAAGCCUAAAAAAUGAAAUGUUCAUUAGCUGUUUGGAAUUUGUGAAACCAAUAUAUACAACACAAAAGAGCAAAGGAACAUGAUAGACAUUCCGAAUAUUAUGAACAUAGCAAUUUCAGUUUACCAAAUACUUCUAUAUAUCAUUCUUUAACUGAAACACAUAUUUUUAGCUAGACAGGUCAGAGGAACUAACUUUUAGAUCUAGAACCUUAUACAAAUAAAUGUUCACCUCCUAUAGAACCCAGCCUAACUUGGUUGAUCGAGGUUAUGGAUGUACACCCACAACCCAAGUUAACUCCCUGUCGAGGCAAAUUAACGUGCCUAUUUUUUGCUACAAUGCCAGUAGGCCAUGGAUUUUACCGGCACCUAUAUGGUCCAUAUCUUCAAUAAUUUAUUUAUUGAAAGUUACAGCUUGAUAUUGCUAUGCAACGUAAAAUUUAUUAUUUCUGAAGAUGUAAUAAUGCUCAUAACAAGUUUACAUGAAUAGUUCCUUACCAUUCAGAGCCAUCUACAGUGGUAAAUCCAAAACCUUUAACCUCAUCUUCAAACUGAAAUGCUCUCUCAAGCCUGUCAAUGCAAAUAGGCAGCCAACCUUUAGCAUAGUAAUUUUUAUGGUAAACUGAACCGUAUGUACUUGCGCAUUCAAUCUCGUCAUCGUUAAUGAAAAUAGUGUUAGCCUCUCACUAAUAUUGAAUUAAGGGGGUAAUUGGGUCAUCAGCAUAGCCACCCAGGAGUGUAGUCCAUGUGGCGCUGAUCGAGAUCCAUGGUACUUAGGUUAUGACGAGCCAUGUGAAGCAUCUAGGCCUCUAAUUUGGGUUUGGUAAUUAUUGACAACGUUUGUGGACUAACAAUUUCAUUGGAAAUAUGAGUAUAGGUUAGUCCCGGAGAUGAAUUGAGCUUCAAUGGAUGCUAAGGUGAUUGCUUUGAUGAAUUUAUAUUGGAGAGCUCAAGGCAAAGGUAUAUGGUAGGGCUUUUCUAUUUUACCGGUCAAAAGUUGCUUAGUGGAUGAUAAUUGAUCGGGUUAGUAGCUAGGCUAGAUAGCCGUACUAUCAAGUGGGGUCAAUUUCAUUUGCUUGACGGUUCUAUAAUGCCACUUCGUUCAAACAAUUGCGUUGCAUGCAUAUGGGUUUAUCUUGUUUGAAAAGUGAAAAGAAUGACUGGAAAAAUGUGCUUUGAAUAUGGCUAACACGUAGUGUACAGCAGACGGUCUCUUGCAGAGGCGGACCGUUCUUUGACUUAGCCAAAAUUCAAGUUUGUUAUGCUGUGCUGAAAGGACGAAGGGCAUACGGUCCGACCCUAUCGGACGGUUCACCACAAGGGUGGCUGACUGCGGCGAGGUGGCACUACACCACAAGCGCGCGGCAGGUUAAUGUUCACCUGGGCAGACUUAAAAAAAAAUGUUUCACCUGGGCAGAUCAUCAGGUCCAAAAGAGAUAUUAAACAAACAGAAAGGUUAUGUGGUGUUGAAACAGCAGUGUGAGGAAGACAAGACGUGUCAUUCCUUUGUUCGGCUCAACACUGGGCCCUCUUUAUUUGUUUCCUAAUUAUUCAGGAAUAAAACUGCAAUCCAGUCAAACGGUGCAUGUGCUUCCAUCCAUAUUGGGAUCCAGUCAUGUCCAUGUGGCCUUAAUUACCGCAGCUGCUGGCAAGUUUUUUGAUGAAAAGCUGCUGGCAAGUUUAUGAUCGAAUUGCAUGCCCCCAGACAAGAUUGCUGACCAGAUUGCUCAAUUUUUAAGAUGUAUAUCAUAAGGCUGUAACCAGCAUGCAAGUUUUUGUUCCUACACUGCGUUUACUCAUUUUUUUUAUAAUGAUAAAACCAUGUAGCCUAGUAGACUGAAGUUUUCUGUCUACCAUAAGUCGUUAUUGUUAGUGAAAGUAUUAUUUAUUGAAUUGCAAAACUUUCCUAUUUGAAGGAUUGAUUUAUUAGCAGAUAAUCAUUGUUAAUUAUGUAGAGGAGAGACAAUAGGAUCAUCUACUGUAAAACAGAAACCGGCCUUAUCUUUAAUACAGAUGCACUAGGAAAUUCUAGCAGGCAUGCUGACAAAUAAACGUGUAAGGGAGCUUCUUCCCUUGUCGUGGUCAAAGAAGCAUUACCUAUAGGUAGAGUUGUUCCACAAAAAGACACCCCCACGAUUCGCCCCUAAAUUUGUGCCGGUAACUAACAAGGGAAACUUUGGGUGGCAGGCGACAGCAGUUGCUGAACUGUAACUAUGCUGAUCUGAUUUACAUGUGUGAACUGCUGUCCUUGACAGCACAUCCAAGAUCUGAUUCAUAAGAGCAAAGAAGUGGUUAAACGUACGUUCAAUACGUACGCACACAGCAGUCCGGCAUAAAUUCAAUAACUAUUCAAUGAAAAAUAUACCGUUAUAUUCCCGCCUGUCCCGACAAUGGCCAUGUACUGCUGAUCACUACCUGUCAAGUAGAAAGCAACAAGACUUCCGUAAACUCUAUUCAAUUCAGUUGUAGGUUCCGCUGAAUUAAUGCUCCAGAACUGUAAAAUUUCAAUAAAGCAUGUGUUACAACAAAACUACUCCUAAGCCACAGCAUGGAAAUUUGUUUACUCUUUCGAGAGGUGAAAAUAUGUUUUAGCAAGAGGGAAAAGAGAAGGCAACCUUAAUGCUGGCAGGAAAAUUGGGUUCCAAGCUUGCAGAAACACUAGCAAAAGUAUUGGUGUCCAUGGGAUUAAAGGUCACCUGAUGUAGAUCGUACAAGUCUCUCUUAAAACUCCGAGUACAAACCCAGCCCAUAUCCCAGUCCCAUAGCUUUAUCAGAUGGUCGUCAGCCGAGGAAAGAAGAUAAGGUUGAGUUGCAUGAACUGCCAGUGAUCUUACUGCUCCGCUGUGAGCAUCAAUUAUCUUAACAUUUUCUAAUUCAUCAGUAUGUGUGUACACGUGAAUUGUCCCCCGGCUAUCACCUGAUACAGCCCAUUGUUGUCUUGCAAUAAACUUCACUGAGAGGUAACGACGCUUACCCUCUGUUAUAAUGUGGAAUGUCUCAAAUGUGUUUGACUGCCGAUGACAUGAACAUAAGCUAACAAUUUUGAUAUGAACAAAUUAAAAGGUAGUACAACUAUAUAAAUGAGUUGUAUAUAUUCAGUUCUUUUGUAUAGUACUUUAUUUCCACGACAUUUUUAGAAACAAAUAAAUGCUACUUCAUGAGCCAAAUUUUGUAGAAUAAGCUAUAUAUAUGCAGUCACUAUAGCAACUAUAUUGAUAUACUUAAAAUAUAUCUUCAUUUUUGAUAGAUCUUUUUUUUUUGCUGCAACACCGAAGGUGAAACAAAAUCAUUAUCUGGUGAGUAGGCACGUACCUGCAGGUUUUUCUUUGAAAUGCAAACUCCUUUGGCAUGACCGGUCAAAAUCCUGUCACAUAAUUAAAUAAUUAGGAAUGAAUGCAGAAGUUAACUAAUUAUUAACUCAGCCCGAUGUUGGGACAACAAUAAGUAUAUGUUGAACCCUCACCAUGGUUUUGUAGGGUGCACAUCUAUAGAUUUCAGACCUCCAAUAGUAAACAAGGGAAAUCUCGGAGCAACCUAUACAAAGUGACUGUUAGCCUUAGAGAUGCUCAAACAUAAGAAAAUAUAGAAAGAGUAUGGAAAGUGGAGAAAUAAAUCUCAUGUAAACCAACAUUAACUAAAAAAGAGAAAGAAAACAAGGAACUAUUUUACAAGACAUGCCAUAGUAUACUACUCACAUGUGGCUCUCCUUUCCCAUUUGCUGUAUCCGGGUCACAGUUUAUUGUCAAAUUCAAAGGCACCUUGUGUGCUUCGCCUCCUUUCUCUCUGAUCUGUCCACACAGAUUGUCCAGCAGGAUUGUGGUGUUUGAGUGGUUAUCCAUAUCGAUGUGCUUUGGGAUAUGAUUCCGGCUCCAGGUGUUCAUGUACAGGAUUUGAAGUCCAUCCAUAUCUGAAGGUGGCUUCAGUUGCUCUUGAAUUGCAACAUAGAAAACACAAGUGGAAUGUGGCAACACAUAGCAUUCAUUUGCGCAGAUGUACCUCACCGAGUUGUUUGGGAUAAUAAGAAAGAAAAUUUCAUCUUCUGUCUUGUUGAUUAGGCUUACUGUGCACUGGAUGUGUUUGUUUGGUUUGAAUGGUAGGCGGAGCUCCAUGGGAUAGACAUCGAUCAAAUCAGUGUGAAUGUACCCAAGGCUUCUCUGCAAUUAAGAACACAAAAAGUUAAACCUGAAUACAUGUUAAACCAGAACGACGAUUACAAAAAGCUACAGUUAAAUCUGUAGUUUUGUGAUACAAAUUCUUAUAUCUUUAGUUUUGCGAUGACUAUGAGAAACAAUCUAUAGUUUUAUGAAAUUUACUCAAAUCCUGCCAAGCCAACAGUGAUAAUUAGGAAUAUGGAAAAUAGGGUGGAGGGAGAUACAGGAGCGGCAUUCAGCCAAGGGUAUUGGAGUCAGGCAUCCCUACAACAGGUACCUAAUUUGCAAAUUUUCUAGAGGUGUAGUAUUCCCCUUUUUUUGUCAUUCCUUUUGUUCUGUGAAGGGUUAGCUUUCGCAGUAUUGUUAAAAACAUUCAGUGGACUUGGGAGUUACUCAUGACACAAAGAGGCGGGCAUACAGGCUGAUAUUGUAAGAGUAAGUUGGAUCACAAUGACCUUGGGCAUUUAUGGCACAGCAAAUUAAAGAUGAGGUGAUAAAGGUGAAGAAAGAAAAACAUGGCCGGUAAGUUUGGGAUGGCUUAGGACAUGGUUGUUUAGGAAGCGAAGUCUCAAAGAAGGAAAUGAAAGGCUAGGCUUGGUGUGGAAUCUCCAAUAAAUUUUCUCAUACCCCCUCCCCCUCUAAAAAUGCUACAGACAGGAAAGAACUGAUUCUAGGAUCUAACAGUCACCGAAAUACAGUGGUAUUUGUUUAGCUGGAAUUGACUAUAUAUGUGAAAAUAGCUAAGUAGAUGACAUCCUACAAAGUAGUGUUUGUGGGACCAUGCUAUUUGUCAUGACUGAACGUACCUCUGCCACUGACAAUGCAUUCAUGCCAGUUCUGGAUAACUCGUCGGUACAUUCUGCUACAUCAAGCAUCUCAAUUAUUUGCUGUAUAUCUGGUCUUUUUGCUGGGUUCGGGUCCAUGCAAUCUAUGCUUAUUUUAGCACAGACUCGUAUUUGUUCCAACAGCACCUGUGUCAUUGAUAAAAUCUCCAACCUGCUUGUCCAGCUUUCAAGUACCUAUGAGAUUUGAAUGAUUAGUUAUUAUUUAAGAAAAAGAGCAACUAGUUUCCAAACAGGAAUUUGAACGAUAUAUAGUAUUGUUCGAUAAAAAAAUAAUAUAUAGUAUUUCCCAUGAGUGCAGAAACUGAUGGCCAAAUUUCUUAAGCAACAUGAAGUCUUGUGGCCGAGCAGGGGCAGAUCCAUGCCUCAUUGGUGGGCAUGUGGCAUGAGUGAAAAAUUUUGGUAUUGGUUUCCUAUUUUGGCACGUUAAAAUUUCUAAGUUCCCCUAACUUUUUCAGUAGUGCUAAGUCAUUUAAAAACAUGUCAAGUUUUAUGUCUUUGAAAAAGGGUUUUACUUCCAAACGUCAAAUACUACAAUUGACAUUGUGCAAUAAAUCUUUUUGCACUCAAGUUCUACAUACACUCAACUUUGUAAUGUUUCUCUAUAAGAAAGCUAUGUAAAGUAAAUAAAAACAUAACGUCGCAAUAAAUAUCUCUACCUUCUCAACUUCAGAAUAUCCUUUUUGUCCUGUCAGUAUCUCUUGGACUAUAACACCAAGACUAUAUAGGUCAGACUUGAAUGUCAUCACAUGACUAUGGGAUUCUGGCGCCAAAUAUCCCCUGCACCAAAAUUUGUAUGGACUGAUAAGUUAAUUUGCAGGAAAAAAAAAGAGUGUUUUUUUGGUAGGGGUGUUCAAACAUGAGGGACAAGCUCCAACUGGAUAUGUAUUAGAUGAAUAAACAAAAACUAAAUCAGGCCUCACAGAAGCUAUCUUGCCAGUCUGAAAUUUGAGGGAAGCAUUACUUUUUUGCAAGAUAACCAGUCUUACUUGAAAAUUUCCGUGCAAUCUUGUAGAGUUAGGGCCCUUUGUUUCAAAAUGAAGAAGCUACUCCUAGUCGUCUAAAUGCAAAAAAAAAGAAAGGAAACAAAGAAUAAGAGCUUUCUACGGACCAAGCUAGCUUACAUUGAUCCAAAUAGUUGAGAUGUGAUAGCUCGGCUUUGCUGUUCAUCAAAGCACUUGGAGAGACCAAAAUCAACAAUUUUUGGCUCCAUAUUGUCAUCCAGCAGUAUAUUAGCUGGUUUGAGAUCUAAGUGAACAAUACGCUCACCAUGAAGGUAAUGUAAGCCAUCACAAAUUCCCUUGAUUAUUUGGUAGCGCUUUUUCCACUCAAGACCACCAGAUGCGUCUGUAGAGGCAAACAAAUAAAGAGUGUUUACACCCUUGUGUCCUUAAUGAUAUAUGUUCGCUAGUUUAGCACAAAGGUAGAUACUUUGUAUAAUAUAUUGUCCUUUGCAGUAUUGAAUCUGGAAAGAUAUAUGAUUUUUUAAUCAAUCCCACCACAUGAUCCUACCGGUUAUAAAUUCAUGAAGACUCCCUUUAGGAAGAUACUCAAAGCAGAGCAACCUCUGUCGUACAUCUGCCAUGACAAACUUGCCACCAUAGUCACACAUUUUCCCCUGCGUAUCUGCACAAUAUCCAAGAAAUCGAACUAUAUUUUUGUGCUUCACUCUCAUCAAACAACCAACCUCUUGGUUGUAUUUCUUUUCAUCCAUAUCAAGCGUGUUCUUCAGCUUCUUAACAGCAACCAUCUUACCAUUUCCAAGCAGUCCCUGCAGUCAAAAGUCACACCAUUGCGUUCAUCGCACGAACACUAUUUUUUAAACUAAAAAAUCAACUGCAAUUAGGAUGGGGAGUUGAGGAUCAUUCACCUUGUAAACCACCGCAAACCCACCACUACCAAUUUGCAGAUCAUCAGAGAAAUCAUUUGUGAUUGCCUUUAGAAGUGGUAAAGGAAGAUCUGUUGGCUCUGUGUUUCUAUUAAGUAGCAUGUGCUCCAAGAUAUUGUGGGUACUAGCUUCAGAGUCCAUUUUCAAUUACAAAUAACUAUAGCCUUCAAAGUUCAAAUAAGAUAUAGGAAUAAAUUUUAAUGAAACCUGGAAAGAGAACUGCACAGCUAUGAAAAGGAAUUUUGGAACUGAUCUUGGGUGACAUGUAACCAAAAUAUGAGAAUAGGGAGAAAUGAUUCUUUAAUUUGGAGCCUGAACUAUAGAAAACAAUCCCAAAUUUAUCAUAUAAAUGUAGCUUCCUUGACACCUCUAGGUCUAUCCCUCUUUCUAGCCACCCAACACUUUUGGCUAUUAUUUAUCUGACAGGUAUGGGUGCCAUUUCAUUAACUUCACUAUUCGAUCACAAAGAAUAUAUGCUUUCACAUACAUGUUCCCAACUCAAGAAAGACAAUAUUGUUUACCAUGAGAAUAUGCAAUCUGUUAGAUUCUUUGGAUUCAUGAAAACUAUUAAAUGAAAAUACUAGUGUUAAACACAUGCAGGAGCAAUGAAAUGAGUACCUGCUGAAGACAUGCUGCCUGUAGCCCUUUUGGUGGUUAAGGAAACUGAACUAUCAACGAUGCAUUAAAACCCUGAAUCAAAUCAUGGUGAGAAAAUAGUUAAAAACCUGCAGGUACAACUGAAUAUAGGUGAACUGCCAAGCAAUUUAUAAGUAGAAACCAUGACCAACGAAAAUUCAAUGAGUUUGCUGCAGGAAAACAUGUGCUAUCUUGCAAGAAAAUAAUGGUUUCUGGAUUAUGUAAGUCCCUGCUGAAGCUCAGAAACAUGUAAUCUUGGAACGAAAAGAAAAUGUCUAAAGCACAAGCUUCACCCGCUCAACUUCAGCAGUAAAUUCAGUACACUGGAGCAGACCAAACCAGAACGACUUGCACUAGAAUGUUUAAGUUUAUGAAUCAAAUCAAUCAAAGUUCAGUAGAUAAGACGCACCUGUUUGCAACGGGAGGGACAAGAUGGGGACGAAAGACAUGGCUUGAGCUGCAUACGUAUAUGCAUCAAUACCAGAUCUGAAGUCUUCGCCUCUUUUCGUCUUCAUUUCUUUGACCUGAGAGCCUUAACAAAGUCCACACGCUUGGGGGCGCACAUACCACACUCCGCCACAAUUUUUAAUAUAUGUUCUCGUUUCAACAUUUGCUUCUAUACAGACAAGAAUACAAAAUACAUCACUAUCAUUUGGUUUCCUUUCAUCAGAUAGCAAUGUCAGCACUCGCCCAUCCCUCUAUUUCCUAGAAUAAAAUUUAUACAUCUACAAUCUUGCUACCAUCACCAUGUGAACUGGUUGAUACUCCUCCGUUCUUAAAUAUAUAACACCAUUGACUUUUUACUCCAAUUUUUACCACCAAUAUCUAUUGAACGAGUUAGUUAAAUAUACGACGCCGUUAACUUUUUACUCCAACUUUUACCACCAAUAUCUAAAAUACCAUUGACUUUUUACUCCAACUUUACCACCAAUAUCUAUUGAACGAGUUAGUUGAAUAUACGACGCCGUUAACUUUUUACUCCAACUUUUACCAUCAAUAUCUAUAGAUAUUGAACGAGUUAUUGAACGAGUUAGUUAGUUAAAGUAAAAUAUAUAUCAUUAUGUCUAUUGUCAAAUGUACUUUAAAUUUAAAUUUAAUUUAUACGUUUAUCUAUUUGCAAAAAUACUUUUAGAAAAAACGAAUAGUCAAACGGAUGAAAAAAAAUCAACGGCGUCGUAUAAAUUAAAUAGAGGCGGUAGAUAAGAAGCCACUUGGGUUUUUGACCUCUACUAUAUACAGCUGAAGGCUCGGAGAAAUGUUUUGAAAUUGAAACACCUUUAAUAUUUCUCCGCCGCCAGUUCGGCAAUCGGCAGUCCGCCUCCAGCACCCCGCGAACGGCCGCUAACCUAUGGUCGCCAUCGCCAUCCGCUUUUCCGCGCUGUGGAGCAGUACGGCGGAGCUGCGAGCCGGAGAGGGCCUUGGCGCAGGAUCCACCUCCGCGCCGCCAAAAUCGAGCUCAAUCCCCCACCCAACUGCCAAAUCGACAGGGUCGCCACGAAAUCAAACUCCAAUGCCCGGAAAUCGAGCUUCCGGCCACAGGAGCGGACGCCUGGACGCCCAUCCAGAUCCAGCAAUGCGGGUGCAGCUUCAAAUAACGGCAGCAGUAGAGGGAGGUAGGGAGGUCCUCUGGUGCGUGGAUUGAUUUCUAUCUUUGGAGGUACCUGACUCCUCGCUUGUAGGGAAGGAAGGAUUCUGUUGUUCGUUUGUGCUUCAAUUGAUUUUUUUUUUCCUAAGGGAAACAAGAGGAAAAAAAAAAGAAAGGGUGAAAACGAGGAAAGUGGGCUUCCCUUUUCAGUACGGCCCAACACAAGAAGAUGUGGAGCCCAUGAUUGCACAACUACCAAAUAAUUGUUGUCUAUUAAUCGUGUGCGCGCAAGGAAUUCCACCCAACAAACGAUGCCGCACAUCCUGCGCUGCAUCCGUUGAAAUUUCCUUUUCACUCGACAUAGAGGGGCUCAUGCUGUCACCAAAUUCGCUGAUGCCGAUCCGUCUGGAGCUUAUCCCUUCCGCCCUCUAUCUACAGUAGCAUCUCUAAAUCCCGUCGCUUCCAGCCCCUCUCCUCUCUCCCUUCGGCGGCUCGUCAGCGGCGAGAGGGAGGUGGGCCGCCCACUGCCUUCCUUUAUAGAUGUAUAUUAAGCUCGUUCGGCUGGCUGCUUUGCAGCUGGCUUCUGCUGCUCGGAUGGACUUUUUCUGAAGCUUGUGUGUGCUCGGAUGGACUUUUUGCGUUUCUUCCCCACCACCGCCGCCGCCGUUGGGCUUCUGCUCGUCGUCGGCAACAUGGUUGGCCAGGUGAAGCCGAUGCCAUCAGUAUAAAACUAACACUAUCUAGAUCUGUACUAAAACUAGGGGAUAUAAACACGGGAUACCGAACCGUGGUUCCUCCCCUCCCCCUCCUGCACCGGAGGGGCAACCGGAGGCAGGAGGAGGGAACCAGCGACAGCGGCGCCGGGAUGGUGACCGCCUCUGUAUUCGCCGGUCUUGACUGAAUGACUUUAGCAGAGGACUCGGGAAGACGCUGGAACUCUCGCAACGACGCAUGUAGGAAGAAGGGUCACUCCUGUCACCUGGGCUUGGGCUGGUGACAUUUUGCCACGUCCUUUUGUAGAUCCAACAAGAGGAGCCCUGGGAAUAUAUAUGAUUGUUAACUGCUCCCUAACUAGCUUUCUGAUGGAGAAAAUAUGUAUGUUUAAACCAUGCCCAAGAACAGAGCAACAAGUAGGCCCUAUCAUUAUGCCACCACGGACAAUCCAUCCGCAGCAGCAAGCCCGGUCAGAGUUGCUGAGAUCAAAUCCCCUACCUGCUUAGUCAUCUCCAUUAACAGCGGCAGGGCACUGAACCACGAGCAGCAAGAUCAUUUCAACCAAUUCAUGCAGCUGUGUUAAGUUUGAGAUCAUCCUACUCAUCGCUUUUAGCCAGUAAUUAACCGGCUGCAACGGAGAGGGGGUCCUCCGGUACAUUCGUUCGACUGGUGAAAGCCUUAACACUGACCGUGAUGGCUAUUGCCCGAAAUAUCUCCGGCUUGCCUACAGCGCCUACAGCUACAGCUUGUUCGUUGGUGCGCCGUGGACCACACGCACUCCCGAGCGGACCCACGGCUGUAAUCUUUCUCUUUUAGCCAAAUGAUACGGAACGAAGAAUAGAUUAAUAAUAAAAAACAAGGAAUGGAAUAAAGUGGCAAGGAGCAUCAAGGAACGGCUGGUUCACUGCAUUAUUGAGUUGCAUCUCACUGCAGCCCUCCUCACACUGGUACGGUGAGCUCCGGCUGCAGCUGCAAGACGACUAGCAGGUGCGUACUUGCUUCUCUGAAUUCCCGCUUAAUUGAAAGACAAGGCUGAACUCUGAAUUCCUUUCUCUGGGUAUACAUAUGAUCCUCCACAACUGCUUCAGUUUAUUUCUUUUUUGUGAACGUCCUGUGAGGCUGUGAGAUCUAUCAAAUCGGUUUGGCAACUUUCAUCGCAGAGAGAUCUGCUUCUACUGCCAUGGCAUCCCCAACAUCCAGUAUGGUUUCAUCACAAAACUCUACUACUUUUGCAUCUAUUGGUAAUUGGUUUCGUGUUUCUUUCUAAUUUCGUUCUUUCUUUUUUUUUCAAAAGAUUGAUUUGAUAGGAAGUGGUAGGAAACGAAUUGAAGAGAAGGUUUUCUUGGUAGUACCUGUACAAGGCUGCUAGUCUUGAUGUAGAAGAAUAACGCCAUGAAGGGUUGGACAGAUGACCAUCCAAGGAAGCUACAAUACUCACUAGUUAAAGAGAUUACAAAUAAUUUUGCAGAUGAACUUGGACGCGGUACAUUUGGACGUGUGUUUAAGGUACCCCUAUUAAAUUAAAAAUCUCCUUUGUAAUGUUCGUUGUAAAACAUACGAUGUUUUUAAAUUUAUUUACAUUCAUAAUCUCUGACCUCCUUCUAUCUCUUACAGUGAUUGUGGGUAAACCUUUAAACUAAAUAUCUCUUCUUGCCAAGCUAACAUUUGAACCAGGGUCAUGGUAUAAUUAAAAGUGUAGUUUAUAAUCCAAAGCUCUAUUUGUUGCAUAGGUGUCCUUUGAGCCAUGGGAAUGUCUCCAGAAAAACAUAUGUGGAAAAUAUAUCAAAGAUGGUUUCUGUUUCUAGACCUUAUCAUUAGCAGUUUUAAAUAAAAGAACAAUUUGCAAUGAGCUCAUAUCACAGAAAGUAUUACAAAAUAUAUCGCAAAUGGUUUUUAUGUCUAAACCUUGCCACAGAUACUUAGUUUUGAAAGCAAAACAGUCAUUGGUGGCCUUGAGACUAUCUGUAGUAGUGAAUGUUGGAUGAUAUUGUUGUUUAUUGUCUUAACAUCGGUUAUAUGAGGAUGUGUGCAAAAGGAACCGAGCUAAUCGUAUUCAUUUUCAUUUAUAAUUCUCUGUUACUAUAUAUCAGCAUAGAAAAAACAAAAUUAUUAUGUGUAAUUAAAGAAGGUGUUUAAUAGGGGCUGCUUGAUGAUGGAGAAGAGGUUGCUGUGAAGCUGCUUCGUUAUUUCACGCCUGAGAUCAGUGACCAGCAGUUCCAAAAUGAAUUUGGAAACCUUAAGAAGCUCAAGCAUCCUAAUAUUGUACAAUUGUUGGGGUUCUGCGAUGAACCUGAGGAAGAAAUUAUUGAGCACAAAGGAAAAUUAAUACUUUGCUAUAGGAUACGCAGGGCACUAUGUCUUGAGUAUGUGCCCAAUGGAAGCCUUCGCAAGUUUCUUUCAGGUAAGGUGCUCAUGUGUUAUUGCGUAAUAUUAUUUCGGACAUUAAAAAUAUUCUUUGCAUUAUGUAUAUUGAGAAUAUUAUGUUUGUUCUUGUAGGUGGAUGUCUUAGCAAGAAUUGGCCCAUACGCUACAAAAUAAUUAAGGGAAUCUGUGAGGGUCUACAGUACCUUCACAAGAUUCCCAUUUUCCAUCUUGACUUAAAACCUGAUAAUAUACUGCUAGAUGAGAAGAUGUUGCCAAAAAUCACCGAUUUUGGUUUAUCUAGGCUCAUCGGUGAAGGGAACACCAAAAGGACAAUGACGCCUCUAGGGACACUGUAAGAUUAUUGUCUCCUGUGAACUUUUGAUCUGCUAAAUUGUAGUUAUUCCUUAGUCUCACUUUGCUAUGUCAUUUAUGUUCUGCUGCAGUGGAUACUUGCCUCCAGAGUUCAUUAACAAUCAAAUAAUCUCCAGGGAAUAUGACAUAUAUAGUUUAGGUGUUAUAAUUAUGCAGAUAAUCACUGGAGUUACAGGCUUCUCUGAUUUUGCUGACAUGGAGCCCCAAGAAUUUAUUGAACAUGUAAGAAUAAUUUAAUUAAUCUUAAUUUAUAAGCCUCUUAUAUACUAGAACAUGUUCGAAUAAUUUAAAUAAUCUUAAGCGGGUUACAUAUAAUGGAUGGAUUGAGCCUAUCGACCAGUAUAUAUUAGGUAAAAUAUUUAGGGGGCGAGGCUCCCCCGGAUACAUAUGGCAGUCUACGAUAUGUAUAUCUACAAGUACCAAAUAUACUCUAACAUCCCUCCGCAGUCACAGCGGGAGUAGUGCAGACGGUGAGACUGGAGAAGAAGCCGGAGGUAGAAGCCUGUAACGCCCGCAGAAAUCACUAUCUAAAAUCACCCGUUAAAAAACCAUCUUUAAAAUCUUUUUACCGCUGAGCUCCCGGAAAUCGGAAAUCUUCCCGGUGUUUUCGCGGUCCCGGUACCCAUGCCAGCCCCCACCUAUCUUUUUCCGUGCCCGUGAAUCUCGCCGCGUGCCGUUGUCAGACGCCGUGCGCGUGCCCCGACCACGUGCCGCGAACGCCGCCGGUCUCUUCCUUUUUCCUUCUCUUUUUUUCCCCUUUUCUCCUUUUCUUUUUCCUUCUUCUUUCUUUCUCUUUCUUCUUUCUUCUUCCUUCCUCUCUCUCUCCUCCUCUUUCUUCUUCCUGGCACCGGGCGCCACCCCCCCCCCGGCGCCACACCUCCUGGCCGGCCAACGCCAUCUACUCCGGCGCCCCCAUCCCUGGCGCCAUACUGCCCCGUCGCCCGGACCCGCGCCGCCCGCCUGGGGUCCCGCCGGUCACCUCUGCCCGUCACCGGCCCCCUCGCUCGGCUCGGUCCCGCCAGUCACCUCGGCCCUCCCGGCCCUGCCGGCGCGCCUGGCGCCACGCCACCCGGCCGCCUUGGGCCCGCGCCCGGGGCACGUGCCGCCACCCGGCGCCGACUCCCCGGCCGGCCUACCCGGCCCCUACCCCGCCGUACGCCGCCGCCACUCCGCCCGGCGCCUGGCGCCACGCCGCGUCCCGGCCCCGCACGCCACCGCCGGCGCCCUCCCCGCCGCCUAUAAAAGCCGCCCGGCCCUCCCCACUCUCCACCCACCAACACCACCACUCCCCGUCUCCCCUGCCUCCGCCACCCGAGCCGCCGCCGCCGCCGCCGAAACCCACCACCGGCCGCACCCCCUUCCCUACCCAAAUCCCCGAGGUGAGUAGCAAAAUGGGGCCUCCCCGGACCCCUCCACCUUCUCCCGCCGCCUCCCCUCGCCGCCGCCGCCCCCAGGCCCGGCCGUGCCCCUCCCUCUCUCCCCCUGUGUACUGUGCGCACCAAAGGAAGAAGAAACCCAAAAUUCCGAUCUAACCCCCUGAAAUCCACUAUUCGCGAAAUAGUCCUUCCACCACUCUUGUAGCAGUUUCACAAAUAAGCCCCUCCACCCCCAAAAGUAAUUACACAUAGGUCCCUGGUUUAUUAUAACUCAGCCCUAAGCCUCCGUUUAAGCCCCUAAUCCAUGUUUAACCCGUCAUUUCAUGCGCCAAACUUCCUCCAAUUAAUCCCAAAUUUUACCACGUCAUCCUCUGGAAUACUUUCGCCGAUCUAUAUCCAAAUUUCCCAGAAAUAAUCCUUCUACCUAUUUUCCAUUCGCGUUUCCUGUUCGGAGCUCACGGUUAAAAAUCGUUUCCUUUUUUAUUUAUUUGUGUGUCUACUUGUGUGUGCCGUAGAUCGCGGAUUGACCGAGGAGGAGCCCGAGGAAGAGUUUGACCGUGAGCCCGAGCCCGAGGACCAGUACCGCGAGCCGGAACUCCCGGAAGGCUUUGAAGAUGGCAAGUCCAAUCUCACCCUUUGAUGCAUACUUAAUACCUAGUUUUUCAAACACAACCUAUUGGCCUGUUUUACAAAAAUGCAUAUUAUUUUAUCGCAAGACAUGGUUGGAUAGCCACCCCUUGAUUGUUAUGAACAUUCCUUGUUGUCCUAUGCCUAUCUCUAAAUAUGACUCGCUCUGUUUAGAUGAUAGCCACUGCUAGAACGCUUAGGAAAUUGUGACUCAACUGCAAUCAUUAUUACAAUAAGUGUAUUCGGAAAAUAAGUGUGUGUGUGUGUCCACGCAAGAGAAAUGGCUUUUGGGGUUGGGGGAAAAGGAUGUGUAGACGGGAUGGAUGGGUGUUCCUCGUGUGGGAUGCCAUGUUGUUGUGCUCGUACCUUGGUGGUUGAGCAAUGUCGGGAGAUAUCCAUCCUGUCGUAAUUAAGGACCGAGUUGAUGUGUCAUCUUGCCUAAUUCCACUAUCGUGCAACCACUCGACCGUUGUAUGGGCAACGCCUUAGCAUAAAUCCCACUAGCUGGAUGGUUAGUCCUCAGGGGUGCUGGUGAGCAACGGAAACCCAUGGAAAAGGAGUAAGAUCUUGGUGACUUAGGUCCCGGUUACGGUCUCAUGGACGAGCCGUGAACCCCUUGGGUGUUUUCCGUGAGGGCUAGCCAGCCUUAGCUAAGGUGGGUAAUGGCUUUGUUAGGAUCCGUACCGUCACUAAGGUGAUCGUGCUGCGGUACCCUACUUGUGGGAAAAGUGUACACCCUCUACAGAGUUAAAACCUAUCCGGGUAGCCGUGUCCACGGCAUUGGACGAGUUACGGCUUGGUCACAUAACUAGCAAUUGGGCAAGAAUGUCAUGUGUGUGUGUGUGUGUGUGUGUGGGAUUUUGGAAGAGUCCGGCAGUUGUGCCGUGCGCUAUGACGGACGGGGAGUCCGAUAGCGAUAAAAACUUGGAUCCUUUGUGUAGGAUCAACCCCACUCAAUGUCUCGAGUAUUAAAGGAAAACCUUACAAAAACCCUUUCAAAACGAUCCCCUGCAUGUGUUAAAAUUUAGCUUUUCCGCAAAUAAACUCUAGCCUAUCCUUGUCAUACUUGUGCAUAAACUUGCUUGUAUCCCCUCCGUGGAUGGGGUUGGACUUGUUGAGUACGUUAGUAAUCACCCUUGCUUCAUUACUACAGAGGAAGACCCCGAUUUCGUCGCAGAGGACCUCGAGUAGAGGUUGUGUCCGCACCCGACGCUGCCUGUGGUGUUGUCUUGCCCAAGAUGCUGCUGCUGCCGUGUAGUCCCGAGUGCUGUCUUUUGGCAGUCGCUUGGUUAGCCGCCGUUAUUUAUUUACUGUUUAUCGCUGCGUGGCUUUCACGUCCACUCCCUCGGGAGUUGUACGGUAACUGAAUUAUCUGUCGAAUAAAUAUGUUAUCAGCCUCCUGGGACUGAUAUUUGUAUCACAUUUAGUCUCUACUUAUGUGGGGACGCUUCAGGUGGUAUCAGAGCCGUCGUUGGCUGUAGGACGCGACCUUAGGACCGGAUUAGCCCUUUUUGACCAAAACAAAAGAAUUACAAAAUUUCUUCCUACCUUUGCUCUAUUGUAAAACUAAUUUGUGCCCCGGAUCUUUUCCAGAUGGCCGAGGAAGGAUGGGUCAACAGCCACUGCCUGGAAGAGCCUGGUUUUCCCAGAUUGCUGUUCGCCUGCAUGGACCGCCUCGGGAUUUAUGAGCGUCCGGAGUACACCAGCAGGGAGUACGAGGACCGCGGGACCCCUCGAUGUGAGAUGAUCAUCUACAUCGGGCGGAGUAGCCACUAUCCGGAUAUCCAGCCAUGGAACGUGACUGCCACCGGCUUCCGGCACAAGGAUACCUAUCAAGUGGCAGCCCGGAAGGCCCUCCGUUUCCUGUGUCAGAUCUAUGAGAGGCACAUUGGCCGCACUCCGAUGAGGUUCUACCCGCCUGUCAAGAAAAACCGCCCGGUUUGGCUGGCCCGGGUACGGACCUUGGAAGGACGUGGACAGCGCGAGGAUGACCCCACUGUGCUGCACAUGGCUGCCUACCUUCUCACCUUGGAUGAACUCUACGACGAGCAGGCUGCUAAGUUGAAGCAGCAGACCCGUAGGGCCGAGGACGCAGAGGUUAUGGUGAGGAGGCUUCAGGUGAAGUUAGCCGCUGCCGAAGCCCGAGCCGCAGCCGCUCAAAGCAACGAGGCCAUUGCCGUUGAGGCUCUCAAGGAGGCUGAGGAUCGGCACACCAAGGAGCUGAAGGAUGCCCACCUCACUGUUCGUGCCAGAAGAAGGAUGGUGGCCAUCGAGGACGACGAGGCUCCGAUCCUUGAAGGGAUUCCCAUUCUUCCAGGGCCCAGUAAGCGGAAAAGUCCGGACGCCACCCCGGCACCACCACCUUCGGAAAGGAACUCCGAGGUGUCGGAUGGAGUGGUUCCCGAGACCCCUCCCACGGGCGGGACUCUGAAGGAUGAAGUGCUGGCCCUUCUCCUCCCAUUGGAGGAUCACUCAGUCCAAGGAGAAGACUCGCCCCGCGAGUAGUGUGCCCAGCCAGGAUUGCCCAAGGAAUGAAGCCGUCAUGGUCCGUAGUUUAGAGUUGUACCCCCCAGUUGUGUUGCUGUAACCGGUCGUGUAGUGCGUGUUUUGGCCUUACCCCCAGCAGUGUUGUACCCCCGUGGCAGAAUAAAUAAAAUCGUUUGUGUUUGUUGCUUGUUAGUCUGUGUGUUUGUCGACAGAGGUGGAUUCUGUCUCUUCGAAAAUACGAAAUAACCACUUUAAAGAUCACUAAAAUCCAAAUCAUACUCUCAUAAAAAGGUCUCACUCAAUCUGCAGAUGCCGCCCAAGCGUGCCACCAGGACUUCCCCCAGUCAGGCCCAUGCCUCCCCCAGUGCAGAGAGGCAGCCAGAAAGGCAGGAGCCGCCCCCGGCAGUACUCCCUGAGGAGCAGGAAGUAAGCCAGCCAGAAGGAAGGGGAGAAAGCCAAGUGGGAACGCAGCAAUCACCGCCCCCACCGGUUAUCGAUCUGGUUCAAGUGAUGAACAACCAGACCCUUCUGCUGGAAGCUCUGGCCAACGCCGUUACUCGCCAGAGGCCCCGCGGGCAGAACAUGAAUGAGAAGUUGACGGACUUCCUCCGGACCAAGCCACCCACUUUUGGCGGGUCUGUCAACCCUCUGGACGCAGAUGACUGGCUACGCGUCAUCCAGAGGAAGCUGGAGCCCUUUGGUUGUGAGGGCAGGGACAAAAUUCUCUUAGCUGCCCACCAGCUCACUGGGACUGCCCUAGCUUGGUGGGAGAACUACUGCUCUGCCGCCCAGGAUGCCUCCACUAUCACCUGGGAUGAGUUCGUGACGGAAUUCCGUCGCUACCACAUUCCCGCCGCCACCAUGAAGCGCAAGGCGGAUGAGUUCCGUGAGCUCCGCCAGGGCAACCGAUCUGUGGAGGAGUACACCUUCCAGUUCAUGGAGCUGGCUCAUUAUGCUCCAGAGGAGGUGGACAAGGAUGAGAAGAAGCAGGACAUGUUCAAGAAAGGCUUGAACGCGGAGCUGAGGACCCUGCUCACUCCCCAGAUCUACCCCGACUUCAACACCUUGAUGAACAUGGCCAUCUUGACCGAGAGGGCUAAGGCAGAAGAGUGGAGGGACAACAAGCGUCGGUUCCUGGAAAACAAGGCGCACCAGCAGGACCGAUUCCAGAAGCCAAGGAGCUUCGGUCACCCCUUGCCCAGAUCCCAAGCUCCCAUGCAUUAUCGGACCCAGUCCCAAGCAUCUGGUUCGCAUCAGACUGCUGCCCCAUUCAGGAGCCAGAACUCUAUCAAGGCCCCACAGAGCAGCGCCAGCCAGGUCACCAGCAAUGGUAGAGCAUGCUUCAACUGCAGAGAGCCAGGACAUUUCAUCGCCAACUGCCCCUAUGCCAACAAGCCAGCAGCAUCAGCCUUGUCCAACUCAGUAGCUGGACCCAGGGCCGCCCUGUCAGGAGCCAACCGUGUGCCAGUUCGCAGCAGCGGCAACCCCAGCAACAACAACAGCCAGCAGAUGAGGCCGCCCCAGCAGUCAUUCGGACGAGCCCGUGUCAACCACAUCGGCGCGCAGGAGGCUCGCGAAGCUCAAGGCGUGGUGCUCGGUGAGUUCCUAGUCAGCUCAGUCUUGGCAACAGUACUUUUUGAUUCUGGAGCAUCACAUUCCUUCAUAUCCUCAAGUUUUGUGGAAAAACAUCAUAUACCUACAGUACUACUAAAGUUACCCCUAUUAACCCGGACUCCUGGAGCCGACAUUCAGUGUCGACUAGGCUAUUCUCGGGUAAGGAUCAAUUUAAGUGGGGUAGAAUUUCUAGCAGAUCUAGUAGUACUUAAGUCUAAGAGGAUAGAUGUGAUUCUUGGAAUGGACUGGCUGAGCCUACAUGACGGUCAUAUAGGGUGUGCCGAUAAGGUAGUGCACCUGACCAAUCGAGAUGGUGUGCAAGUGACCUGUCACACUAAGGGAAGUGGUCCAGACCCCAUGGUGUUCAGCAUGGAGACCAAGACCUUAGAAGGAGUCCCAGUAGUGAGUGAGUACCCGGACGUCUUUCCUGAAGAACUACCUGGAAUGCCCCCUGACAGGGACAUAGAGUUCUUAAUUGACCUCGUCCCCGGAACCUCCCCUAUAGCUAAGAGACCCUAUAGAAUGGCAGCCUCAGAGUUAGCCGAGCUGAAGAAACAGUUGGGAGAGUUGCAACAGAGUGGCUUCAUCAGGCCCAGCUCAUCCCCGUGGGGAGCCCCCGUGCUUUUUGUCAAAAAGAAAGACGGGAGUAUGAGGAUGUGCGUGGAUUAUCGCGCAUUAAAUGAGGUCACCAUUAAGAAUAAGUACCCUCUCCCCAGAAUAGAUGACCUGUUCGACCAACUGAAGGGAGCCAAGUAUUUCUCCAAGAUAGAUCUGAGAUCGGGGUAUCAUCAGCUCAAGAUCAAGGAGAGCGACAUCCCGAAGACCGCCUUUGUCACCCGUUAUGGUCAAUUUGAGUUUACAGUGAUGUCCUUUGGAUUGACCAAUGCACCGGCUUAUUUCAUGAACCUCAUGAACAAGGUGUUUAUGGAUGAGUUAGAUAAAUUUGUCGUAGUCUUUAUUGACGACAUACUUAUCUACUCCAAGAGUGUUCAGGAGCAUGAACACCACUUACGGGUGGUCUUGGAAAAACUGAGAGCCCACCGACUCUAUGCUAAAUUCAGCAAGUGUGAAUUUUGGCUUGAGAAGGUGGCAUUCCUUGGUCAUAUCUUGACCGCGGAAGGAGUAGCAGUUGAUCCUGAGAAGGUGGAAGCCGUCUCCAACUGGCAACAGCCCACUAAUGUUAGUGAAAUCAGGAGUUUCCUGGGUUUAGCAGGGUAUUAUCGGAGGUUUAUUGAGGGAUUCUCCAAGAUAGCCCGUCCCAUGACAGAGUUGCUCAGAAAGGACAAGAAGUUCACCUGGACCGAGUCAUGUGAACGGAGUUUCCGAGAGAUGAAGAAGAGAUUGACAACAGCCCCAGUGCUAACCCUGCCAGACAUCCAGCGAGACUUCAUCAUCUACUGCGAUGCAUCCCGACAAGGAUUAGGGUGUGUCCUCAUGUAGGAUGGGAAGGUUGUGGCCUAUGCUUCCCGACAACUUAAGCCCCAUGAGCAGAACUACCCAACCCAUGACUUAGAAUUUGCAACCGUAGUGCAUGCCCUCAAGAUCUGGAGACAUUAUCUGAUUGGGAAUAAGUGUGAAAUCUACACCGACCAUAAAAGCCUAAAGUACAUCUUUACCCAACCCGAUCUGAAUUUAAGGCAGAGGAGGUGGCUAGAGCUGGUAAAGGACUACAACCUAGAAAUCCAUUACCACCCCGGCAAAGCUAAUGUUGUAGCUGAUGCCCUGAGCAAAAAGUCCUAUGGACAGCCCGGACCCGAGAAUGCCCGUCUACGAGAGGAAGUGGCCCGGUUGAAUGUGCAUAUCAUCCCCCAGAAUGCUAGCCGUAGGCUAAGUGUCCAGCCCACCUUGGAGGAUAAAAUCCGAGAAGCCCAGGGUUCAGACCAAGACUUAGCAAAAAUCCGCAAGCAAACCGGAGAAAAUAAAGCCCCGGAUUUCAGGGUAGAUGACAAAGAAACCUUGUGGUAUAAGAACAGAAUUUGUGUCCCCAAGGACGGAGAAUUCCGGCAGAUCAUCAUGGAUGAAGCCCAUAACUCAGCAUACUCCAUUCACCCCGGAUCCACAAAGAUGUACAUGGACCUAAAGCAGAAAUACUGGUGGAAUGGAAUGAAGGCAGACAUAGCUCAGUUCGUCGCCCGUUGUGACACCUGCCAAAGGGUCAAAGCCGAACACCAGAAGCCAGCCGGCUUGCUGCAACCUUUGACUAUCCCGGUUUGGAAGUGGGAUGAGAUCGGCAUGGAUUUUGUAGUAGGCUUGCGCAGAACUCAGAAGGGAAAUGACUCCAUAUGGGUAAUAGUGGACCGACUCACCAAGGUUGCUCACUAUCUGCCCGCACGGACCACAUACGGUGGAGAAAAACUGGCUCGACUCUACGUCGACAACAUAGUGAAGCUGCAUGGUGUGCCCAGCCGGAUCGUCUCAGAUAGAGGAACUCAGUUCACCUCUAGGUUUUGGAGGAGCUUACACAAAGCCAUGGGCACCAAACUGGAUUUUAGUUCAGCUUAUCACCCCCAGACCGAUGGCCAAACAGAGCGGGUAAAUCAAAUCAUGGAAGAUAUGUGGAGGGCGUGUGUCCUCACCUAUGGGAAGGAUUGGGAACAAAGUCUACCCUAUGCAGAAUGCUCAUACAACAAUAGUUACCAAGCCAGUCUAGGCAUGUCACCAUUUGAGGCUCUUUAUGGUAGAAAGUGUCAGACCCCUUUGAUGUGGUCAGAAGUCGGAGAACGUUCCCUGGUCGGACCAGCUUUUAUCAAGGAAGCAGAAGACCGUGUAGCAGAAAUCCGAGAGAAGCUGAAGGCUGCCCAGUCCAGACAGAAGAGCUACUCGGACAAGAGAAGACGGGAAUUGUGCUUCAAUGAGGGAGAUUUUGUCUACCUCAAGGUAUCCCCGAUUCGGGGUACUCGAAGAUUUCAAGUGCAAGGAAAGCUAGCCCCUCGGUAUAUCGGACCAUACCAGGUGUUAAAGAGAGUUGGAGCCGUAGCGUACCGUAUCCAACUGCCCGAAGAAAUGUCGGAUAUCCACCCGGUAUUUCAUGUUUCCCAGCUAAGAAGUGCCUGAGAGUACCGGAGGAACAAGUGCUAGUGGAAACAAUAGACCUACAAAAGGACCUUCGGUAUCAAGAAGUGCCUGUCAAGAUUUUGGACACUGUCACCAGAAGGACAAGAAAUACGACAGUUCGGAUAUGCAGAGUACAAUGGAGCAGGCAUGGCGAAGAAGAAGCCACGUGGGAACGCGAAGACGCGUUAAAGAAGGAAUUUCCCCAUCUCUUCAGGACUCAGUCGAAUCUCGAGGACGAGAUUCAAUUUAAGUGGGGUAGGUUUGUAACGCCCGCAGAAAUCACUAACUAAAAUCACCCGUUAAAAAACCGUCUUUAAAAUCUUUUUACCGCUGAGCUCCCGGAAAUCGGAAAUCUCCCCGGUGUUUUCGCCGUCCCGGUACCCAUGCCGGCCCCCACCUAUCUUUUUCCGUGCCCGUGAAUCUCGCCGCAUGCCGUUGUCAGACGCCGUGCGCGUGCCCCGACCGCGUGCCGCGAACGCCGCCGGUCUCUUCCUUUUUCCUUCUCUUUUUUCCCCCUUUUCUCCUUUUCUUUUUCCUUCUUCUUUCUUUCUCUUUCUUCUUUCUUCUUCCUUCCUCUCUCUCUCUCCUCCUCUUUCUUCUUCCUGGCACUCGGCGCCACCCCCCCUGGCGCCACACCUCCUGGCCGGCCAACGCCAUUUACUCCGGCGCCCCCAUCCCUGGCGCCAUACUGCCCCGUCGCCCGGACCCGCGCCGCCCGCCUGGGGUCCCGCCGGUCACCUCCGCCCGUCACCGGCCCCCUCGCUCAGCUCGGUCCCGCCAGUCACCUCGGCCCUGCCGGCGCGCCUGGCGCCACGCCGCCCGGCCGCCUUGGGCCUGCGCCCGGGGCACGUGCCGCCACCCGAGCCGCCGCCGCCGCCGCCGAAACCCACCACCGGCCGCACCCCCUUCCCUACCCAAAUCCCCGAGGUGAGUAGCAAAAUGGGGCCUCCCCGGACCCCUCCACCUUCUCCCGCCGCCUCCCCUCGCCGCCGGCGACCCUAGGCCGCCGCCCCCAGGCCCGGCCGUGCCCCUCCCUCUGUCCCCCUGUGUACUAUGCGCACCAAAGGAAGAAGAAACCCAAAAUUCCGAUCUAACCCCCUGAAAUCCACUAUUCGCGAAAUAGUCCUUCCACCACUCUUGUAGCAGUUUCACAAAUAAGCCCCUCCACCCCCAAAAGUAAUUACACAUAGGUCCCUGGUUUAUUAUAACUCAGCCCUAAGCCUCCGUUUAAGCCCCUAAUCCAUGUUUAACCCGUCAUUUCAUGCACCAAACUUCCUCCAAUUAAUCCCAAAUUUUACCACGUCAUCCUCUGGAAUACUUUCACCGAUCUAUAUCCAAAUUUCCCAGAAAUAAUCCUUCUACCUAUUUUCCGUUCGCGUUUCCUGUUCGGAGCUCACGGUUAAAAAUCGUUUCCUCUUUUAUUUAUUUGUGUGUCUAAUUGUGUGUGCCGUAGAUCGCGGAUUGACCGAGGAGGAGCCCGAGGAAGAGUUUGACCGCGAGCCCGAGCCCGAGGACCAGUACCGCGAGCCGGAACUCCCGGAAGGCUUUGAAGACGGCAAGUCCAAUCUCACCCUUUGAUGCAUACUUAAUACCUAGUUUUUCAAACACAACCUAUUGGCCUGUUUUACAAAAUGCAUAUUAUUUUAUCACAAGACAUGGUUGGAUAGCCACCCCUUGAUUGUUAUGAACAUUCCUUGUUGUCCUAUGCCUAUCUCUAAAUAUGACUCGCUCUGUUUAGAUGAUAGCCACUGCUAGAACGCUUAGGAAAUUGUGACUCAACUGCAAUCAUUAUUACAAUAAGUGUAUUCGGAAAAUAAGUGUGUGUGUGUGUCCACGCAAGAGAAAUGGCUUUUGGGGUUGGGGGAAAAGGAUGUGUAGACGGGAUGGAUGGGUGUUCCUCGUGUGGGAUGCCAUGUUGUUGUGCUCGUACCUUGGUGGUUGAGCAAUGUCGGGAGAUAUCCAUCCUGUCGUAAUUAAGGACCGAGUUGAUGUGUCAUCUUGCCUAAUUCCACUAUCGUGCAACCACUCGACCGUUGUAUGGGCAACGCCUUAGCAUAAAUCCCACUAGCUGGAUGGUUAGUCCUCAGGGGUGCUGGUGAGCAACGGGAACCCAUGGAAAAGGAGUAAGAUCUUGGUGACUUAGGUCCCGGUUACGGUCUCAUGGACGAGCCGUGAACCCCUUGGGUGUUUUCCGUGAGGGCUAGCCAGCCUUAGCUAAGGUGGGUAAUGGCUUUGUUAGGAUCCGUACCGUCACUAAGGUGAUCGUGCUGCGGUACCCUACUUGUGGGAAAAGUGUACACCCUCUGCAGAGUUAAAACCUAUCUGGGUAGCCGUGUCCACGGCAUUGGACGAGUUACGGCUUGGUCACAUAACUAGCAAUUGGGCAAGAAUGUCAUGUGUGUGUGUGUGUGUGUGGGAUUUUGGAAGAGUCCGGCAGUUGUGCCGUGCGCUAUGACGGACGGGGAGUCCGAUAGCGAUAAAAACUUGGAUCCUUUGUGUAGGAUCAACCCCACUCAAUGUCUCGAGUAUUAAAGGAAAACCUUACAAAAACCCUUUCAAAACGAUCCCCUGCAUGUGUUAAAAUUUAGCUUUUCCGCAAAUAAACUCUAGCCUAUCCUUGUCAUACUUGUGCAUAAACUUGCUUGUAUCCCCUCCGUGGAUGGGGUUGGACUUGUUGAGUACGUUAGUACUCACCCUUGCUUCAUUACUACAGAGGAAGACCCCGAUUUCAUCGCAGAGGACCUCGAGUAGAGGUUGUGUCCGCACCCGAUGCUGCCUGUGGUGUUGUCCUGCCCAAGAUGCUGCUGCUGCCGUGUAGUCCUGAGUGCUAUCUUUUGGCAGUCGCUUGGUUAGCCGCCGUUAUUUAUUUACUGUUUAUCGCUACGUGGAUUUCACUCCCACUCCCUCAGGAGUUGUACGGUAACUGAAUUAUCUGUCGAAUAAAUGUGUUAUCAGCCUCCUGGGACUGGUAUUUGUAUCACAUUUAGUCUCUACUUAUGUGGGGACGCUUCAAAGCCGAUGGACUGUCAUUGCCCUGCAAUUAUAACAUCGAUGCGAUGCAGAUGCUACGACUAAACAGAAAACCGGUGAGGAACUCAUGCGGAUGAUAGCCCUUUGUGCCGAUGUCGACGUAGCCGAGGUGAGGACAAAUAGCCAUGGUCGAGGAUGCCGUGCGUAGGGUAGCUGUGGUCGACGUAGUCGUCAAGGUUGCCGAAAACGAGGGAGUUGGACAUGAAGCUGCGGGCGUACGAGGAGACACCACGGGGAUGGUGGCGCAUAGGGGAAGACACCAAAGACGAAGACGGUGACGCGUCGAGGCAAUUGUAGAAGGAGAGGUCGAUGCGGAAGUCGAUGCUGUCAGGCCGACGUGUAGACCAGGCAUAUCCGGGUUUGCCAAGCCCGGAAACACGUCGGGGAUGAUGGCACGCACCAAUGUUGCCAAUACUAAACGUGCAAGGUAGAGGGCACCGGCCAUGUGUCAGCGUCUGAGGGACUAGCAGAGGAGGCCUCCAGGAUGGUUGCGGGCGCGGAAUGGCGUGGGGGUAGAAGGUGCCGAUGCAGCCUGCGGUUGUCGGAGUAGAAGAAUGAGGUGGAUAUGAGACGGCAACACUGGCGACGAGGUGGUGCUGGACGAAGUAAGGAGGUAGACCCUAAUGAUUUGGCGCAAGGCCCGAUGAUCCGGAUGAUGCAGUGGUGGAGCUUAAAGGAGAUGGCGAAGAACUCGAACACCUUGAUGAAGACCAUGUGCGUGAUGCGCACAAUGACGUAGUCGUGGACAAGGUUGCAGACGCUGUCGAGGAAGACGACGUGGACGUGGUUGAGGAUGUAGUCAAUGGCGAUGAAGAUGCAACGACGGGGAGGACCAGGGAUGGCAGCGCUGUUGCUCGAAGAGGCAAAGUAGCCGCAACCCUCAUGUCGGUGGUGGUGCGCACGUACUUAGGACAACCGUCCCAAAUCCGCACAUUCCGCGACCAUGCAUUAUUAACUGAUCGGACAAGGGUGCACGUAUGAGAUGACGGACGACGAUGUCGUGCAGAUCGGAGUGGUAGCAGCGAUGUCGGGGAUGACCGGCGUGGAGAUCGUGUGGCAGAUGGACCUGGUGGUGCCCCUACGCGAACCGCACGCUAGCCCGGACCACACAGGUGUUGAAGAGGAAGGCCGAUGACGAUGUCCAAGAAAAGGAGCGCAGAGUCGACUGGCGUGGGCGACGCAAACCCAAUAUCUGAUAGGAAGAAAAAAAAGGGACAGCAGUAGGAUCGAUCUUCAUAUAGAACUCUGGGUGCGCAUAGCUUUAUUUCCCAACUCCUUAUCUCUUCCCGUCCUGGUGGUCAACGGAGACAGGAGAAAAGAAUUGAGGUCUUGUUUAGUUGCCCAAGUUUGGAGGUGCCAAAUUACUGCUAUAGCACUGUAGCACACUGUAGCAUUUCGUUUGUAUUUGUGAAUUAUUAUCCAAACAUUGACUAAUUAGGCUCAAAAGAUUCGUCUCGCAAAGUACAACAAAACUGUGCAAUUAGUUUUUUCUACAUUUAGUACUCCAUGCAUGUACCGCAAGUUUGAUGUGAUGGGGAAUCUUCUUUUUGCAUAGUGCCAAAGUUGCGAGUUGGGGGUGAACUAAACAAGGGCUGAGAGAGAGGGAGAACGUGGCCUGCAGCGCAUGUCAGCGGUGCGUCUCGCAGAGUUUGGUCAGCCCUGUGUCCCUGACGGCAGCGCCGCGCAGGGGUGCCCAUGCACGGCACAACGUAGGGGGUGUUUGAAUACUAGGUGCUAAACUUUAGCAGUGUCACAUUGGAUGUUCGGAUGCUAAUUAGGAGGACUAAACAUGAGCUAAUUAUAAAACUAAUUGCAGAACCCAUAUGCUAUUUCGCGAGACGAAUCUAUUAAGCCUAAUUAAUCCAUCAUUAGCAAAUGGUUAUUGUAGCACUACAUUGUCAAAUCAUGGACUAAUUAGGCUUAAUAGAUUCGUCUCGCGAAUUAGACUCCAUCUGUGUAAUUAGUUUUGUAAUUAGCCUAUAUUUAAUACUCCUAAUUAGCAUCCAAACAUCCGAUGUGACAUGUGCUAAACUUUAGCAUUGGGUAUCCAAACACCCCCGUAGUAUGGAAUCGCCACGCCGGUGGCAGAGCAUGUCGUCGGGAUAGGCCACGCAGCUUGGCUGGCCACGGUAGCGACACCGCCGCCCACCGGCUGCAGCGGAGGGGAUCUGGAUGGCGACGACACGACCCCACCCGGCUCGUGACCAAGCUUCAAUCUGUUGCUGCUUGACACGACGCGGGCGACGGAAUCAGCCGCUGAAAGAAGGACGCUGCCCCUAGCGAGAUUGAUCUCCCCGGAGGAGCACGGUUAGGGUUUGUCGUUAAGAAUUAGUCGUAAAAAAUUAGAACCUAAACUUGUGAUACCAUAUAGAAGGAAUAGAUUACGUAUAAUCGAUGUAUUGAUGGUUAUUGCAUUGAGCUUCUCGGCCGGUACAUAUUAAGUACAAGAUUUGGGGGCGAAGGCUCCCCGGAUACAUAUGGUAUCUACGACACGUAUAUCUACAACUACCAAAUAUACUCUAACAGUUCGUUUUGUUUUGGAGAUUCUUAUUGUAUAUCAGCACGCCAGGUUGAUAGUCCUGUUGGAACAAUAUCCAUGAAUUUAUCACCAUUUAAUAGCAGAUGCAUGCAAGUAGAGUGUCACUCCAUCAGCUUUCAACCACUUUAGAUUCAAGGGAGAUCUUUCUGUAAAUCACACUGUGGACUCUACAUGUUGUGGUUAUUAUUUCACUCAUCACAUUUGGUCAGAACUCUAAAGUUCAUUAUAGUGCAACGAGCCCAUAUAAACGUGACAGUUCAUAACGAUUUACUGUUACAAUCAAUUCCUAUAUUCAAAACAAAACAACAUGAAUUUGCAAUAGGGCAGAGUACUAAAUUCCAUAAUAUUAACCGCCCUUGUACUUGUUCUACUCUGUGUUUUAACUUCAAAGGUACAUGACAACUGGAAAAGAAGUCUAGAAGAGAUCCCAGAGUAUGCGUCACUUGAAGCGGAUUGCAAACAAGUGAAAGGAUGUAUGGAAAUUGCAAUAAACUGCAAGAAGAAGAAGCGUCAUGAAAGGCCUACAAUAGAGGAUAUUAUCAGCAAAUUAGAUGAGACGGAAACUGUUAAAAUUGACACGCAGUUGUCAAUUAAAAAGGUACAACCUAUCAUUCAUCUUAUAUAUGUAAAAAAUAUACAACCCAUAGUUUAUUUGUCCCUAAAUAUUACCAGUGGUCGAAAAUAUAUACUUGGCUCUUUAUACGUCCACAUGGCAACUUUCACUAUGUUUGUUUUUAAAUAUUUAAGUUGGAAACAGGGAAAAUAAAUUGUUUGAUUUGUGUCGGAAACAUGCAUAUAUCGAAUAUAAAAGUGAGCAAAAUACUCAUGACUCUCAGUAUAUUAAUGUCUCUCUUUCUUGCCACUGUUAAUUUUGUAUGCUGUAAUUCUAACUAGAGGUGCGCGCGCGCGUUAGAAAAUAAGUCUACAACAGAUCCCAGAGUAUGCCAUCAUGUGAAUUCAUACCGACACAAGUCGAUGAGAUAUCAGCCACGGCCCUUGCAAUCGUAGAAUACAAGACAAAAACAAUAAGUUAACUAGCUGUGCAGAUAUAAACGAGAGGCCGACGUCUCUGGAAUUAGCCACCGUCUCCUAUACGAAGGAAUGAACCACGACGAAACAUGAUUAGAUUAGUAGACGCCCGUCUGUGCAAAAUCACUAACAAUGUGCCAAAAAUAAAUUAAUUAGCUUUAGGAUCUGUGCUAUUUUUUUAAAGGAGCGCCGGAGCAAAAUUCACAAUGUAAUUUUUACUUUAUUUCGUAGGAUGAGCAAACACCAUUUUCCUAAGAUUUCCCAUUUGUUUUUAUUGACAGGGUUACUUUGAAGAAUCCAGAUUCUUAUCUAGUGGCAUCCUGGGCAGGCCAUGUCAAUGUUAGUAAUGUUACAUUUAAAAUAGAUCCCUUCAUUUACUAAAUAUUUAAUUUAUUUUUAUUGAAGUUUGAUAUCGAUAUAAUGUAGCAUGCUGUGUGUUGGUGUAAUUGUGUUGUUCAGUACAAUCGGCUGGAGCGGUACUCCUUGCUGUCACGAAGAUAGGUUCCAUUUUAGGAGAUGAAACCUCCAAGGCUGUUAUAAAUAAGCUGUCUUGGAAAGUUCAUUCUCUGAAGGAACUGCCAUGGAAAGUCGAUCAAAUAAGGAUGAAUCUGACAUUCAUGAGCCAAAUUAUACAGCAGAUUGGAACAGUCUACCUCACAGAUGAGCUUGCCAAUAAUUGGAUCGGGGAGGUCCGGAAGGUGGCUUACCGUGUUGAAGAUGUAGUAGACAAAUACUCAUACCAUGUUUUUCAACUGACGCAAGAAGGGUUCCUGAAGUUCUUCAUCAAGGGAACCCAUAAUGACAUUGUUUUCAGCGCAAUUACAGAUGAGAUAGCUCAUAUUGAAGAGGAGAUUAACCAAGUUAUUCAUAUGAAGGAUAAGUGGUUACACCAAACACAGCUUGUCUCUAACAAUCAACAACUUGCUGAGAUUGAAAGGCAGCGGUCCCAAGAUGGUUUCCCAGAUUUUGUCAAAGAUGAAGAUCUAGUAGGAAUUGAAAAAAAUAGAAAAUUGCUGUCUGGAUGGCUGUACUCGGAUGAGCUGGAUAGCACCGUGAUAACAGUUUCGGGUAUGGGUGGGUUGGGAAAAUCUACCCUGGUAACAAAUCUUUAUGAACGUGAAAAGGUCAACUUCCCUGUGCAUGCUUGGAUUGUUGUGUCACAGAUCUGCCCGGCAGACGCUCUGUUGAGAAAGCUACUCUGGAAGAUUGGGAACAAGAGGGCAGUACACGACUUGAAUUGACAAAAUGGAUGUACACGACUUGAAGGCAGAAAUAAAGAAAAAACUCCAAAAUAGAAAAUGUUUGAUUGUAUUAGAUGACGUCUGGGAGCAAGAGGUAUACUUCAAAAUACAUGAUGCUUUCCAGAAUCACCAAGCAAGUCGUAUUAUACUUCAAAAUACAUGAUGCUUUCCAAAAUACAUGAUGCUUCGUUGGACCAGCACCUUGAGCUAGAACCAUUGGAUGGCCCUGAUGCAUUUGACCUUUUCUGCAGAAGGGCUUUUCACAACAACAAGGACCACAAAUGCCCCAAGGAGUUUGAGGAAAUUGCUACAUCUAUAGUGGAUAGGUGUCAUGGCCUGCCGCUGGCAAUUGUUACUAUAGGCAGCUUGUUGUCUUAUUUGGAAUACAUUAUUUGGAAUCAAACAUAUAAUCAGCUAAGGAGUGAGUUGUCAACAAAUGAUCAUGUCCGAGCAAUAUUAAACCUAAGCUAUCAUGAUCUAUCUGAAGACCUCAGAAAUUGCUUUUUGUAUUGUAGCUUGUUCCCUGAAGACUACCCCAUGUCACGAGAAAGCCUUGUGCGACUGUGGGUUGCAGAAGGCUUUGUUCUGAGCAAAGAAAAGAAUAAACAUUUGGAAUCAAACAUAUAAUCAGCUAAGCUUUUUGUACUGCAAAUUGUCAACAAAUUGCUUUUUGUACUGCAGCUAGUUCCCUGAAGACUACCCCAUGUCACGAGAAAGCCUCGUGCGGCUGUGGGUUGCAGAAGGCUUUGUUCUGAGCAGAGAAAAGAAUACACCAGAGGAGGUGGCUGAGGUAAAUCUCAUGGAACUGAUUCACCGCAAUAUGCUUGAAGUUGUGGACUGUGAUGAGCUCGCAAGAUGCAUAAUAUUAUGCGGGAUCUGGCACUCUCCAUUGCCAAAGAAGAAAAGUUUGGUUCUGCAAAUGAUUAUGAAG